RNAcentral lists this long non-coding RNA (146895 nucleotides) under Eucalyptus grandis. RNAcentral describes it as "long non-coding RNA (EGRA_LNC001746)". Lineage: Eukaryota; Viridiplantae; Streptophyta; Magnoliopsida; Myrtales; Myrtaceae. The record is from RNAcentral.
UAUAUUUACGGAUGAAUACAGAGCAUAUCCCAUCACGAUGAACCCGGAUUGUAUCCAGAGGUGCGAGUGGGAAGAAAAUCGAAUAAGAAGAGGAGAAGAGAACAAUGGAUGAAAAGUAUCCUUUCCCAAGCAGCAGAUCAAUUCAAAGGCGCAUCUCUCUCCCUCUCUCUCAACAUCGCAAUCAUCCUACUCAAUUUCACGAUCACGAGCGCACUCUAUUGUAGUUCCUUCUGAUUAGAUCUCCGUCAAAUCCAUUUCACAUCGCCAUCAUAUAAUGAACUCAUGGAGAUUUGGGAACCCGAUGAUUCGAUCAACUGAAACGAAUGAAAGCAAAUUUGGAGGCGGUGUUGAGGACGAAUCUCACCAGCAGAGCUGAAAAAGGUAAAGGCUGGUGAUGGCUCACAUCCACGGAGUCCUUGCAAUGUUGCCCAUGGAUGCUGGAUCUUGUUUUUCUUCUUUGUCUUCUCUUUCUCAGCAUGAUCGAAGAGUUAAGUGGCAGUGGACGGCUUAAGGAUGCAUCCUGCAGGCUACAAAUAAUAGUAAAUGGUGUUUUGGGGAAUCACACCUUUAUAUAAACAGUACAGAUAGGAUGCCAACAAAAUAUGCAGCAAUUCGAGUGUAGGCAUUACCUUUGGCAAUGGUUUUGAUGCGAGAUUCUUGAUGCCGCUAACAAUCACCGGACGCCAAGAAUUUGCCUGGGGUAUUUUGUGGCCCUGCGCAGAUCCAGUGCAAUACACACAUAAGGAAUUCAUGGAACCAAUAAGAGCUAACUUUGUUUCAGAUAAAAAGAAUUCUAAACAGAAUUGGAGCAUGUACCUUAGAGAGGUCGCUCUCCAGCUUCUCAGACUAAAAGGAGAUGUCCUGUCGAAGAUUCGAAAGUACAACAGUAGUUCGUACAGGACAGAGACUAUUAAGCCCCCAGGCAUAUGUCCUGUUCAACACGUUGGUCUAAUUCUGGUAGACUAGGACGAGCAGAAAAGAUACCUUCCACCUUCCUGAGACGGCCUAAUUCUUCGAGCCCAUUAAGGCUUAUUAUCCGGUUGCAAUGAAAAACUUUCAGGACUUCCAAAAGCUUUAAAUCUUCAAGACCAUCAAUCUUUGCUAAAUCACAGUCCUUUAGUUCUAGUUCUGACAGCUGUUUCAGACUAGAAAAUUUUGGCUCUGGAAUCUUGCAGUGCUUGAGACGCAGAGUCCAUAAGCUUGAGGACGAGGGAAGUUGUGUGAGGACUAGCUCCUUCAUAUAGGAUGAAGAGAGUUCCCGGAGAUAAGUAAGGGCACUAAAAUUCCUGGGGAGUUUGGUAACAUUUGGAAGGGACAAUUCCAAGGUCUCUACACUUGUUAAACUCGUGAUCCACCCAAUAUUUGGGAUCUGAUUCGAUGACCCUGCUUCUGGCUGCUCAUCAUCAUUCAAGCAUAGCUCUUUUAGAUUCAUCAGAUUUGUCAAUUCAGGGACUGCCAUGAUUUUAGAUCCCCAGUAGAGAGUGAGUAAACUGGAGGGUAACUUUGGUAGUGCUUGAAGUUAUUUGCAUUUACGUACGUCUAGGGUUUGGAUGCAAGAUAGAUGGCAAAUCCUCUGAGGCAGCCCGGCCACAUUGGAUGACGAUAAUCUCAAAAUUCUCAAAGAAGAUAGUCCUGAAAUAUCACAAUGAAUGUCCCAUUCCAAAUUUAUGCAGAAAGAGAGAUCUAUCUCCUCCAGGUUCUUUAAGUUCACAAUAUCUUCAGGAAAUUUUGGUAGGAAAGUGUGCGCCAUCUUCAGCGUCUUCAACCUCCUCAAAUUCUCAACUGACUCUGGCAAUUCUGUGAUUUUAGUAAGUGAAAGGUCCAUUACCUCCAGCAGAUCCAGCUUCCCGAUGGAAGUUGAAAGUUGAAUCAACUUCUGACAAUCCCUUAAAGAAAGUCUCUCGAGUGUCCGAGGAAAUUCAAAAGCAAGUGGAAGCCCAUCAAUAUCAGCACCAUCCAAAUCAAGGCUUGAGAGUUUCCUUAGGCGGCCAAUUGUGGAUAUAUCUCGCAAACGUUUACAGUUACAAGCACUAAGUUUUUCAAGAUUCUUCAAAGACCCUUCCUGGCAAUAAAUUUCUUGGAUGCCAGUUCCAUCAAUCAGAAGUUCCGUUAAAAAUUUCAUGCAGUACAGUUCUUGAGGCAACUUCCUGACUUGGCUGCAGUUUCUCAAAUUUAAGGAUCUCAACUUCUUGAGAUUACUGAUGAAUUGCCUAAUUUGAGAUAACCGAGAACAAUCUUCCAUUAUCAACAUCUCUAAAUUGAUGGGAGCUGGAAAGUUCAAUGAUGGAUGCAACUGAACACAUCCUUGUAGGUUCAAGACUUACAAUUUAUCCACCUUCUGCAAUGCAUGUGCAAAAGAAGAUAUCAAACCUUACUCGCUCAUAUCUAUCAUCUUAACACGAGAUUUAAAAAGCAAAUAUUGGCCAUACCUCUCCAAUUCCUUCCCAGAAUUUUGAAACCCUGGUAACUGGACUACAAGACAGAUCGAGAAUCACUAACUCCGUCAAAUGCAUAUUACAAAGCUCAGGAAUUGAAUGGCACUCUCGCCAAUCAAGCCACCUCAACUUCUGAGGAAGCUUCAUAGUAUCUCCCAGGAUGUUAGCCCCGUCCAGUCUGAGGUACCUCAAAUUCGACAUUUCCCAAAAUUGUUCACAAGUAAAACUGUCGGUGCUGCCCUCUUCAACUGUGAGACCAAUGCCUUGGACACUAAUAGUACCCUGUCAAGUCUCGGUUGGGAAAGAACAUACGAGUAAGUUGGAAAACUUUAAUUUCUCUUACUGCUUUUAAUGAAAUGACACAAAUCAUAAUUACAAAAUCAGUAGGUAUCCACUACGCGUUCUAAAUCAUGUUAGAAAAAAAUCCCUUUUUUAUGUUAUCUAUGAAUGGUUUAUCUGAACGCUUUUGUGACCUUCUGAAAAAAAAAUUUAGAGGCUUUGCAUACUUACCUGACCGUCGUUUAGAAAGGAAAGUGCAUCGCUGUGAUUCCAAAACCUGCAGCGCUGAUUAAGAUGUUUCCUCUUGACAAGCUCCCUGCCAAACUCUCUCAACAGAUCGUGCAUUCUUAAUUCAUUAUUUUCUCCAUCUUCCAAGAAAUGCAUGUCGCGAAGUUGAUUUAUUCCUUCAAGAGGAUCGCCAUCCCAAGCCUCCUCCCACAUGUAAGGAGGAAUCCUCUUAUCCUUGCCAAUAAAAAAACAAGCUAUGUCGAGGAAUAUCUCCUUUGCAGUAUCAUCCAAAGAUGUGUAACUGACCUGGAAGGCAGCUGCUACUUUUUUAUGUAGUGGGCGUUUUUUUAAGGAUUUCAACUUGCUACUCCAUAACUCUCUGUUCUUAUUUUUCUUUAAAUAUUCUGCCUGAAGCUUAAUAGCCAAGGGAAGCCUUCCCAGAGCUUCGACGAUGUCUGGGGACAAGAUAUCGCACUCGGAGACAUCUUGGGAAGCAUCCCCUUGAAAAACACAAUUACGAAAGAGUUGAAGAGCAUGAUGAUGACUCAUUGGUUUAACCUCGUACACUUCAGCUGCUCUAUCUUUUUCUUCUUCCCCAAAGUCGAAAACCUUCAAAACAUCUCUUCUAUCUGUGGUCACAAUGAUUCUACUUCCCGGACCAAACCAAGUAAGGUCGCCAGCCAAUGCUUCAAUUUGUUCAUCCUCACGCACAUCGCCAAGCACAAUGAGAACCUUCGUCUUAGAAAAGAGAUAUUUUAUUUUUUUAACUUUACCAGAAAAUCUCAGUGGUUCAUGUAUUUCCUUUUGAAGUUCAGCAAUCAACAGUCCUAGGGAAAACUCGACUCCUUCCGAAUUUAUACCUUUCAGGAAGCUACAUGCAUCGAUCAACUUGUGGAUCUUGUUGAAGACAACCUUGGCAAGUGUAGUCUUUCCAACACCCGGCAUUCUGCAUAUUCCGACAACACGUUUAUCUUCUCCACAUACUUUCAUCGCUUUUCCAUGGCUGUAGACAACACCAAGCUUUGUCAUCAUCUCUUGAACAUGAAGAUCGAUUCCAACUAGUUUGUCGGUCACGUCUUGGUCAUCCUUCCUCAACUCCUGCCAGACACGGGUCAUAACUUUGUCUAGGAGGUCGGUCACAUGCCUGCAAAACAUGAGUGACGAAGCACAAGGACAACAACAGAGUUACCAAAAAUAUUAAGCUGUAGACAAAAAUCAAGCGGGCAUUGAACCGACGAAAAAUAAAUUAAUUUACAAGGGCAGGGGGAAUCUUCAAUUUAAGUGGAGAGCAAGAUUUAAUGCACAGAGCAAUUUUGACAUUGACAUCAUCAUGCUAUCUGCAUAACAAAAGAUCUAGUCAAGGGGGAACGAAGAGCGCGUGGUGGACCAGGUCGGCUGAUCUAACUCCCAGCUAUGUCAUGAGUCGAGUUAAUUUUCAACUGGCCAUUUUAAUCAACUCACUGGUUACUUGAAAGGUAUCAAGAACUACAACCUGUUAAAUUAUCAGCCCAUUUCACAAGAAUAACUUUAAAGAUCUCUCUAGCGUGCAUCAUCAUCGAUGUGAUUAUAUAUGACAUUUAUUAGAAAAGUUUCGGAUUCGUUCUCACACCAUUAUAAACUAUUUUUCUUUCCAUCUAUCUAGGAAAGAAAAAAGAAACCAGAAGUAAAAGAAUUACCCCCCGUUUAUGGUCGCCCGAUCAAAUCCGCUCAAUUCCACGACCUCUCGAAGAACCUCCUUCCAUUUGUCGAUGGUCUCUGAGUCGACUUUUUUAUAUGCAUCAUGUUUAUUGAAGGACGUUGCAAAAUCCCCCUCCAGGUUCUUUACAGCAUGGGGCCUAACAUUAUAGAAAAUUGGGAUAAUAAUCUGUCCAUUUGAUUUUCUGCACUCCCACAUUUGUACCGCCUCCAUAAGGCAACUUCUACGGGAAGCAUAAUCCUUAGAGAAGACGGUUAUUGAGAUCGUCGACUGCUUGAUUGCGUUUUUUAGCUUCGGAUGGAUCUCUUCUCCGGCACGGAGCUCUUCGUCAUCUCUAAAGACUUUGAUUCCUGCCUUUGUCAAUCUGCUAUGAAGGUGAUCUGUGACCAAUGAAGAUAAUUCCUGUCAAACCAAGGAAACUAAAGUAAACAUAGUGUUCCAGACCAAGUCUUUAUGGUUCUGGCCAAAAAAAAAAAAGUUUCUUGGUUCCGAUGGAGCCGAGCCUAACACAGCAAGCUGACUGCAACUGAAUCUUGCAGCUCAUGCAUUUUGGCUGUUUUAAGAUCCAUUAUUUUCAGAACUUUCGUAAUACUCACACGUUGAUUAGUGAAUUCCCACGUAAUCUUUUUAUAAUUUUCUCAAAUUUAAAUGGUAUCUCAAAUUUUAGGGGAAAGCAAAACAAUACUUAACAGACCCAGCGUACAACAUCAAUAGUGCUUGAAGUUUUGAUACGAUCUGGUAAUUUUGAUUUGAUUCAAUCGUUCACGUCAAAGGAGAAUUGUAACAUUUCAGACGAUGUUUAGCAAUUUGAGGGGCUGAACCACAAGCAGAGGAUCGAUACCGCCAUAUUCAUAUCGAAGAAAUAAUAAUACAAAUCUCAGAGAUCCAGAGGAAACAAACCGGGCAUUUUCUCUUCCUUCCAGCAGCCACAUCUUCAGGAGCCAUAACUCGGAGAAUUAUUAGAAACACCCCGCCCGGACCAAUUCGCUCGCUCGCUCUCUCUCUCCCUCUCCCGUUGGGCAUAGGAGGUCUAUAGACAUUUUCAGACAACAUUAUAAGUCUUUCUCCAUUACAAAAAGUCGAGAAAAAAACAAAGAGACGAAAAGGACUUUUCAGUGGUUGGAAUCGAUAAAGCAGAUACAGUGAACUGAUUGGUGGCCCUCUCAAGUCAGUUCCAUUCAAUCGGAUCGAUAAAGACGAUGCAAUGAAGUGAUCGGUUGUCCUGUCAAGUCCUGGUUUUAUGUUUUAUUUUUACUUUCUCACCUUGGCAAACGAGGAUGGAUUCCACGCAGGUCUCACAGUACGAGUUCUCCAGUCUGGAGCUAAACUCGGCCAGGGUCCUCCAGCUGGGACCCAAAGUUGAAUAUGCACCGUUCGAGUCCGAGUCCAGGUAGAUUCUUUAAUUAUAAAAGUUGUUAAAGCACAGAUAUCUUGGUAAUACUUCAAACCACCGGAAUAUCUAGCUUUGAGAAAAUAUUGUGUACACAAGAGCACCACAUCAUAUGAGGCCCAUCUGUAGAAAUUUUGAAAACGCCUCGACGUGUCUGGCAGCGUUUGUUUGUAUUUCUUUUUUGUGUUUUUAAACACUUUUUCUGUUUUUUUGUUCCUGGGAACAAAAAAGGAACAGAAACGCGUUUGGGUGCGUUUCUGUUCCUUUUUUGUUCUUUUGUUCCCAGAAACAAAAAAGAAACAGAAACAAAACUUAGAAAUAUUUUUUUAUUUUUUCUUCUUUUUCUUCUUAUUUUCUUUCUUUUUUCUUUCGCCGGUCGCCGGCCUCGGCCAUGGUCGGCGACCGGCCAAAAGAAGAAAAAAGAAAAAAAGGAAAAAUAAGAAAAAAAUAGAAAAAAUAAAAGAAAUAAAAAAAUUAUACAAAUUUACCAAACGUGUUUCUAUUUAUUUUUUGUUCCUGGAACAAGUUUACCAAACGCGUUUUUUUGUUCAGAAAUUGUUCCCAGGAACAGAAACACUUUUUUCUAUUUCUGUUCCCUGGAACAAUUUUUAAACAGAAACGCAAACAAACGCACCCUCUGUCUCCUCUCUUCGUUCAAUGUGCCGUGAGAGGGUCCCACCUGUACUGUAAAGAACGAGGCACUCUCUCUCUCUCUUCUUUCAUAUGCAUUAUUUUCUCCCAGAUAUGUGAGAGAGAGAGAUAGACAGAGACAGAGGGAGAGCGAGAGCCUGGUCAUGGCGGAAACCAUGGAAGCCCCAGGGCACAACCCUAAAGCUCCUCGAGCACGACCGCGCCAUGCUCUCAAUUGCCACGGGCCAGUGAGGUGUCUCACUAGACGUCUGCGAGGUCGAGACCUCACCAGAUCGGUGAGCUUGAGCAUUGCCAGCGCCAGACCUCGGCAAGCUCGAGCUUCGCCAGCGUCCAACGAGCUUGUCCCUCGCCUGGCUGGUUGCCAGCCACCAGCCGACAUAACGAAGAAGAAAGAAAAAAAUAAAUAAUUAAUAAUUAAUUAUAAUUUUGAUUUUUAAAAAUCUUUUUAUACGCCUGGUGUUUUGGAAAUGGGUUUUAAACUCUAAUUUAAACUCAUUUAUUUUAGUCUUAAAACUCAUUUACGAUAAACACUUCAAAAUCGGAGUGAUUCAUGGUUCAUUUAUAUUUAAGAUUCAAUCUGACAAGUUUGUUUGAUGGCAAUUUCCUCGUGAAUACUUGUUGCACAUUCUGAUCAGGAAAGGCUUGCAGCGUUUGGCGGACUGCUCCUCAUAUUACGUAAAAGCAUCUUCUAGGUGAGACGACAUAGGAAAAAAUUCUAAAAAAAAAAUCGUAAGUAUCUCUAACAAUCUAAAAUUAAAACACUUAUUCUCGAGUAUAUUAGACCUGGAUUGUGGGUUAAAAAAAGAGAGUAACAGAGGAAGCUUAGGUGCUGCAUGGCAAUGUUUCUAUUCCUCAAAAUUUCUGUUUUUUGGUUCCCUGGAACAAAAAAAGAACAGAAACCUGUUUGGUAACGCCAAGUUGUUUUUCUAUUCCCGGGAAUAGAAAGUUAGCCCGGGAAUAGAUUUGGAGCAGAAAUGAGAAGUAAAAAAAAUUUGCUUCUUGUCCCGAGAACAAUUUCUAGAAAUAAGCUGAUUUUCUUUUUUAAUUUUCUUUUAUUUCUUUUUCUUGCCGCGACUACCGUCAACCGCCAGGAGCCAUCGCUUACUGCCGCCGCCGCCGCCGCCUCACGGCCGGCAGUGACGGUCGGCGGUCGGCAGUCGUGAGGCGGCGGCGGCUGGAGGGCCGGCGGCCGCGACCGGCGGGCGGGCGGCGGCGAUCCAUUGGCAAGAAUAAAAAAUGAAUAAAUACAAACAAUAAAUUGUUGCGUUACCAAACGCAUUUCUAUUCUUUUUCUAUUCCAAGAGUAGAAAUUUUGUGUCGUUAUCAAACGGGUUCUUUUACUCAGAAAUUGUUCCCCAGAGCAGAAAUAGAAAAGAACUAUUUCUGAAAAAAAAAAAACUCUUCCCAGGAAGGAAAGCGUUGUCAUGCGCAGCCUUAAGGAAUUGAUGGGCAGUUGAGGAAGAGAGAGAGAUUACGGUAUAUAUACAAAUGUUAUAAUUUGUACACAAGCUCCUAAAGUUUCUCCUGUAAAUUUAUUUAUCCAUUGACUUUCAAAUACUCGUAAAUUGUUUUUGGGAAUAAAAUAAAAAAGAAUAAGUUCCAAUCAGAAACUGUUUCCGAAAACAGAAUGAUUAUCAAAUGCAUCAUAACUACUGAUGCUUGAACUUUAGCCAACUAAUUCAAGGUUCCAUUUUUUAAAUGUACCAAAAUAAAUAAAUAAAAUAAAUAUCAAGAAUGCCAAUUCGUCCAUUUUCCAAUUUGCAUGAGUCUAAUUCAUCGGACCUCAGCCCGCAAGGUUAGCCCAUAAACCCCACUCGAAGCCCAUUAUCCAAAUUCCAUCACUCUUACCAACCGAUAAAACACACCCGGGAUCCGGAUCGUAAUGAUGUACAGCUAAUUCAAAGAGCAUGCCGGUAGAACUUUGGAUUCUUUUCAAGUUGAACAACGGACGAUAUGAAUUUUGCCGACAAAUCGAGAACUCAGCAGGACAAAAUGAUCUAACCGCGCCUUCAACUUGCAAAAGGCACGGCGAAAUACCAUCUGGACACUCCAUGAGGCCGAGGAUGAGGUGGGCAUUAAAGGUUCUGCAAUCUAAAACAUUUACAUUCUGUGAUGCUCUCCAUUGUGGACAUGAGGGGUUAAUUGUCCUACAUUGGGACAUCACACAGUGCAUGCCAUCUUUUCUGACCUGAAACAAUGCAUUUCCUUCCAUUGUCUACGGUAGAGGAACGCAACAGAGAAAGAUUGAACCAAGGGGGUCCGGCACCUCAGAGAAGAACUUAUCAUAUAACCUGAACAGAGAAUUUCACUGACAAUCGGAGACAUGAAGAUGCUCAUGCUCCAAGAGCUACAAGAUGAGCAGAAGAGUCAACGGGAGGAAGAGGGAAAGAAGAAGAUAAACAUAGAAACGAAGAAAGAAAAUGAAAAAGAAAAAAAGUCUUUGGACUAAGAUGCCCCUAAUUAUGAUUUGGAAAGUGGCAUGUGAGAUAUGCAUGCUCACUAGGUUUUUAUUUGAGACAAAGUCCACCAUGAAUUUUUUUUUUUGGUAAAAAAAAAUGAGCUCACUUUAAUUUUAUUUGAAAUUUUUCGGGUGUUCUUUCAUCCAAAAAGAUGAGAUAAAUAAUUAUUUAAUUGGCAUAUAAUCGAAUAGCAACAAGCUUACUAAGACGUUAGAUUGUUAACUUUUAUGACAGGUGAUGUUGCCUUGCUAAAAAAUAUCAAAUAAAUGAGUGUGUUUGGACUCAAUGAAGGAAAGGUAAAGCAGUUUCGAUGUAUUUUGGAACCCACCUAAUGCUUACAACAAGACAAGCCACUCGCGAAUUGAAAAGAAGGCAGAGGGUAAAUACGGUAGAUGGAUACCAGACGACAGAACAUGGUAUAUAUGUCAAAACACAUUCCCCGCAUUUAGGCCACAACUCCUGGAUACUGCAAGGAUAAAUCUGAAAAUAGAAGACAUGAUCAUGGAGAAAGCACUUUAAUCGGUCUAUUCACUUGUUCUCUUUUAACUAUUGAACUAAGACAAGCUUGAGACAUAAACAUCCUACAAGACAUAGCAAGCCUCAAGAAAGAUAAGUUACUUGCCUAAUAAUUAUGAAAUGGCCAGAAAAGAGUACUCAAGUUGGUUUCUCUUUUUGGAUUAUUGCUUGCUAAUGGAUCACACUAGAUUUCCUUAUUUCUCCCUUUCUUUCCCCUUGUCUACUUCUAGUGCGACUUUGGGACCGGAAGAACCUCAAAACACAGUUGCAAUCAACAAUUUCAGGGAUGGCCAUCCUUGGACGGCACUGGAAUGUCAUGAUAUUUUUAUGAGGCUCCGGAACUCCUCAAGUUAGAAGCCGUACUGCAAUAAAACAAAACCUAUCUGUCAGCCGGUAUCAAUCUUAUGGGACUGAAAGUGCUAAGAAAGGAGAGGUUUCUACGCAAUAUAAAUAGAACAGAGUGUUAAAAUGGAAUGUUUUCCAUGACCUUUUAUUCUUUUUUUUUUUUUUGAAUGUUCUAAAAACAAAUUUAUCCUUUCUCUGAAACGCCUAUAUCUAAUAUAGGCCUAAUUACCCAAAAAAAAAAAAAAACCACCAAGAUGAACGUGCCUUACUUGGUUUCUCCCGCACCUAAGUCCCAAUGAUAAGAAUGAACUCACCAAAUUAAAUAAUGGAAAGAGUAGUAGAAGAUUAGAUAAACAAGAAAAAAAAAAGUGAGAACAGAUGACACCCCAUUAGAGACUCUGCUAAUCUGUAAGUAAUCUGCCUUCUGUAUUCAUGGGCUUUAGGGUGUAUAAUGUUCUGAAUGCCGGGUUGGGAGUGGGUGGAGAGAGAGAGAUGGUCAGCGAGAAAAUUCAGAAGGAAAAGUUAACGGCGAUCUCCCAGUCCCGUCUUGUUUGUUAUUCUUCACUCUGUUAUUUGGAAGGAGAAGUGAGCCUAUCAUUUACAUGUUCUCUUCCUCAUGAUUUAGGUUGUGGAAUACCGAUAUAUAUAUUAGUUUUUCUAUUUUGAAAACCCUAAUUAACUCUCUCUCAUGGUCGGCGCGCCUCCUUCAGUCCUCAACACUCCUCAGGCACUUUCCCUCAAAAAGAAACCCUAACCUUUGGUCCAUUCUUAAUCCUCCUCACGCAAGAUCCUCUUAAUUCUCGCGCCUCGUCUUGCUCUCAGUCGCCUCUCGGCUAAACUUUCACCUCCAGCCCUCUAUCCCUACAUCACAGUCGUGGCCUUGCAUACGACCCUCCCUCGCGGUCAUGGCCUCACCUCUCCCUUACUCUCGACUCAAUGUAAUGGCCGUUCUCUUGCUAUUAUUGCUUGAUUUCUGUCGCUGGAAUGGGAUUUCUUAUGGGAACGCGGCGUUAGUUAUGCUAGAAAUUAUCCAACACUCAAUUUGGUGUCUUCGCACUUUUAUGGGAAAAGUUUCGCAGUCUUUUUUUCAUUCAAUUUCUUUUACGUUUCAUAAAACAUGGAAAACUAACAACAUUGAAACACACUAAAAGUCGAACAAGAUAUAUCAAUAUGAUAUUAAUAGAGUAAGAACCCGAACUUUGUCGGGCAAAAUUAAAUACCGCCUUUACAUUAAGCCUUGAACAGGAUCCCAGCCAUGCCCGACAUAAAAAAUGCAAUUAGUCUAGGCUAAUGAACGCAAAUUUCCCUAAACUUUGGCGAUAAUGAAAUGUUAAACCUAGAUAUGAAAUUGAGUUUAAAUAAACUAAAUACCGUGAUGAAAUUCUUACCUAAAUGCAAUUCCUUUUUUUUUUUAAAAUCUUUUUCAUCUCCAAUAUUUUAUAUUUUCCUCAUGGAAAAAACAGACUAGAAUCUAAGAUAACAUCCAAGGGAGACACGGACCAAGGCCCAGUCCGGAUGAGGGCGCACAUUACACCCCCAAUAAAUCACACAGGAUAGACUUGUGUCAUGGACAGGAUUCUCCCGUGCUUAAGUAUCCUUGUGAGUAGAGCUUGGUGUGAUUGAAGUGAAGAAUGAGUGAUGUAGAAGGGACGAUACAACUAGUUCUUAGGAGUGGCGUCAGAGUAUUUGUGCUAGGAAUUCUAUAAUAGAACAAUUAUAACUACUAGGAGUUUUAAAAGCAGGUUUGGCCUCCCGUGUAUAGACUAAUCAAUAGUUGAUGUUGCUUUCCCAAUGAGACCAUGGCAAGCUGAAAUCACUUGUUGCACCUUAAUGUUCUAUGUGUCUCGCGCAAAACAUUGGAUGCCCGAGCUAAACUAAGUGUGAUGCAAUCCUACGUGAUGAUGCAUCGCCAUACUCUUCUUAGGAACAAUUAUAAACAGAAGGCUAGUACAGUGUUUUCGGCUCACUAGGUGCUGCAAAGGCUGUUUCAUGGCCAAGAAACUAUCGGUCCAUGACACUUGAAUGGCGAUUGCAUAAGUGCUCAAUGCAAAAUGAAUGGGCGAAUACUAAGGCUCUGUUUGUUUCGCAGAAAAUAAAUGAUUCAAAAGAUAUUUUUUUCUUCUAAAAAUGCUCAUUUGUAUAACUCGAAAUAAUUAAUUAACAAAAUAAAUUAAUCAAUGAUCACAAUUCAUGUCUAGAUAUUUUUGUGAAUGAUAAAAAAUAUUUUUCAUUUAUUUAUUUUUGUAAGUGAUAAAAACGAUCAAUUUUAAAAAUUGUUUUUCGAAUAAUUUAUUUUUCGCAAAAUAAACGAAACCUAAUUCUAACAUCACUAGACAUCAAUAUAAACAUGGAUAUGAGAAAAUCAACUAACUCGACAUGAUGAGGUUCACCGCUAAGGGGGAACACGGCUUUGAGGCAAAUUCGUUGUUUUUGGGUAAGCAAACAUAAUGGCCGGUUUUGAUGAGAACAUUAAGAUGCAAGUAUCAUAGGUCAAUAGUUCCUUGGCCAUGGAAUACCCCGUGUAGCUUUUGAGGAGCGGAAUUCGCCAGGCCAACCUUCCUUUUAUAGUUGUUUCAAUGAACAAUACGACGAAUAGUACUUUUAUACGAGAUCGUACCACGCCCAACUUUACUUAGGCGUCUAGUCCAUCAAGUGAGACAACAGAUCUCUUUAGGCUCAAUAAUUGGUUUCAACCUCCCAUGGCCUCAUCAAGAGAGUGGCAUCAACUCUUGACUAGUAUGUGCAUGAGAGGCUAACUCCGUCUUCAAAGCUCCUAAGUAAUAUAAUCAUUUCUAUCCUAGAACUCUUAGCACCAAUCAUCCUGAUCUCACUCCCAGUUGUGUUUAUCCUCUUUGCAUCCUCACUCUUUAUUCGAUAACCCCCGGCUCCGGUAUGGGAGAAUCAUAGACUGUGACACAAACACAUGAUUUAAGCAUUAAACAAGACAUAAUCAAACCUCAUAUCCAGGCUAAUCAAACUGGUGGUACCGAGAUAAUGAGUUUGCAACACCCAAUAGGGCGAGAUAGACUAACAUACUUGGCUUUAAACUACAAUUUCGCGGUCGGCAGAUCUGAUGAACAAUAGAUGAUAGGGAGCACACGAAAAACAUUAGACUCCUACAUUAAAUGAUGGAAGGAAAUAAAUGAACAAGCCUGGAUGGACCUCUCUCAAAUUUCUCACUCUCGUUUCCUUCUCAACUCACUCUCUCGUGCUCUCACGGCCAAACUCACUCUCAUUCACUCACCCACGGUUUGGGAGAGCUGUGGGAGAUGUUCUCCAGCUCACUCUCUAUUUCCCUCACUCCCUCUCUCUUUCAUGGAUUGAAUGGUUACGAAGUGAAGAAAUUUAUUCUUUAUACUCCCCACUCCCCAAUUUAUGCUCACCGUUUGGACCCAUUUUUGGGGUACAAUAUGGUGAGGUCUUUUGUCCGAUGGUUUGUACCAUGCAUGGGGUUAUUGGCCGGUCAAAGGGGAGAUGAUUUGUCCAGGGGAGAGGAUUUGUCCACUGGUUCGUGCCAUACUCAAAAGAGGAAGCCCUUUUGCCUAAGGGUUUGUACCAUGCUUGGGGUUCAAAGGAAGUCUAUUGCCCCUUGGAUUUAGAGGUGUAUGGCCGACCAAGGAGAUCCUAUUUUGACCAAUUUGGUUCAAAUUUAAUGUGCCAUUGUUUCCCUAUACGGUAUACCUAAAAAAGCCUUAUUUGCUUGUCCAGUAUUUUCCUAUUUAAUCACCAACGUAUCUUUCCGAUCAGGACGUAGACAAACUGCAGGUCGAUCUAUGCGCUUUCUCUAAGUUCUGCCGUUUGUUCCUUAGCUCCUUAGGAAUGAAGGGGAAGACAUAAGGACGGGCUUUUCGGGCUAAGGUAAGAAAGUCAGCCUUUACGACUGUGAAAGCAAUUCCUUCGUGGGACUUGGAUUAGCGGCAUAUCCACAAAGGAGGCAAAUUAAAAGGGCUAAUAAUGCGAAAAUGUGAAGCAAAAUGGGUGAUUCGAGAGUUAUCAUUAUUUGGACGAAUUUUAAAAGUAAAGGAUACGCAAAAAUGAGAUAUAUGAACUCGAGUCCACGCAAAGUGCAAUAUGCAAGUUUAUGCAAUAUAGAUAUUUUUGGUUCGGGAUCAAAUUCCAAAUGAAUUCGAUCCCUAAUUUUUCUUAUGAAAAGCACAAAUAGUCUAUAAGCAAAAAUUUAAGUGUAAAAACUAUAUUUAAAUUGAAAGAAGAACCAGAAAAGUUGAACAGCAUGUAAUGAAAAAUAAAUGUAAAAAUUAACCACGUCACUCAUGUCAAAAGAUGCAAAACAUCCUUCCCUUUCAGAUAAGCCUACGACAGCAUCGAUUUGGCAGGGGAAUUCGUAAACUUGAUCUAGAAGUGAGGAGACACAUGGUAACUAAAAAUUUGACAAAUCAACUAAAGGCAUAACGUCAUAAACCAUAGGUAAAGAAAGAAUGAGAACUCCAAACAUCAAAGUGACCCAAUAUUCCAAGUGACAAAUCUGCCAGAAAGUAGCAUACACUUGAGGCGUUACAGAUUUUUCCAGCUGAAUUUUGUUAGGAGAAAAUCAACUGGUGCACAACUUUCCUUUCGGAAGAGACCGAUGUGCUCACCCGGAGGGGCUGCUUUUUGCUCACGGCGGUUGAUUUUGGCCUCAACUUGUCUUCAGGGGGAAUUCAAUAGAAUCAAGCUUGAAAUUGACUCCAACGAAUUUGCCUUAUUCGCCUGCUCCCCUAGCUUCCCUUAACAAGGUGGAUGGCCAUGCACAGAUAUCAGUUAGAACUGAGGAGACUCCAGCAUCACGUAUUUGGAAAACGAGCCAUUACAUACUUCAAUGCAUCCUGUACUUGCGCCGACUUCUCAGCCGGACAUUCACUGAUAUUCAGCUUUUCCAAAGAUGUUAAUUUUUCUAGGCCUUCAAUUUGACUGAUCUUUUUGCAUCGAAUGAUCUCUAAAACUUUCAGCGACUUCAAGUUUGAUAGAUCAGGUAAACUGAGGUCAUCACAGUCAGAUAGAAUCAAACUCCUCAGUGAGGUUAUCUGGCCAAUCCCAUUGAGAUUUUGUAUUUUGCAGUUUGAUAUAUCUAGCCUCUUCAGGGCUUCAAGCCCUUCAAGCCCUUCAAUCUCUUCUAUCGCAGAGUGGUAGAGCUUGAACGAUAACAGCUUCUUGGGAAGCUCAGAUACAUCUCUACAGCUCAAACCAGGGGGGGUAAGCAUUUUGAGCCUUUUGAGGGGAGGAAUAUCCGUAGGCCCAAACUUCAGCUUGAUAACUUGCGAAAGAGAAAGUUCUAGUUUCCUCAGUCUGGGAAACGAUAUCGAGAAGGAUUGUUUGUCAAUCAUUCGUUUCACGUUGGAUUCUGGCAUUGGCAGUUUGGAGGGAGGUUGGCGUGCCUCCCAGUCCCCAUCACUUAGGCACAGCUCCUCCAACUCCUUCAAAUCUUCAAGAAGGGGUAUCGCUUUCAUCCUUUCAGAACUCACACGCAGACAAAUUAGAGACGGGGGAAGCUUCGGCAACUCUUCAAUUUCAUCGCACUGAAUUAAAUCCAGGGUGUGAAGACCACCGAUGGUGGAGAUUGCAGGGGGUAGGCUAGAUAUACUGGAAUGGCCCAGCGUCAAUGAUCUCAGACAAUGUAGUCCCUUAAUAUCAUGGGGAAUGGCCCCCUUCAAACUCCAACACCAGGACGCAUGUAGUUCUUCGAGCUUGGUUAGAUACCCAAUCUGCCCAGGAAAUGCUCGAAUGAAAGAUGAGUCCAUUCUCAGCACUUUCAAGCUUUUCAGAUUUCCUAUUGAAUCUGGGAGUCCAGAGACACUAGUCGCCGAUAUAUCCAACUCCUCUAAUGACCCAAUUUCACCGAUGGAAUAUGGAAGUUUCUCCAAACAACGGCAAUCCCUCAAUGACAAGCAUCUUAGCUUUUGCAGCUUUCCCAGUGAGCUCGGGAGCUUAGAAAUUUUGGCACCUUCUAAUUGGAAUUCAGAGAGAGCAGUCAGAUAACAAAUUGAACUGGGCAGGUGAGUCAAUGGGAAGCAAUUUAAGCCACUGAGAAUUUCGAGUUGCUUCAAAUUGCCUAUGGAGAUGGGGAUCUGCCGUACAGAAGUCCCGUCAAUAAAAAGCUCUUUCAGAGCUGUCGUACAACCUAGUUCCACUGGCAACCAGUUCAAUUGGGAGCAGAACUUCAAAUUCAGGUAAACUAAAUGUUUCAAAUUGCCAAUUGAAGGAUCUAGCUUCACCAAAUGAGAACAUCGUUCAAGAAUCAGGAUUUCCAAAUCUUUGUAAUCAGAGAAGUCAGGAGUGAACAGUAAGUCAGAACACCCGGUAAGAUUCAAGACUUUCAAUUUCUUCAUCUGCAAAGCCAAAAGGGAAAACACGCACAUGGUCAAUUCGCAGAUAUUUAAUUCAACAAAGCAACUAUAAAAUAACCAAAUGAAUACCAAACCACCUUGAUUUUACUCCAACCUCCCCAUUCUUCCGUGACUUUGCUCCAAGACAGAUCAAGAAUAACUAACUCUCUUAAUACAAAAUUUUCUGCUCUAAAAUCCAGAGGAAACCUUUGCCAACAAAGCCACCUUAAACUCGGAAAUACACCUGCAAAAUCUCCGGAAACUUCUGCACCAUCCAACUUGAGAAAACUUAUGGCUGGCAUGAACGCAAAAUUUACAGCUGUUAAUAUGCAUAAAUCAUGAGAUUCAACCUCUCCGAUUCCCUACAUAUAAAAUAAGUAUCAUUAUCAUCAGAAGCUGUAAACCAAAAUACCAAUCAGGAAAAAAGGAUGCUUUUCCUUGCCCCGCAUGCUAAAUAGUACAUACAUAAUAUUAUUCCCUCAGAAAAUGUGACAUAAAAAGAAUAAUGCAGCCCAUAUGUCAAGGAUGUUUGUUUGCCGAAGACAAACUGAACCAAAGUUUUACCUUCUCCCUGUUCAUUGCUUUUCGAAUCAUAUCCUGUGUGAAAAAUCUACGUGAACUUGGAUCUCCAGAUCCCUCUUGCUUAAAAAUUCUUUUGCCAAGCAUCUCAGCAAUCUGUGCAUCUGCAGUUCAUUGUUUUCUCCAAUUUUUGCCAGGGGCAUUAGAAUGCAACCAGAAGAUGGAAGGUAACAAUUGGACCACAUAUAUGAAGCAAUUCGGGCAUCCACACCAGAGAUAAAACAUGCAAUGUCCAGAUAUAUAUCUUUUUGCCGAUGAUCCAGUUCUCCGUAACAUAUAUCCAAUAGCUCUUGAAGGCCAACCAUAGUCUUUUGAGAACUCAUCAGACGUGCUUUCAUUGCCUUCUCCAUCUUUUCCCAUUCUUGUAUUGAUUUACCCCGCAAAAAUGAACCGAUGACUUCAACUGCUAAUGGUAGUUUCUUUGUAGCAUCGACAAUGCAGUUUGAGAGUCCAUCAUAAUCAGGCAUGGAAGAUUGCAUCCUGAAUGCAUGCUUGCAGAAAAGUUCAAAAGCUUGACCAUCAUCCAACUCACUAACCUUGUAGGUGGGAGCCUUGUCGGAAUCAUACCCUUCGAGAAUUUCCUCAUUUUGAGAAGUCACAAUUACUCGACUACCUGGACCAAACCAAUGAAGCUGGUCUCCUACAAUAGCAUGAAGAUCGGAUGGCUUUUCCACGGCAUCGACAACUAUUAGAACUUUCAUUUCACAAAAUAUAUCCACGAAAUCUUUUAUUGUUUCAUCAAAAGAAGGAUCUUCAUGAUUUCGUUCAAGGAUAUCACGUAUCAACUUAUUUUGCAAAAACUGCAUUCCACCAGAACUUUGUGUGGUUUCUUCGACCUCUGCAAGAAAGCUACAACUGUCGAAACAAGAAGAGAUCUGGUCGUAUACAGCCUUGGCGAGAGUCGUCUUGCCAAUUCCAUCAGUACCAUAGAUUCCAAUAAUGCGCACCUCAUCAUUACCUUCCAUCUCCAGUAAGUCGGUGAUUUGUUUGGCACGAUCAUCAAUUCCAACCAAAUUCUGAACAGCUGCAAUUGCGUAAUUCCUAUCCGAGGCUCUCAUGUCUACUGUUCGCUGUCCAGCUUCAUCUUUCAUAUUCUCCAUGCUCUGCAAUAAAAAGAUAAUUUCUUCACCAAAGUAUUAUCAUAGAUGGAAAAAAGAACAAACGUCACCUGAUCAGUCUCUCUUUUCUAACAUGGCAUCACUUCCACACAUGAGAUUGGAAAUCAUUUUCCGAAUGAGAUUUAACCCUAGGAAACAUUUUUGGUCACAUAUCACCAAAUAAGGGAAAAAUUAACAAUUUUCUUGAAAAAUUUCCCAGAAAGGUUUUUUCCAUUGUCAUGAAGUUUUCCCCCAAUAAACGCACCCUUAGACUCAGUUCGUUUGGUGGAAAAUGUGACAUUUCUGGAAAAUGCUUUCCAAGAAAAUGAUAAUACUUCCUGAUGUUUAGCUGAAACAUGAAAAUGGAGUGAAAAUAUUUUCCGUUAUUCGGUAACGAAAAUCAUUUUCUCCAUGCACUCAAUAGUUAGAGAACAAGUUGAAGAGAUCGACGGAUGCGGUCGGCGAGGGAGAGAAGGCCGUGAACAGGGUCGACGCCGACGGGCUGUAGCUAUUGUUCGGGGGCCAGAACGGGCUCAAGUCUUGCAACAUGUGGGGCUCCGUCGCCGGCGGGACCGCCGGCGUCAGUAUCAUCAGCCCGUCGUCGCCGGCCACCGCCGACGGCCCGCCCAUGAACAGGGUCGACGCCGACGGGCUGUUGUAGCUGUGGUUCCUGCGCCAGAACGAGCUCAAGUCUUGCAACAUGUAGGGCUCCGUCGCCGGCGAGAAGAAAUCCGCGGAUAUCGCCGGCGGGGCAGCCGGCGUCAGUAUCAUCAGCCCGUCGUCGCCGGCCACCGCCGAAGGCCCGCCCAUGAACAGGGUCGACGCCGACGGGCUGUUGUAGCUGUGGUUCCUGGGCCAGAACGGGCUCAAGUCUUGCAACAUGUGGGGCUCCGUCGCCGGCGAGAAGAAACCCGGGGAUAUCGCCGGCGGGGCCGCCGGCGUCAGUAUCCCCUGACUCUGGGCCAGCUGGACGUCUCCCAACAUACACAUCAGCUCGUCGUCGCCGGCCACCGCCGACGGCCCGCCCAUCUCCGCGGCGGCGGCGGCAAAGCCCUUUUCCCUGCCCGUCGGGCUGGUCUGCUCUAUCGCCGCCACUCUGGCCGCCGGGGACACGUACCCGGAGGAGGUGGAGGAGGACCCCGAGAGCUGCUGGACGAUGGACAUGAAGUUCCGCUCCUCGACGUGGAUGACCUUCGGCGAGAUGUCGAAGAUGAUCGUGGGCUGCUGCCGGUCCGCCCCCGCCACCGCCGCCGGCGCCGGCAAGUGGGUCGGGCGAGGGACCCGCGAGGAUGAGGCCGCCGGGUGGGGCAGCUGGUGAGGGCGGGGCGGCUUCUGGACGGCGUGGGACUGCUUGGCGACCCGGAGCGGGGAGGGCCGGGGGCCCUGGAGGGGGAGCUCCUUCUUGGGCGGCGACGGCAGCGGCGGCUGCCUUCCUCCGCCGGAGGGAUAGGAAGGCUCCAUGAUUGAGGCUAUAUCGGGUCGGUCUUGAUGGGGGAGGAGGAAGGAAAAGGAAGUGGGGGAUGAAGAAGAGGCCGAGAUUUUGGUGGGCAGCGGUCAAAAUGGAUGCUGAAGCUAAGAGCAGAGCAGAGCAGAGCAGAUAGAAUAGAGAGAGAGAGCAUUACAUUUAUGAGUGGUUAAAAGUCAACAAUUCAUCGAAAGGGUCCUCCUGUAAUUUUCCAAGGCCCCGCAUUCGUUGUUUUAUUAUUAUUGGCACUGAGAUUAUGCAAGGAGGAUGAUGGUUGGCUGAGGUGGGCAGAACGCCCCUGCUCAUUUCGUCAAUGGGGCGCACCGUCCUCCUCCUUCUAGGGAGAUUAAGGAAAGAUUAGAGCUUUCCACAUUGAUAACCCGUUUUUUUAUAUGAAUCCAGACUGAUCCUUAACAGGCUUAAAGAAGAAAAAAUAGGAGAAAUAACUCAUGAGAGAUUGCACUCCCCAAUGUCGCUUUCUGUGUAUUUUCAUCUGAAUAGGGAAGAGAAAAAUCUAACUUUGUUAUAAUUAGAGCAUAUCUAACUUAGCUAUAAGAAUAAAUAAGUAUGGUUUCUUUUUCUCUGUUAAAUUAUGCCUCGAGUUUGAAUAUUUGCAAAAAUGUGAUUCGCUUGGACAAAUAGAAGUUCGUGAGACUCCAUGAAGAUUUACAAAAGAAAAUAAUAACAAAAAUGAGGAAAGUUCUUUGCUACGAAGCUUGCGGAAUCCGAAAUGAAGAAAAGAAAAGUGAAGCCCUGUACGUGGUUCCCUUCAGCAAUCGAAGAUUGGUUAAUGGUGGGGUUCAAGGUCAAACUUUUGACUUCGGGCACACUCGCGCACACACACGUUCGGUGUGAAGUCCUCUGCAUGCGUAAGAAUCCAAAAGUGGUGGUGGCCUUUGACCUGGGCCCACAUAUAAAAACACAUAUAAUUUCCUUCUUCGAGUGAGUGUGUGGCGUGGCCGAAGACCUACGUAAAAGAGAGAAGCCCCACGCCACUUGAGAGGACGCCGCUGCAGCUUUACGUAGAAGGGAGCCGCGAAGAUUCAUAAGCUGCCCGUGUGAAGCUUUGAUUAAAACGCGAAGCUAUACGUAGAGCGUUUUCUUUCAAACUUGAACGCAUGGCAAUUUUAUGUCAUAAGUUUAAAACUAAGUGAGUUGUUUAUUUAUAAAUAAUUUUGAUUUGAGGUUAAAUCUAGGUAUGGAAAACAUUGAGCGUUUGAGCGAUUAUAAACUCUGAUAUUCCGAUUAUAGUGGAUUAUUUACUGCUGACUCUUUCCGUGGACGUAAGUACCGAAACUCGGACCGAACCAUAUAAAUUUAUGGUAUCCUUAUUUUUCUCGUUAAUUUCUUCGAUGCCUUAUUUUUCUCGUUAAUUUCUUUGAUGAUUUCGUAUUGGCCUAAAUUGCAAAAUCAUAUCGUUUCCACAUAUUAUAUCCCAACACUCUCUCUUCCCAUUAUGCUAAAAGCAAAGUUCUAGCGUCUAGUAACCAGAAUUGGAAGAGCAACAUUCAUUUCCGAAUCAGUUUGACCGGUUUGAUGUACCCUUUUGGAAAACAAGGAUUUCAAAACUAAAAAAAAUUACCAAAUUUUGAUGAGGAAGUAAAUAUGGCCAGAGCCCAUGUUUAACUGUAUGCCGCCACGCCAUGGGAAAAUUCUUUGUUAUUACCUUUUCCAAUUGUUCGGAUCUCUCUCGUUGUCGUGUAUAAGAAUAUCUAAUCAAGAAAUGCAUGAGAUAUUAUGUCUAGUUUCGAGGAAGGGGAGGCCGUCUGGACCUCUCUUUCUUUGGCCUCCCUCAUAAUCUUUUUAUGUACUUCGACCUGUGAGCUAAAAAUUUAAAAUAAUUAAAAACUCAAUUUAAAAAAAAAAGGAAAAUGUGUUUGGUUAAAAAAAAAUACUUAGAUAUAAGUGAAAGAAACAAGAUCUAAAAAAUGAAAAACAUUUUUCCCACUUAUGUUUUUUUUUUUCAUUGGUAGAAAAUAUUUUCCUUGACUAGUUUAUUUUCUGUAAACCAAACGGCAAAAAAUCUAGCAAACGUUUUCCUGAAAGUUAUUUUCUAUUACAAGCCUUCACAUGUAAGAGGAAUCCUCUCAUCCUUUCCAAUAAAAAGGCAAAUUAUGAUGAGGAAUAUCUUCAUUGUAUGAAAAAACAAAGAAUUGUAAUUGACCUCGAUGGCAGCUUCUACUCCAUCCUUCAGCUGGUUAACAUCUUUGAGCUCAUUAAGGAUUGUUAUACCGCUGCCUCGAAUAAUAUUCAGGACUAGCAAAAGCUUUAAAUUUUCGCAUACGUCCAAUGCAACAGGAUGAGAGAAUAUUGGUAAAGUCGGACGAGAAGAAAAGAUACCUUCCACCUUCCUGAGACAUCGUAAGUCUUGGAGCCCAUUAAGGUUUAUUGUCCGUUUGCAAUGAAAAACUUUCAGGACUUCCAAAAGCUUUAAAUCUUCGAGACCAUCAAUCUCGCAGUGUUUGAGACGCAGAGUCCAUAAGUUUGAGGAGGGAAGUUGUGUGAGAUCUAGCUCCUUCAUGUAGGAUAAAGUGAGUUCCUGGAGCUUGGUAAGACCACGAAAAUCCCCAGGGAGAUUGGUGACAUUUGGAAGGGACAAUUCCAAGGUCUCUAGCCUUGUCAAUCCCAUGAUCCACCACAUAUUUGGGGUCUGAUUUGAUGACCCCGCUUCUAUCUGCUCAUCAACAUUCAAGCAUAGCUCUUUCAAAUUCGUCAGAUUUGUCAAUUUGAGGUCUGCCAUAAUUUUGGAUCCACAGCAGAGAGUGACUAAAUUGGAGGGCAACUCUGGUAGUGCUUGAAGUUGUUAAUGUUGGAGAAAACUUCCUUAUUUGUUUUGAAGUUAACAAAACGUUUCUAUCAGUUUAGUUUGAAGAUUUGCAGACUCUAUUGUCAAAGUCUGAAGACCUCCAUACUCAAGAUUUAAAGUCUACCCUCACUGAUAGCCUUCAAACCGAUGAAGAAAAGAUUUAUUCGUUGAAGAAGAUUUAUCCAGAUGCGAGUAUAUUUUUAAGGAUUUGGUUCGUACGGUUGACGAAGAUCUCACGGCUGGAGAUAGCUUUUCGUGAUCAAUUAUUCUAAUUGAAAUCAAUUCGGAUAAUUAGAUCUGUUGAUUGGCGAAGUAUACUUGGAAGGUUCUACUUAUGGAAACCUAGAUCCUGAUUGUAUGGGCGAACAUGAUUGGUGAGCUAUUAUCACAUUCCUUAAAUAACUCGAGAUCUCCCUAAUUGAUUUUGUCCAACGGGUAGAUUAGAAGAACUCUUUUGGAAGGUGCCAAUGGUUAAAAAGGCAUGGAGGAAUAUAUAAGGAGAACGCUCAAGUUAUUCAAGUGUGCGUAAAAGAAAAAUUCCAAAAUAUGAAACUCCUAGUUCUUUGCUGUUACAUUUGUUGAACUUAAGUUGUACUCAGAAUAGAGAUUAAAUACUUUUGAGACCUUGAGGAAGUGUAGCAGAGUUUCUACACUGUGGAAUCAAAGACGUGAGACUGUAAAAUCUCUUUUGGUUUUUAGUGGAAUUCAGCCCGUGGGCUGUCAGUGCAGGAGAAUGGACACAGGCUUGGUCUAAGCCGAACCAAACCUUAUGUUUCAAUUCUCUUUCCCUAAUCUCUUUACUUUAAUUCGUAAUCUUAUAUAUAUGUUUAUAGUCUUUUACAUCUUCAAUCUAUUAUCCUUAAAAGACAAUUUAAUUUGUUAAGUCUUGCAACAACUUUUUUUGUGACAUCCAAAUUUUCAGGUUUUAAUUGUGAUUGGAUAAAUUAGGCAUUUCAUCGACGCGACUACAGUGUUUUUUUCUGAGUUGGCCACUCAUGAGAUAACUAGACUAGCUGAGUGAGUUAUUAAGGACUUUAAGGCAAAUAGACUUGGGAAUUCGAUUAGAAAUCGAUUUCUCGACUGUACUUAUCUUUAGAGAUCAUUACAACUCAAUUAAAAAUCGAAUUAAGAUCAAAGAUAGGUUAGUUCGACUAAGAUGAAUGACCAAUCGUGGAUGACUCCACUAAAUUGGAAAACUCUCGUUGACUGGCACUAAUUUGAUUUUACUGUCGUUUUGAUACUCUGUGUUCGUAUUUGAAUCCUCGAGAUUUUUAUGACAACCGAGCAUCGACAAUGUGUUGAGUGGGUUCAUUAUAGCUCGAAGAAAAUCGACCAUGGGUCAUUUGUCCUAAAAAGUUCUGAAAACUACCUAGUAACCUAGGUCAUGCUAAAAACGCGUUGGAGUGAAAUUAACGAUCAAUUUAAGUUCGAUUUCAGAAAUUGGAAGUUCUGUAGUGUCACGAGCUAUUUUAGGAAGGUCGACUUAGUUUCAGAAGAUUUUUCGGAGAUUCUGAGAUUUUUACAAAAAAUCAUUGUGAACAAUUCGGAAAAUGAAUGGAAAUUCGGAUUGGCUAUUUUGAAGAGAUUUUUGACAUCUGGGGUAAGUGACUUGGUGAAUGAAAGUUGUUUGGGCUUUUUCUGAAUUCAAAUUGGACCUCAAUCGGAUUUGUUUGUUCAGAAAAUCGAAUACCGAGAAAAAUGAAUUAGAAUUUGGAAUCGAGGGAAAUUCGUGAGAUUGAAUGACCGUCUCAUUUUGGUCUUUAAUUGGACUUCGAAUUGGAGGAAUCAAAGAAGAAAUUGAAGCCAAAACUUAGUGCCAAAAAUGUGAAAUUCGGAUUUAAGCUUGGGGCUGCAUUUUUUACAUUUAAAUUGGAUUAUUUAUGGAAUUUUAGGCUAGAAAGAAUUAAGGGACAAUGAGAUAUUCAUGAAGACCAAAGGGGGACAAAGCUUUAAUGGAUUAAGAUAUUUCUUUGACUUUUGGCCUUUUCCUUCUAAGCUGCUCACGCAUGGCUCUGCUGGCCUGUCUCCUUCGAGUGGCUUCUCUUUCCUUUCCUUCGGCUUCUCUCUCUUAUCUUUUCUAUUAUGUGUUUACUUUCAUUUGUUCCUCUUUCCCUCGAGCAAAACCGAAGCACCAUCUUCUGUCUUUUUCCUUCCCAUCAUCGAAGCAACCCAUCCCCAUGUUUCCCUUAGCUUCAUGCAUUUCCAUUCAAAUUCAAGUCUCAGCCAGCAACUGCCACAUGUCCAGCGUGCGCCCAUCUUCAGUCAACAAUUAUCACUCGGUUGACCUCCCAAAGAACCCCACCAAGUGGACGUCAGCUGCUUCUCCAUAAUCGAAGAGUCCAGCGCUUGCAAGCUCACCGAAGUCCAGCUUCUUUGGCCAUGUCUUCUCUCGGUCAAAACCCUUGCCGUGGAGCUCCAUCGAAGACCGCCGAAUCAGCUCAUGUUUAGCUACUGCCACCUGCUCGUUUGUCAUCUUCUUCGGCCAAAGCUUCUCCAAACUUGCUUUGAUUGAAGACCGAGCAGCUUCCUACCGAACCGAAGACCGAAUCAGUUCAGCGCCUCCGCGCCCGCGGCCUAGCUUUCAUCUUGCCGUUCCCUUCCACCGAGGCCUCAACGAAUCGGUCCAACUUCACGUCUGAAAAUUGCAAGCCCAACAGCGAGCUUGUAGGCCGAUUUCGGCCCCAGUUGAGCUCGAUUGUCGAAACCGCUUUGAAGAGAACCAAGCUUUGUCGCAUGCUUGUCAAUUUGAUCCGAUAAAAUUUUUAAUCAGGUGAGUUUUACUCACUAUUGCCUUCUUAGUUUGCUAAUUAUACUUAAAUGUUGAUUAGAUUUAAUUAAUUGUAAUUGGGUGGAUAGAUUAGAUUAAAGUAAUUAAAUUAAAGACUCAUUGAUGCAUGUUCAUUAAAUUGAUUGUGCAUUUAACUAGUAAACAUGUCAUAUUAUUUAUUAGAUGCUUCUUGGGAUUUUUCCCGACCUUUAUCGGGUGUUAAUUAUGCAAUUCGGGCCUAAGUGGAAUUUUUAGUAAUUAAAUAUUAAUUUUCGAAAUUAAUUAUUUAAUUAUUUUUUUUUUCUGGAAAUUCAACUAGGAUGGCCAAUGACCAGGAUUUUAUGCUGAUGAUCGUGGUGCAGUCCGUUUAUUUAAUUGAGCUUUAUAUUGUGCUAAAUUGGAAUUUGUAUUUAUUUAUUCAAUUUUCGAAAUUAAUUAUUUAAUUAUUUAUUUUUCCGAAAAUUCAAAUGGGAUGGCUAGUGAUCGGAAUUUCGUGCUGAUUGUCGUAGAGCAGUUCGUUUAUUUAUUUGAGCUUUAAUUUGUGUCGAAUUGAUUUAAUGGUGCAUUUUGAAGUUAUGUUCUUAAUUAAUGCAAUUUUGACUAUGUGAUUGAGAAUUAAUCGGGUAUCGGUUGUCAGUAUCGAAAGUGAGUUGGUAAAUCACCUGGAGAAUGGAUGUGGCCUGGUGAAUUGGAAUGUCACUUGGGAAGGACACGUGGCUCGGUAAUUGGAUAUGUUACCUUGGCGAAAAGGUAGUCUUAGAGAAUGCACGUGGCUUGGAAACUCGGUAUGUCAUCCUGGAGAAUGCACGUGGCUCGGUGACAGGGUAUGACAUCAUAAAAUGGGCACAUGGGCUUGGUGAUUAGAUGCAUCACUUUGGCUGACUUGGCGCCUAAGAGAAGGCAUGUGGGCCCGGGCAUCAUAAAAAGGGCAUGUGGGCUCGGUGAAUUGAUGCAUCACUUUGGUGAACUAGUACCUAAGAGAAGGCACGUGAGCCCAAUGACUUAAGUGUGGCAUCAUAGAAGAGACACGUGGGCUCGGUAAUUUGAUGCAUCACUUUGGUGAACUAGUGCCUAAGAGAAUGCACGUGCGCUCGACAUCUAGAUAUGCAUUGUGGGGAUUGUAUGGUUUGUUUGAUAUGUAAUCGACUAGGUCGAUUGAUCAUUACUUUGAUCUAAUGUUGUGAAUUGACUGAUUGAAUGGAAAUGACCGUGAGUGGUCUUGUUGGCAUGUAAUCGACUAGGUCGAUUUGAUUGAUGCUUCGAUCAGUGAUGUGAUUACUUUGGUGCCUAUUCGAUAUGUGCUAAUAUGCAGGUGUAAUUUGAAGCCAAGGUAAGUCCUAUGACUCAUGUUAUGCAUAGGCAACCCUAAGGUGUAUUAGUUUACUAAUUGAGUCUUAGGGGGUAGAACUUGCGGAGACAUAGUCUCAUCCCGGUUGUGGGAUUAUAUUUCAGGCCCCUAGAUUUCCCGAAGACGAGCUGACAUUUGAAGCCGAGGAUGAGCGAGAAGAAGGAGAUGAAGAGUUUGAAGAAAAUGAGCCUAGUGGUGAAAGAUCUGAGGAGGAUCAGGAUAAUGAUCCCGAGCAUGACUCGGAUGAGAACUGAGAUCCUAUCCUCUUUUGUGAACCCUGUAUUUGUGUGGUCGUGAAUUUCAUUAUGAAAAUUAUGGCAUGCUUUUCUAUUCCAUUGUUUUAUUGUCUAAUGAUUUAUAACUGCUUCCGCAUGUGCAUAUAUAAAUGAAAGGGUCGACGAUACAUAGUCUCAAGAUAUCACAUUUUAAAAUCGACCAAAGGUAAGAGAUGUGCACGUGCCUGAGGAUCGAAACGUGACAUCUUUAAUACUUAUUCACCCUCCUCUAGGUGUUUUUACUAGUCCUAUCAGUUCACAUUUACAUACGUCAAGGGUUCAAAGAGAGGGAGACCGCAAAUGCCCCGAGGCAGCCCCGCCAUAAUGGAUGACGAUAAUCUCAAAAUUCUCAAGGAGGAUAGUCCUGAAAUAUCACAACUAUCUUGGGCCUCCAAAUUUGUGCAGCCAGAGAAAUCUAUCUCUUCCAGUUUCUCUAACUUCACAAUAUCUUUAGGAAAUUUUUGUAGGGGGAUGCAUUCCAUCUUCAGCGUCUUCAAAUUACUCAAAUCUUGACUGACUCUGGUAGUUGUGUGAUUCUAGUGUCUGAAAGGUCCAUUUCCUCCGGCUCCUUUAGCUUCCCAAUGGAAGAUGGAAGUUCACACAAUUUCUCACACUUCCUUAGAGAAAGUCUUUCAAGCUUCGGAGGAAAAUCAAAAAUUUCUGGAACCCAAUCAAUAUUAGCACCAUCCAGAGCAAGACUUUUGAGUUUCAUCAAGUGGCCAAUUGGGGAUAUGUCCUUCAACUUUUUACAAUUACGAGCACUAAGUACUUCAAGGUUCCUCAAAGAAUUAUUUUCGAUAUGAAUUGCUACAACGUCAGUUUCGUCAAUAAGAAGUUCCGUCAAAAAUUCCUUGCCACUCAGUUGUAGGAUCGGCAGCUGGACUGCCUUGUAGUUUCUCAAAUUCAAGGAUUUCAAGCGCUUCAGUUGCCUGAUGAACGCCCAAAGCGUAGGUGACCGAGUACAAUCUUCCAUUAUCAAUAUCUCCAAAUUAGUUGAAGCUGAAGACACUUAAAUUUUGACAAUCCUAAGGAAAUAAAAUAAAAAUUGCAUCAAAACAAGAAAAAGAAAAAAAACCAGGGAAAAUCAGUAUGAUUGAUUAUGCAUGGAAAUUUGAAAUUCUAAUGAAUAUUCAGAUUUUGAUAAAUGCGGAAAUAAUUUGGAGAUCAUGUGAACAAAGGGCAAAGAUUUUGAUAAAACUGAGAAAUCUAAGCAAGAUCGAGCUGAUUAUGAAAUUAUGCCAUAAUUUACAAAUCUCAUUUAAUGUGACAAGAGAUGGAAACUUAAAAAAUGACAUACAAAGCGGCCGUUUGGAAUUAUUAUACAAGAGAGGUUCAUUUUUCGCAACUGGGGAGGUUUUUUUCGAAAAAAAUGAGAGCAAAAAAAAUUAAAAAAAAAAUUCCAAAAAAAAUUUAAAAAAAUUCAGAAAAAAAAAAAAGAAAAGAGAUUUGUGUGAGAAAAUUCGAAAAAAGGGGGUGGAAAAGUAAAAAAGGUGUGAAGUGACUGGUCCGUGAAAAGUCGUGUGCGGGCGAAAAAAAAAAAAGGGAACGUGCGUCUGUUCGUCUUCCUCGGUGUCCCCCGCCCGUUCGCGUCGGCCGCCGCACCGGCCGUCUUGCUGGCACUGCCUCGCGCCGGUCACCGCAUCUCAAUCACCACCGCGCCUUUACCGUCGCUGCUCCACCGGACUCGCCCCCCGAUGCACAGCGCCGCCGUCGAAGCCCCCCUGCAACAGAUUGAAGCUCGCCGCUCCGAUCUGACAUCCCGCACCGGUGACCGGCGACCAGCAACAGCUCCGCGACUCGCGACCCAGCUCCGCCGCUGUCUCUCGCCUGAGCGCCCAUCUGCAGAUCCCGAAGCACCAGCGUCGCUCAUGCCGGCACCCCCCGACUCGCCACCAUCCUCUUUCCGGCGACCCAGCGUCCGACGCCUGCCGGUUCGCCUCAGCCCGACGAUCUACUGUCGCAACGCCUCUACCCGAGAUCCGCCGGUCCCUGCCGCGACCAGCAGGCGCCCGCAACUCAGCCGCCUCCCGAGAUCCCACAGCCGAGCCCCACACCACAGCCGACUCCCGUACCGUAGCCGACGCCGCCGCCCAACGACCCAUGCCGGAGCCCCCAACAGCCACCGGCCUCCUUCCGGCGAUCCAGCGCCUGACGCCCGCCGGUUUGCCUCAGCCUGACGCCCGUUGAUUGCUGCGCCGAGCUCCCGUGAAGCCGUCACCGCCCCUGCCCUCAGCGCCGCUAGCACGCCCGUCGCCGCCUAGCCCUAGCCGGAGCCCCGACGCCGACCGCCGCCCUUCCUCCGCCCGACGCACCCCCCCUGUCCCCGUCGUUUACCCCUAGUUAGUUUUUUUUUUAAUUUUUUACUUUUACUUUUUACUUUCUUUGCAUUUUAGUUUAUUUUACUCUUUUUAUUUGUUAUUUUAGUUUUCUGUUUAUCUUUUUUGGCUUUUUUAGUUUAGUUAUUUGAUUUGUAAUAUUGUGAAAAAAAUUAUAAUACUGGAUGUUAAUAUUUGUAAUUUUUAUAGGCAUUAUUCGUAGGGAUUUUGUUUGAAAUUAUUGUAAUUAUUAAUUUGAUCUGAAAGGCGUCGGAUUAUUUUUUAAAUUAUAUUAAUUUUUGGGCUUUUUUAGAAGAAUUUUAAUUGUUAAAUCACAAUAAUUAUUUAAUUUAGUCCGUAACAUUUCGAAUUAGAUUUUUAAUUAUUUUGAUUCAUUUUUGUGAUAAUUAGGGUUAGAAUAAUUGUUAAUUUUACUUGUGAGACAACAAAUUAUUUUUUCGAUUAUUUUAAUCAUUUAUUUGUUGACUAUAUUGAUUGUUUAGAUUUAAUUUUUGUUUAAUAAUUACUCAUCUUAAAAAAAACUAAAAAAAAAAAUCAAAAUCUUGCAUGAGCAUAUGGGACCUGUAGGUUUAAUAAAUUAGACACGUAAGUUUAGUAAAUUAAUUUUUUAGGACUAUAUUUUUAGGAUUGCAUUUUUGGAUAUCUUUUUAAAAUAGGUUAGGGUUAGUCUUAAACAACCUUCUUUUUUAUAGAGUCUUAAAUAAAAUUGGCAUAUUUUUAUAUUCUUUUUUUAAAUAAAAAAAUAAUAAAUAGUUUUCUAAGAUAAAAUGGGGUUUAAGUCAAAUUAAUCCCAAAAAUGAAUUAGGAAAUUAUUCCCUUUUAGAUAGCUUAAUUAGGGUUUUUAUUAAUUUCGAAUUUCAAUAAAUAAAAAAUACAAAAAUGCUAGGUGCACAUUAACUAGUUUGCAUAAUAUGAUUAUUAAAAUAUGUUCACUAGUAAAAUUAGGUCAUGAGGUGCAUGCUAACUAGUUUGCAUAAUAGGCCCAUUUAAUUAGGAUUUACAUAUUAAUAAGAUUAAGUUAUUUAGUUAAAAAUGCAUUUUUAUAAAAGAAUUCUAAUUUUUUAAGAAAAAAAAAUCCUUUGCUUUGUGUGAUUUGUUUUUGUGUGAUGCAAUUUAUUUAUUGAAUGUUUAAUAAUGGUAGAACACCCGUGUGGUCACCAUAUUUGCAUGGUAGUAAUUUAGAUCAAAAUAAAUCCAAAUUGCUUGCAAAAACAUUUUUCUUAAAAAAAUAUAACAAAAGAAAUGGUACUGAAAGGACAUUAGAAAACUCUAGUGUAAUCAAGUUUCCAUACCCUUAGUCUCUAGAUCAUAGGAGUAAAAUAAAUAUUUCAUUAUUUUACUUAGGUGUCUAAUCGACCUACCGUUAACCGAUUAGUGGCGAUUUUUAGUUAAUAAUCUUUUGCAUGUUUAACAAUUUAAACUUAAGUCGCGAUUUGGUAUGAGCUUGGAAGAGCCCGAGUUAAGUUUAAAAACUUAGCAGUCCAUUAACCUAGUUUUAGGUGGUGAACAAAAAAAAACAAGUCGCGACAGCUUGGCGACUCCGUUGAGGAUUUGUGUUAAAACACUUAGUGGAUUUAAGCCAAUUUUUCUUUUUCUUUCAAAAAAUGUUUUUUGUUUGGCAGCUAGGAUACCAGAUAUGUCCAUAACAUUUUUAAGGUGUUAAAUGUUCUUGCAGAUAAAAGGGAUAAAGGGAGUAGUCUUUGCUAACCCUUGUCUUAUAAGGAGGUGUAGGCAUGAAUGAUUUUAUUUUUCCGUGUUGUUUGCAUUUAAAUUGUUAUGCAUGUUUUAUUACUUUUAGCACUACAUUAUUGCACACACAACCUAUGACCAGACCUGGGCUGCGAUAAGUUUUUUAGGAUAGUGUUGAGAAUGAUACUUCCUUCAAAGCGAGACUGCUAUGUAGAUAUUAACAUUCUUUUCCCCGAAAUUUCUUUCAUGGUGUCGGAUGUGUUUGUCCAUAUCCGCGAGACUACGUGAUUAUUAGGCAUUCCAUUCAACUGAUCUAGAGUUAGGGGGACUUAACACGUUAAUGCGAGACUGCAACGGUCAGAUUAUCAUCUUAACUCUACUCUAUUAAGCCAUUUAAAGUAAAAAUCGAGGCUCACAUCUCAUGUGCAUGUCUAUGUGAUUGUCAUUGAUUUUCCUUGGUGAAGUAAGUCUUCUAUCCUUAUAUCAUGCAAUUUAUUUUGUCAUACUUUUGGAUCAGUCCAUGGCAAUCUAGGUUAAUCAUUAAUUUAAUUCAUUUGUCAAUUAGAAAUGAAAUGAGGAAAUUGCCAUGCAAUGAAUCAUUUGGGAAAAAAAAACUUUUGCAAAAUUUAUUUUCAAUUCAUGUCUUUAUUGUUCUCAUUAGGGAGUUUCAAAUUUUGGUCUUUCCUAAUUCGUGUUUAGGAAAUUUAAUUCUUGCUAGGGUGUCUUAUUUUUAUUUUUCUAGAUAUUUUUAGGAAAUUCCCUUCUUGCACAGACUUUUCAUGAAUAAAAAAAAUGAAAAAAAUCGAUUAGAUUGCUGUUAUGGACUAGCUCUUUAUUUACACCUCAUGCUUACAUGUUCUCAUUUAUUUGAAUUAGGUGAUUAUGGAGCGAUCUCGCUCACCCAUCGUAUACGGUCGAGAAUUAAAAUGGCGGAUCAAAAUGAUGUGUUGGACCGUAUCAUUGACAAUAUGAACAAGCAAAUUGCACACUUCCAAAGUCAAGUCGAUGAAUUGUCUGCUAUUGUGACUUUUCUUAUCAAGCAAAAGGGCAGUGAUGACAUAGGUAUUCUAUCUUCAGUGAGAAACUGCAACUCGAAGAAGAGAGCCAAGAGAACUUUUGAAUCGUCUCAUUAUCCUGAGGUACCUAAAUUUGAUAUCACCAUAAAGAGACUAAUGACAUAUCUAGAAUUAAGAAUCUCUGACUUGGAGGGUUCGCAUCACAAGAUCAAGGAGGGUGAAGAACUCAAGCACGCAUGAUUCAUGGUCUUAAGUAGAUCGCAUUCCUUAUUUAAUUAGGGGCAUGUUCAGUUGUACCUUCCCAUGUGUGGGGAUUUUUAUUGCUUUCAAGGAUUGGUUUUAAUUUCUUCCGUUUUGCUUUAAUGCUUGAAUAUCACAUUUUUCAUUCCAAUAAAUGUAAUUUGAUUGAUGAAUAUUAAUAAAAUUACGAGUUUUGUUUUGAGAAUAUGAUGGGAUACACCAAACUAGCCCGGUGACGAUAUCCAACAAUGAAAAGAAAACAUCAUCCAUUGAGAAAUUCUGAGAACUGGGCUCUUCAUGCUUCCUCAUCCAAAAAUUUUAAAAAUAAAAUAAAAUAAAAGAGAGAAUAAAAAAAAUCAUUUUUUAAGCCAUUUCCAAAAGCAUGCAUUAGGUUAGCUCUUUUUAAUUUUCUGACUCAUUUACUUCAUGUUUCAGAGCAUUACUUUUUCGGUUUGAUGAGAAGGCAUCUAAAAAAGGUAUCCUAGGUUGCAAUUGGCCCAACUGUCAAGGACAUAUUUCUAAAGAAUUAAUGUGACAAAUUGGGGAUAUGAUAGAUUUUGGUAGUGACUCGAUUGAGAUAAGAUCUUGACUCAAGCCAAAAAUCGAUAUUCCAUUUGCUUUUGCUUUGAUGUUGCAUAGUAUCAUAUUCAUGCACGUUCUCUUGUGCAGGGGCAAAAGUGGAUUUUUAGUCUUGAAUGAUAGGACAAUCCAAAGACAUUAACUAAUAAUGCAAUCCCAUUGUAGAGGAAUUCUUGAAUGAAUGCUUAAAAUCAUUUUGCAAUGUGGAAAACUGUUUGUUUUGAAGUUGACAAUUUUUCAUGCCUAAAACUGUUGAGCUUUUUUUAAAAAAAAGGAGGAUUUUGCAUGAUGACUCUUACAUGUUUUAUCCACCAAUUCCACUAAAGAAUAUCAAGAUGGACUAAUUUAAUGAAUGAUACGGGAUGGAUUAAGCAUACUAAAUGAGACAAGUUGGGAUGAUGAAAGUCAAAUCCUAUCCUACACACAGUCCCAUAUUCAUACACUUGUGAGAUGAGUGUAGGAAGGUUUAUAUUCACAAGGUAAAGAGUUCUCUCACAAAAAGUACAACAACCGAAAUGAUGAGAGGUAAUUCAUUUUUCUAUCCCAAACACUAUAGGUGAUCCAUUGCUUAACCUUUUUGAGCCCAUACACUUAUGGAUAUUCUUUUCAAAUUACUCAUGUCAAGAAUCACCCCACAUCGGGGCAACUGGGAGAUAAAAUGAGAUCAUGAGGUGAGGAAAAUGAAUUGAAAUUUUCUUGCUUUUACUUGCAUCAAUUUUUAAGUCAUGCUAUUACAUUGAAUCCAUGUGAUAAUUUAAGUGCAUUAGGAUGACGAAGAGCAUUUCUUUUCUAUCCUAUUGUGGCAUCCGAGAAUUUAGUCGACCCUCAAAUAUACGACGGCCCAUAACUAAGUGAUGGAAUUAUCAUUGGACUAUAUCAUUGGAAUUAUAUAUGAAUAUUACCUUGAUACCGCCAUUGGACCGAUGGGUCACGGUUAGAAAUGGUUCAAUCAUCGAAUAAGUCAUAGUCCCAUCCCUGCAUGCUAUCACCAAUGAGACCGAGGAUGUGCCAUAAAAUGUGUCGACAAGAUAUCUUCUAUGUUGGUUUUAGCCGUCCAAUCAUACCAUGCGAACCGAACCUCUCAUGCACAUUGUCGCGAUUCCGUGCAGCCACGUGAGUAAUGAUAUUUCAACCCAUGUACCUGCUGAAAAUAAGAAUAAAAUUUUGGAGAAGUUGAGCCGUGCGUAAGGACCCUGCACGUUUCUUCCUUAUGCAAAUUAGCAAGUGAAGAAAAUGAAUUUGAAUCACUAUGUAGCCUUGUCAAGUUCUUUUUCCAUGCAAGAAUUUCAGUUAUGAAUUUGUACAUGAGGUGGAUUGGAUAAGAGAAUAUUGGUUGAUUUCCAUGGAGACCUUGAAACCGAGAAUGCUCUAUCCAUGUAUGGAAAUUUAAGGACCAAUCUUUGGAAAAUUUGAGGCCGUGUAUUAAGGACCAUAUGGCCACAAAGAAAAUAAACAUAAAAGUAAUUUGCUGCCUCAAUUAAGCCAAGCUUCCCUUAAUUGUCGUCGGAAUGGGGUCAAUGAGUUCUGAAAUCUUGACCGAAGGAAGCCCAGCAACAGCCACGUUGCUUCCUUGGAGACAGCCAGCAAAGCUCAAGGAAGAGCAAGCUGAAGACACGUCCUCCCCAAGCUGUCUUCGGUUCUUACUGCUACCGAAGGUUUUGCACGCAAAUUGACUAGUUUAUCAAUUAAUUGAGAAGCUAGUACGCGGAUUAGUCGAGGAAGAGAGAGAGAGCGAGUGAGCAACGAGCGGAGAGAAAGGAGGGAAGAAGGCCGCCCUCUGCCGAGCGUGCGUGCUGUUGUGACCGUCGCCGUGCACCCCUCGCCGCCUCACCGCACGCCAUUGACACCGUAGGACUCGAGGCAAAUGAAAGUCCACUAAUCUAUGUGAUGCAAGAAAUGUCGAGAUGAAGGUUGAAUACUAAAGUGUAGGCGAUGAAAGUGAAUGUUGAACUAAGAAAACGAGAAGAUACUUUGGUAUUCCUACGUGUUCUUUUAGGGUCUUUUGAUCUAGAAUUAACAGUAGAUUUUAUGAACUCUAGAAGUAAAUUAGACAAGGUAUAGGUAUGAGAUGAUUUGAAUCUAUGCUGUCUAGAGUAAUUCGCACGUAGUCAGUAGCUUCGAUGUUUGUUUUUAGAAGUUUUAAUAUGAAUUUAGCUUUUAUUACUUCAUGAGAGUUGUGCGGAAUUGUUUAGAUUGUCACAUGUAUUCACGCUAGGUUUUUUGUAUUAGUAUAAUGAGUACAAGAUCGAUUUCGGUGUGUUGUUUGCUGUUCGCGGGUAAAACCAGAAGAAAAUUCUGAGUGUAUAUUAAAGUUCUUAUAGAAUUUUUGGGAAUUGGUUGAGCAGUAUGUUUUUAGCAAAAGCGUGACAUGCAUUUGUGCGUGCAUCAUUGAGAUUACAUCUUUAGUCAAUGAGGUCAGGGAACUUUAUAUUGUUGUUAGGGAAUGUCGAUUGAUGGAAUGAAAUUCGGGUUAAGUUAUGCGAGUUGAUAUUCUCUGUACGUGACUGCAUUUUGAUUGUGGGGGUUCUUAUUUUCAAUAUACUUGAGUAUACUUCUGAAGGUGAAUGCAUUUCGGCUAUUAUUUAGCAGCAUGAUGGUUUGGCAUUCGAUAAGUCACUUGGUACUGAGAUUUUGAUAAAAACUCAUUAUACUUCCAAUGUCAUUGCAUUAAAAAUAUCUUUGAUCUUGAAAUGAGUUAAGAUGUUAAUGAUGCUGUCAGACCGUUGAGUCGACGAUGCCCCGGGAGUCGGGAGGCCCAAAGGCUCGAGUGAGUCGAUGUCCUUUGGAUGCCUGGGGUCCGUAGUGCCCCAGAGGUUUUCCCCGGGAGCUUCGGGAUGCUUGGUAGUAUGCUUGUUGGUACGUAAAUUCGGAGGGUAGGGGUAACCAUUUUCAUGGAGAAUCCCGGCGAUUCCUCGUGAUGCCAGGUGGGGUGUGAGAUGCCUGGAUGUGUGACGUAACACGCUCUGGAUGCCCGGUGGCCCUGUGUGACUGAGUGCCGAAGACUUUCGCGAUGCUAGGGUGGGUGUGAAAUCCCAUAAGGACACAAACACUAGUCCUCUGGGGGGAUAAAACCUUUUGAAUGAUUAAAACUAAUGGUUCUACUAAGUGUGAGUGUGGUUUGGUUAUCAGACUAAAUUGAAUGGCAUGAAAUGAGACGUGUCAUAACAAUUUGGCCAUAUGCUCAGGACUUGUGUGACUGAACAUGAUGUAUCUUGUUGGUUGGAACUGCAUUGGUCAUUGCAUUAAAGAGUUUUAUGGUUUCGAUGCAUAACCAUUCCUUGAUAAACUGUCUUGUCUAUAUUGCAUAAAACUAGAUCAUGAUGGCCUACAUAGUAUAGUUUAAUGGAUCUUUUACUGCUGAGUGGUUGUAUUCACCCCAUUUGGGGACUAACAUUUCAGACUAGAAGAUAUGCCUCUGCUACUAGUCACCCCCGACACAUUUUAUGGUAUUCCGGUCGACCUUCAGUGUGAGUGUUCGAAGCACCACCAUCCUAAGAUACGAGGGUUGGUUUUGUUCGAGUGCGGGUACUAAUCAUGUAUGACGUUGGUCCUCCCGCCGGCCCAGUGAUCCAGGAGUUUCUGACUAGUUCGUCCGCCGUGAUGGGAGUAUGCUGGGGCCAUUGCUACCACUGCCAGCUGAUGGACCAAACUGGGUGUGAUCGAGAGUGAUGGUUAGCUGAAGAAGCAUUUUUGGACCGCCGACACUGAUUGAUGGAUCUAUGUACAUGGUCAUUAGAGAGUCAAGUACUUUUUGGAAAAUAGCUGAGUUUAGAAAAAUCUUGGCAUUUUGAUGUAUCGAUUAAGAUGUCCAUCAGGUUUAUGUAAAUAAAAGUGUCUGGCUUUUACCUAUAAAAAUGUGUGUGGUUAGUGUGCAUCAUUUCUGAGUAUGAGAUAGGGAGAGGUUGAAUAUGCUUCCGUUAUAUUUUUGUGCAGGGACCAAUAUAAGAAUUAUAAACCCACUAGGACUCAUGGACUUCCUGAAAAUUUCAUGGUAUCAAAGUAAUAGACCUUCAGGUAGAGAAAGAGCAAGUGAUCUGUGGCGACCUCAGCAGAUCGAGGACUGUUCAGGGGGUGCCACACCUACAUACUUAUAUCCUUUGCAUAGCCCACUUGAGCCUGCAAUUUUAUUUCUUUUAAAUCUAGUUGGUGAUCAUCUCUCAUACUGGGGCAAGGCAAAAGGCAAAUUGAAGACUCUUAAAAGUUCAAGCGUCAUUCAAAGUAUAAUUCCUUGACGCAUGCAUUGUGCGCUAGAAUGGAAAUUAAAAUAGAACUAAGAGGUAUGAAAAAACAAUGUGCCUGGUAAAAGUAAGACUAAUGCCCAUGAAAAAGAAGUGAAGAAAAAAUGCAUGAAAACUAGAGGCAUAAAAAAGCGGUGUGCCCGAUAAAAGCAAGGCCGAUGCCUAUAGAUGAAAAUGAAAAAAAAAGUCAAGAAAUGUGACUAUCAAUUGUAAAAGGUUGCAUCCCUCAUGGAGCAACAUUCAAAGAACGCAAAUACCGAGCUUUUACAGUUAGUGGUGAAAAAGAAAAUUGGUCGCAAUACCAAGAAAAUCAUCAACUUUCACCCUUAUACACAUCUUCGAGCCUAAUAAUCUUUUGUUUUUCAACCCAUGAACCAGCCUACGUUACGUCCCUUGUAAAGUCUCUUCUGAUUAUGGCACUUGAAUUUAACCUAAGGGUUCACAUGUUUUAAGCAUCGCUCGAAGAAGUGCGAGCAAGAUUAUUUAUUUCUCAUUUUGCAAGGUUCUUGACUUGUAAACCCGGAGAUGACUGCGAAGCUGUUCUUUCAAUAGCCUUGACUCAAACAGUCCAUUUUCAAGCCAUUAACCAAGCCCACAUUACGAUCCAUGUUAAAGACCCCUCAAAUUGGUAAGGUCGUACCACUUGUGAGAAUACUCGGACCCUUAUCGAUAUGGUGAAAUUGAGUGAUUCUCCUAAAAUUGCCUUUUUGAAUGAGAGUGAGUGAAAGUCCUUUCUAACUGAAGGUCUCUCAUUUAGUAUUUUUAGAAAAUCCAUGUCAUGAGUGAAAAUUGUCUUGAACGAUAAUUCUUACCAGUUGAAAUUUUGGGUGAUGCAAAGGUCAUUAUGCAUGAACCCCGAUUGAAUUGAUAAAAACUCUAGUGGAUUUUGAAGUGUGCAUUCCAUAAUAGCCUUAAUUGCUUAUUUCUUUGGUGAAAUUUUUUUAUUUCUACCAGAAGGUGAGAGGCCUCCAUAGGAUAUCUAAGUUUCAGAAGACAUAUCCCCAAGAAUCAGAGAUAUCACCAGGUAAGUAUAUCUCUACCCAUACUCUAAAUACUUGUCAUUGUGCAAGUAUUCUCUCUCAAGUGCAUCGACACUUGACUUGGCCAAAUUGUCCUUUAUAUUGACCUAGCAUGCUUUCGUAGCCCAGAGUCCCUUUCAUCGACCCAGCGUACUUUCCUAGCCCGGUGUCCUUUAAAUUGACCUGGUGUGCUUUCAUAGCCCAAUGUCCAUUUCAUCGACCCGGCAUGAUUCCGUAGCCCGGUGUCCUUUAUGUUGACCUAGCAUGCUUUUGUAGCUCAAAGUCCCUUUCAUCAACCCGGCGUGCUUUCGUAACUCAGUGUCCUUUAAAUUGACCUAGCGUGCUUUCGUAGCCCAGCGUCCAUUUCAUUGACCCAGCGUGCUUCCAUAGCCCGGUGUCCUUUAUGUUGAUCUGACAUGUUUUCGUAGCCUAGAGUUCCUUUCAUCGACCCAGCAUGCUUCCGUAGCCUAGUGUCAUUUAAAUUGACUUGGCAUGCUUUCGUAACCUAGAGUCCCUUUCACCGACCCAGCGUGCUUUCGUAGCCCGGUGUCCUUUAAAUUGACCCGGCGUGCUUUUUUAGCCUAGAGUCCGUUUCAUCGACCCGGCGUGCUUCCGUAACCUGGUGUCCCUUAUAUUGACUUGGCGUGCUUUCGUAGCCUAGAGUCCCUUUCAGCGACCCGGCGUGCUUUCGUAGCCCGGUGUCCAUUUAUAAUGACCCGACGUGCUUUCGUAACCCGGUGUCCAUUUAUAAUGACUUGGCGUGCUUUCAUAGCUCAGAGUCCAUUUUAUCGACUCGGCAUGCUUCCAUAGCCCGAUGUCAUUCUUUAUUGACCUGGCCUGCUUUUAUAGCCCGGUGUCCUUUGAUAUGACCCAGUGUGCUUCUAUAGCCUAGAGUCUCUCUAUCAAAUCGGUGUGCUUUCGUAGCCUGAAAUUCCCCUUCAUCAACAUGGUGUGCUUCCGUAGCUCAGAGUCACCUCAUUAAUUUAGGAAACAUAUCCCUAAGAAUCAGAGAUGUUGCUAGGUAAGUAUAUCUUUAUCCAUACUUUAAAUACUUGUCAUUGCAUAGGUAUUCCCUUUUGAUUAUACUGGCACUCAAUUGAGUUGUCCCCCAAAGAUUUUUCUCCAAGUUCAGUCUGAUUAAGGUGAUCGAAGAAAGGUUCGGGUCCUGGUCAAAUGAUCUAUGUUGCAACGCUAGGCAACUAAAGAAAGAUUCGGGUCCUAGCCAAGCAAAACCUCAAUUUAGGUGACCGUAAAAUGGUAACGGUCCUAGACCACAUUUAUUUCCCCUUUCAGGCGACCGUAGAAUGGUAUGGGUUCUGGAAAGUAAAUCUCCGUUUAGGCAACCGUAGAAUGGUUUGGGUCAUGGAAAAUCAUUUUUUUGUCAAGGCGACCGUAGAAUAGUAUGGGUCCUAGACAACAUUCAGGUGAUCGUAGAAUGGUACGAGUCCUGGAGAAUUAUUUUCUCAUCAAGGCGAUCGUAGAAUGGUACAAGUCCUAGACAACAUUCAGACGACCGUAGAAUGGUACGGGUCUUGGAAAAUGAAUCCCCAUUUAGGCGACCGUAAAAUGAUACAAGUCCUAGACACAACCAAAUGCCAUAUUAGGCAACCUUAGAAUAGUACAAGUCCUGGGAAAGCAGUCUCUUUGCGAAGCCAUGUUACUAUUCUGGGCGACUGUAGAAUGGUACGGGUCCUGGACAUGUAACACUAACUAUUUUGAAUUACUCUACCCUCCUUGAAGGUUAGUUAUUCCAGGUAGGUUCAUUUAUCGUUUGCAUUAGCAUUUCCAUGCAUCAUAUAAAUUGCAUUUCAAAAUGGGAUUCAUUUUCCAAAAAAAAAAUCAUUCAAUGCAUGAGCAUGAUCAAAAUUUAGUUCACAAUUUGUCUUUGAAGGCAACCUCUACGAGCUUACUUUCAAAUAGGAGCAGCUAUUGACACCUAAAUUUUGAUGACCCUAAGGAAAUAAAAUAAAAAUCCCAUCAAAACUAGAAAAAGAAAAAAAUGAGGAAAAUCAGUCUGAUUGAUUAUGCAUGGAAAUUUGAAAUUCUAAUAAAUAUUCAGAUUUUGAUAAAUGUGGAAAUAAUUAGGAGAUCAGAUGAACAAAUGGCAAAGAUUUUGAUAAAAUGGAGAAAUCUGAGUAAAAUUGAGCUGAUUGUGAAAUCAUGCCCUAAUUUACAGAUCUGAUUUAAUAUGACAGGAGAUGGAAAUAUAAAAAAUGCCAUACAAAACAGCCGUUUGGAAUCAUUAUAAAAGAGAGGUUCAUUUUUCAUAACUGGGGAGGUUUUUUCGAAAAAAAUUGAGAGUAAAAAAGAUUUAGAGAGAAAAAAAGAGAGAUUUUUGUGAGAAAAUUCGAAAAAAGGAGUGGAAAAGUCAAAAAGGUGUGAAGUGACUGGUCUGUGAAAAGUUAUGCGUGGGCGAAAAAGAAAAAAAAAAGGGGAAUGUGCGUCUGUUUGUCUUCCCCGGUGUCCCUCGCCCGUUGCCUCGGCCACCGCACCAGCCGUUGCAUUGACGCUGCCUCGCGCCAGUCAUCGCAUCUCAAUCACCACCGCACCUUUACCACCACUGCUCCAUCGGACUCGCCCCCCGAUGCACAGCACUGCCAUCGAAGUCCCCCUGCAACAGAUUGAAGCUCGCCGCUCUGAUCUCACAUCCUGCACCGGUGACCGGCGACCAAGAACAACUCCGCGACUCAUGACCCAACUCCAUCGUUGUCUCUCGCCCGAGCGACCCAUCUGCAGAUCCCGAAGCACCAGCGUCGCUCACGCUGGCACCCCUCGACUCGCCACCAUCCUCUUUCCGGCGACCCAGCGCCCAAUGCUUGCCAGCUUGCCUCAGCCCGACGAUCUGCCGUCGCGAUGCCUCUACCCGAGAUCCGCCGGUCCUCGCCACGACCAACAGCCGNNNNNNNNNNNNNNNNNNNNNNNNNNNNNNNNNNNNNNNNNNNNNNNNNNNNNNNNNNNNNNNNNNNNNNNNNNNNNNNNNNNNNNNNNNNNNNNNNNNNGGCAUUAUAUGUAGGGAUUUUCUCCAGAAUUAUUGUAAUUAUUAAUUUGAUAUGAGAGACGUCGGAUCAUUUUUUUUAAUUAUAUUAAUUUUUGGGCUUUUUUUAGUAGAAUUUCAAUUGUUAAAUCACAAUAAUUAUAAUUUGGUCCGUAGGACUUCAGAUCAAAUUUUUAAUUAUUUUGAUUUUCUUGUUGUGAUAAUUAGAGUUAGAAUAAUCGUUAAUUUGACCUGUGAGAUAGCAAGUUAUUUUUUCGAUUAUUGUAAUCCUUUAUUUUGUUGACUAUAUUGUUUGUUUAGAUUUAAUAUUUGUUUAAUAAUUACUUAUCUUAAAAAAAACUAAAAAAAAAUCAAAAUCUUGCAUGAGCAUAUGGGACCUAUAGGUUUAAUAAAUUAGACAUGUAGCUUUAGUAAAUUAAUUUUUUAGGACUAUAUUUUUAAGACUGCAUUUUUAGAUAUCUUUUUAAAAUAGGUGAGGGUUAGUCUUAAACAACCUUUUUUUUUAUAGUCUUAGAUCAAAUUAGCAUAUUUUCAGAUUCUUUUUUUUAAAAUAGUUUUCUAAGACAAAAUGGGGUUUAAGUCAAAUUAAUCCCAAAAAUGAAUUAGAAAAUUGUUCCCUUUUAGAUAGCUUAAUUAGGGUUUUUAUUAAUUUCGAAUUUCAAUAAAAAAAAUAUACAAAAAUACUAGGUGCAUAUUAACUAGUUUGCAUAAUAGGAUUAUUAGAAUAUGUUCACUAGUAAAAUUAGGUCAUGAGGUGCAUGCUAACUAGUUUGCAUAAUAGGCCCAUUUAAUUAGGAUUUACAUAUUAAUAAGAUUAAGUCAUUUGGUUAAAAAUGCAUUUUAUAAAAGAAUUCUAAUUUUUUAAGAAAAUAAAAAAAAUCCUUUGCUUUGUGUGAUACAAUUUAUUUAUUGAAUGUUUAAUAAUGGUAGAGCAUCCUUAUGGUCACCAUAUUUGCAUGGAAGUAAUUUAGGUUAAAAUAAAUCCAAGUUGCUUGCAAAAACUAAACAAUAUAAAAAAAAUAAAUGGUACAGAAAGGGUAUUAGAAAACUCUAGUGUAACCAAGUCCCCGUACCCUUAGUCUCUAGUUCGUAGGAGUAAAAUAAAUCUUCAUUUAUUUUACUUAGGUGUUUAAUUGACCUACCGUGAACCAAUUAGUAGCGACUCCUAAUUAAUAAUCUUUUGCAUGUUUAAAACUUUAGACUUAGUCGCGAUAUGGUAUGGACUUGGGAGAGCCCAAGCUAAGUUUGAAAACUUAACAGUCCAUUAACCUAGUUUUAGGUGGUGAACCCAAAAAAACAGGUUGCGACAAACACAAACCCUCUCUUUUGGAAUACACCAUCAGUAUAUGUGAGGGAAUUGGGUUAAUAGUAUAUACCCAAUAUUUCUAUGAUUUUCAAAAUUUCCGACAAACGUGAUUAUAAGUAAUGUCUAGAGGUUUUGUCUAUAAUCAAUCAUAGUUUUCGUAUUUGAUUUUUUAUGUUUUACAUUUGGUAUUAAAGCAUGUUUAGAACAUCUGCCUUGUUUUUGUUGAAUUUUUGGUGUAUUUUCGGGCAUUUUUUGAAGAUGAACAAUAACUCAAAGUUACCACCCGUGAUGGCGGCGUAAUGGUUGAGCUUCAGUUCUUUUCGGGAGAGGUAUGGAAUUUGAAUCCCUGCGUCGUCUACCUUGUUGAAAAGGAACCCACGACUUGCCCAGGGCAGAAAGGGUGGUGGUGACUCUCUUGCUCCUCCAAGUUUACUCCACCACAAAGCUACGCAUGGAGGUUUCCUGAGUAUCAAAAAAAAAAAAAAAAACAAUAACUCGGAGUUUUGAGGCCAAGAGAGAAACUCGCUAAUUCCGAGCAAAAUUCGGUGACCCACCGCUCAAUUUCAAACCCAUACAGUCGCAUCGCCAUAAGAAACAUUAGCAAUGAGUUAUUUUGGCAUAUCGGUGUUCGCCCGAGGCUAAUCAGGCGGUGGAAAUCAAGGUGGUUGAGGUUUUGCGUUUUUGGAAAUUUUCUUUUGAUUCGGGCCAAUUUCUUGCUCAUUUUCGCCGAAACUUGGACCCAUGUGGUCAUGCCGGCAUGGUUUCCAAAGCCACUAAUUUAUUUCGAUCUUAGAUGGGCUACCGGAGAAGAAACAGUGGUGAAAUCGCAACGGAAAACAGUGAAAUCAUGGCGGAAAUCGGCUUUGCGUGCGGGCCACGUGUGCGCCUCAGAUGGCGGAUGCAGGCGUGUGCUUAGACGUGCCGCAGCGUGCCUUUUUACUCUUUUGUCCCUAUGCCAUUUUUAAAUUCCCAUUUUGCCCUUUUUGCAAUUUUGCAAUCUUGCCUUUGGCCAAUUUUAUUUACUGUUCUGCCCCUUGGUACAUUUAUUUACUAUUUUGUUAUUUUAUACAUUUUUAAGAAUAUUUUAUAUAUUAAAUUGAAUGUCCAAUGAUCCAUAUAGUUAAUUAAUUAGAAAGUGGCCACAACAUCUUUAAUUAAUUAAAUUAUAUAUUAAGAGUCUCCAGAUCAUAUUUAGAAAUGGACAUUAAUUGUAAUUAAUUAUAUUAAUAUGAUGAAUUUUAUCCCACGGGAAUUUUCAUUGUAUUAAUAUGAUUGAUUAGAAUGAAAUAUCAUAUUAUUUUUCUUAAUUUACCCACAGGGAUUAAGAAAAGAUAUAUAAUAUGGUAGUUUCUUCAUAAUGUAAUUAUGAAUCUAUUUAAAUUAAAAACUUAGCCCAUAUGUAGUUUUUAUGUUAUGUGAUUCAUAUUCAUGACGUGUAUACAUUGGUAAAACAUGAUUUAUGUAUAUUUUGCCUCAACUUUUGUGACAUAAGCAUGAUUAUGUGAUGUGCAGUUUUGCAACCUGUGAAGUUCUCUAAAUUUAAGUGUGAUGUUCGGUGAGAACUGUAAAGUCUGGAACAAGUUAGUUCUUCUUCAAUUGGGAUGGAUGGACAUUGACUAUAUUAUAAAGAAAGAUGAACCACCUGCUCCUACUAAUUCGAGCACUGCAGCUGAGAUAGCCCAUCAGUCAAACUACAUAUGUGCAAUGUUUAUAAGAGCUAAAAUAUAUUCUAGUAUUUGUGGUUUGGUUACUCAGCAUAGCAAUGCUAAGACUUUAUUGGAGGCCAUAAAUGCGCAAUUUGAAACUUCUGAGAAGGCACAUGUCAUGAUCCUAAUUAUGAAUUUUGCAUCAUUGAAGCUCACUAGUGUUAGAAGUGUGCAUGAGUACAUCAUGCAAAUGAGAGAUAUUGUGGCUCAGCUUAAGAACCUUGAAAUUGAGAUAUCUGAAUAAUUUCUUGUGUAUUAUAUUCUGGACACUCUCCCACAACAGUAUGCGUCUUUCAAUAUCUCUUACAACACACAUAAGAAUAAAUAGUUAAUUAAUAAACUCAUGAUCAUAUGUGUUCAAGAGGAGGAAAGACUGAUUAUGGAAUUAGAAGAAAGUGCUCAUUUGGCAAUACAAGAAAAGAAUAAUGGUCAUGACAAGUAUAAGGGAAAAUGUAAAAUAUCUCCCCAAACUAACAUUAAGAAAUAAUCCAAAUGUUUCUUCUAUAAAAAUAAUGGGCAUAUAAGGAAUGAUUGCAUCAGAUUUAAGGCAUGACUUGAGAAAAUACGUAAUACAAUCUCUUGUAUUUGUUAUGAAUCUAAUAUGGCUGAUGUAAGUCACAACACUUGGUGGAUUGAUUCUAGAUCUACAAUUCAUAUUUUGAAUUCCUUGCAAGGUUUUCAAAACCACAGGAAACUAGUGGGAAGUGAACAAAGCAUAUAUUUAUGAAAUAAGAUGUGUUUGCAUGUGGAAGCUAUUGGAACAUGUAGACUAAUCCUCAAUAGUGACUUUAUUUUGAAUUUGGAAAUGACUUUUUAUGUUCCUAGUUUCUCUAGAAACUUAAUUUCAGUUUCAAAACUUGUACCUUUGGGCUAUUAUUUUAACUUUUCAGAUUCAAACUUUUGUUUAUCGUUUAAUUUGAAAUUGUUGGGAGUGGUAUUUUGGUUGAUGGUCUUUUUUGAAUUAAUUUCCAAGAAAAUGCCUAUUAUAAUAAGAUGCAUGUUCAUGAUAACGCUAGUAUGAAACGAUGUGUUUGGUAUAAAACAAUGUGUUGUGAAAAAACGUUCCUCUAUGUUGUGGCAUCGGAGAUUGUAACAUAUCUCCAAAGAAAGAAUGAAACAAUUGGUAAAUGAUGAAAUACUUAGUACUUUAAAUUUUACUAAUUGUGAUACUUGUGUGGAUUGUAUAAAGGGAAGCAGACCAAUAAGACAAAAAAAUGUGCCAAGAAGAGUACAGAAAUAUUAGAAAUUAUAUAUACAGAUAUUUGUAAUACAGAUAUGGACUCGUGUGGUUAGAAAUGCUUCAUCUCUUUCAUAGAUGAUUACUCGCGUUACAUGUAUCUUUAUUUGAUUUUUAAUAAACAUGAAGCAUUAGAUGCCUUUAAGGUGUUUAAGGCGGAAGUAAAGAAACAAUGCGGCAAACAAAUUAAGAUCGUGAGAUUAGAUAGAGGUGGAGACUUCUACGGUAUAUACAUUGAAAAUGGACAAGCACCUGGUCCAUUUGCAAAGUUUCUUCAAGAGCCUUAGAUAGUUGCCAAAUAUACUAUGCCUAUUUCUCUAGACCAAAAUGGUGUAGUGGAAAGAAGAAACCAAACCUUAUUGGACUUGGUACAGAGUAUGCUUAGUGGCUUUAAACUUCAUAAAUCCUUGUGGACUGAAGCACUUAAGACGGCAAUGUAUAUAUUAAACCAAGUUCCAACUAAGGCUACAAGAAAAGAAGUUUGACCUAAGGAUCAUAAGUAGGUAUUUUAUUAGAUAUGCCAUAAGAUCCAAGGGAUAGAGAUUUUAUUGUCUAUCUCACACAACUAGGAUUGUGGAAUCAAGAAAUGCUGAAUUUCUUGAAAAUAACUUGAUUAGUGGGAGUGAUCGUUCGAAGGACUUGGUUCCUAAGAAAUAUUAUACAGACACUCAACCUUCCACCUCAAGUUUAAGGUUGGUUGUUGUUCAUAAUGCCCCCUCAAUUCAACCGACUAUUGAACAACUAAUCGUUGAAGUUCCACAACCUGCCGAUAUUGAUCUAGUAGAUCCAGUUGUUUAACAAUUAUCAGAAACUGUUGAACAACAUGCUCCUCAAGAGAAUGUUAAUGCAACAUUGAAAAGAUCUGCUAGAAUAAGGAAAUCGACAAUUCCUAAUGAUUAUAUUGUGUAUUUUUAAGAUUUUUACUACAAUAUUUGAGUUGAGAAUGAUCCUGAAACGUUGUCAUAAGCUAUGAAUAGUGAUAAAUCCAAUUUGUGAUACAAUGCCAUGAAAGAAAAGAUGAAUUCUAUGGCAUCCAACGAAGUUUGGGAUUUGGUUGAGUUGCCUAAUGGUGCGAAGGCCAUUAGUUGUAAAUGGGUCUUCAAAACUAAGAAAGAUUCAUUGGGUAACAUUGAAAGAUAUAAAGCUAGACUUAUUGCCAAAUGAUUCAUUCAAAAGAAAGGAAUCGAUUACACGGAGACUUUUUCUCUUGUAUAUAAAAAAAGAUUUUCUUCGUAUUGUUUUAGCAUUGGUUGCCCAUUUUGAUAUGGAAUUACAUCAGAUGGAUGUGAAAACAUCAUUCCUCAAUGAAGAACUAGAGGAUGAGGUUUACAUGAAACAACCUAAAGGAUUCUCCUCUAGUAAAUGUGAGCAUUUGGUGUGCAAGCAUAAAAAAUCUAUAUAUGUCUUGAAACAAGCAUCUCGCCAAUGGUUCUUAGGGUUCCAUAAUGUUAUCUCUUCAUUCGGUUUUGUAAAGAAUGUUAUGGAUCAAUGUAUAUACCAAAAGGUCAGUGGGAGCAAAAUUUAUUUCCUUGUGCUAUAUGUGGAUGCUAUUCUACUUUCAACUAAUGAUAAAGGGUUGUUAUAUGAAGUGAAACAAUUUCUAUCUAAGAGUUUUGAUAUGAAGGAUAUGGGUGAAGUAUCUCAUGUCAUUGGCAUUAAGAUCUAUAGAGAUAGACCUCAAAGAAUUUUAGGACUAUCUCAAGAAACCUAUAUCAAGAAGGUUCUAGAGAGAUUUUGGUUAAAAGAUUGUUUACAAAGUAUAGCACCUAUUGUGAAGGAUGACUGGUUCAAUUUGAACCAAUGCCCGAAGAACGAUCUAGAAAGGGAACAAAUGAAUAACAUUCCAUAUGCUUCUGUCGUCGGAAGCUUUAUAUAUGCUCAGGUUUGCACUCAUUCUGACAUCGUUGUUGCUGUGAGAAUGUUGGGAAGAUAUCAGAGUAAUCCAAGUAUGGACCACUGGAAAGCUGCAUUUCUUAGAGGAUCCUACCAAGCUAGAGAAGAAAAGGAGUUUAGAAAGCCAUAGAGAGGUUUUUCACAAAACACUCACUUUACUUCAGGGGACUCUGCCCAACAAAAUACACCCUCCUCGCCUUAUAUAGGCAAUAAGAGGUCACAAGCCAACAAGCAAAGACCAAGCUAAUGAGUCCAGAUACAAACAGAGACACCGAAAACUUCCGGGAGAGAAUUAUUCGCACACUAUGAACAGUGACUGUAGUAUGAACAGUACUUUCCCUAGCCUAGUGCUACAGUAAAAAUGAAUAGUAUUUUCCCUAGCCUAGUGCUACAGUGAAAUUGCACGGACUUCAACGAUCUCGUCCGUCAUGAGCAUUGUAGUCAUAAUUGGAGUCAUCCGAGCUAUGUACUGUUGCUAGGCAAUGUUCAUCAUACUUUUGUUCAAAUGCUUCAAGGUCUUCUAGUGAUAGGAUUUAGUUGAGCUAAUGAGAUGUGGAUGCUGCUUCGUAAGCCCAGUGGGAUGCUUCUUCUUCAGCCCAGUUUGUGUUGUCAUCCUUUGCUGUGUUGGCAAGAAUGCUUGGCUGAGACCAAUUAGAUGGUUGUGCAUAGAAAGAUGUAUCUAUGCUUUGAGACGAGCGUCCUUGUUCAUAGGGAUCCUAGGACAAAGGACCUCCAAAACAUGCAUAGGGGUCCUGGGUGGAUUGGACAGUAUCAUCUGCUCCUGUCAUUUCAUGAUCUUAAGAUAAUGCAGCUUGUCUGUUUUGCCUGAGUGCAUACUUAGCUUUUGGUGCUAAGUUAUAAUGAUUCCACAUAGUGGGUACAUUAUUCCAUACAAUUUCGGGAAUGGUCUUGUUUUCCUGGCACAAGAUUCUCUAAAGUUCUCGGUAUUGGUGUUCACAAGAUCUAACAAAUCAUGGAUAAGAUUUGUGAAUCCGAGCUUCUUUGCUAUCCAAAUGAGGUUUAUAGGAUGUGGUUUCUAUUUCCUGUGGGGCAUUAAUUAUUUCUGAAAAAAAAUGCCAUGGACGUCUAAAAAACAGGAUGGUAUGGACUUCAGGAUUUGGUGUCAUGGUUCUUAGUUCUUUCUUCAAGAGAUGUUUCCAGUGAGUAGGAGGAUCGAACCAGUUGAGAAAGUCCAAAAGAUUUUGAUCACUUUCUCUCUCAAUAUUUUUCCUAAGUAAGAAAAUCCUGGUGAGGUUGGCAACGAAUUGGAAUUUCAAUAGUUAUCAAGUACUUAUUGGUUAAGUACCAUAAUAACGUUUUGAGUUGAUCAGGGAAAUCAUCUUCCUUCCAGAUAAGAGGAUGUAUGAAUAGAUAAUCCGAAUUUAACCCAAAAGGAUAAAGAAUCGAACCUCCAUUAAAUCUGAACAUAUCUGUGUGACAUUGCCACAUAAGGUUCUCCAGGUUCUCAACGAGAGUGUCAUUCUGGAUUUGUUGAAUAAUCUCCUGGGGAUAUUUCCAACUUGGCAAAUCUUUGAUCUUCUCAAUCUUAUAUUUCAUGCCAUGAUUGAGCAUAUGAAAAGUAGGCCUCUUGAUGUACAUGUUGAUUUCAGCUGGUGCUCUUGACCUAGACAGGAAGUCAGCAAGCACAUUCUUUUUUCUAGGAAUAUGUUUGGUUUCAAAAGAGUAUUUUGAAAACCAUUCAACCCAUCAAAGUAGUUGAGAAUUUGGAAUAUGUUUUUGUUUAAACUUGGUCAUCUGAGAAAAAGAUGCCAUGUUUAAUUCUACUAGGAAGUGAUGGCUGAUGAAAUGGAAUUCAAAUUUCUUGAUUCCAUUUUUUACUGCUAAGAUUUCUUUGAAAGUGGAAUGGUAAUGCAUUUCAGCUUGAGAAAAAUUUCCACUUUUGUGAGCACAAAGGUGUCUCUUACCAUCAAUUUCUUCAAACAAGAUAGCUGCCCAGUAUUCAUCACUGGCAUCAGUUUGAAGAAUUCUCUUCCCUGUUGAUGGUAUCUACAAUGGUGGGAGGUUCUGCAUUAUCUCCUUAAGUUCAACGACUACUUUAGUCUGAAUUUUUCCCCAAGGUGGGGGGUUCUUCUUUAGCAUAGAUUGUAAAUGAAUCAGGAGCUUUGCAAUAUUUGGGACAAAAUCUCUAAGAUAAUUGAUGAUCCCAAGAAAUUGCUGAACUUGUUUUGUGGUGAAAUUAUCUUCAAGAAACUUCAAUAAUUCUUGAGCAAUAUGUGGCCCGGGGUAGUACGUAUCUUUGUUGAUGUGCAUACCAAGAAAUUCAAUCUCUGUUUGGGCAAUGUUCAUUUUUCUUUGAGAAAGCAUGAUGCCAUGCUUCUUUACGAUUUCUGCAAACUGAUCAAGGAGUUGACAGUGUGACUGCUCAUCAAAACUGUAGAGCAGGAUGUCAUUGAUAUAUACUGUAGUACUUGAGAGAAUUGGUUGGAAGAUACGACACAUGGCUUUUUGGAAAAGGGAUGGUGCUACCUUUAGGCCAAAAGGAAAAAAAUUUCCACUGGAAGUGCUGGUUCGGAAUACAGAAUCCUGUUUUGGAUAUGUCUUCAGAAUGGAUGCCCAAUUGCCAAAAUCCGGCUUUGAGGUCCAACUUAGAAUAGAUAUGGGCCUUGGUUAGGCUAGUAAAGAGGGAAUCUCUAGAGGGUAAAGGGAAUUUAUCAUCUUGGAGAAAGAGGUUGAGAGGUUGAUAGUUGAUUACCAGUCUCAUUUUUCCUCUGUUUUGCUCAGCACACUUAUUGACAUAGAAGGCUUCGCAAGCCCAUUGAGAAUUGGAGACUUCAAUAAAGCCUUGUUGCAAUAGUUCUGAGCAUUCCCUUUGAGCUAAAGCCAAGUGUCCUAGCUUCAUUCUCAUAUGACUUGCCUUGGUUGGAUUUAUAUCUUCAUUCUUCUUGAAAGGAAGGCGAACAAAGAAUUCUGGAUUUUCUCACAAAGGAUGGGAACACUUUUGAGCGAAUUCCAAAUGGGAUUCCGAACAAGAUUCUAACAAUUUUUGCAUGAUUGGAUCUAAUAGACUCACCUGAAUGGAAAAAAGUCUUUGAAUAUUGACAAACUCAAAGAAUUGGUCUUUAUAUCUAAGAACUUUUCCUAGGAUGAUAUGAAGUUGGGAGAUUUGAGUCAUGAUAUCCCAACCAAUGAUUAAGUCUUUGUUGGGAAGACUAGAUCCAAAGAUUUUUGUGGUUAUAGAACACUGAGGGCAAUAUCGGACAUUUGUGGAGAAAGCGUCUCUUGAGGCAGAGUUGAAAUAUUGGACAUAAGGAGUCCAAUAUUCUUCAGGAAGUACUUUGGUAUCCAAAAUCGAACAGCUUGCCCCGGUAUCAAUGAGGGCAAUAAUAGUGAUAGGUUUAGCAAACUUUGAGGUGAGAAUUUUUAUAGUGAAAUGAGGACAGUGAGUUUGACUUGAGACUAUGUCAAGGCUUGGUUCUGCAUAUGUAGGUGAUAUGUGAAAAAUAUUUUCAGAUUCUGAAUCUGACUCAAUUUCACUGAAAGUGUGAUAACAUGGAAUGACACAAAGAGUUUGUUCAGAUGAUUCUUCAUCAGCAGAGAACAAUGAUUCGAUAUCAUCAUUUUCAAGAUAAAUUCAUGUUUCAUUCUCAAUUUGAUGUAUUGAAUGAUGCUGACAUUUUCUGGCUUGGGGACAGUUUUUGGCAAAAUGUCAUUUCUGAUUGCAGAUGUAGUAUCGAUUUGACUUUUUAUGGCAUGUGCAAUCCUUCCUUUUGCGUAGGUAGCACCAUUUCUUCUUUCUUCGGAAGUGCUUGUGGCCAUGUUUGGAUGAUCUCUUCAUCCAAUACUUCUUGAAGUGCUUCUUUUUUCGGGAAGCUUUUCCACAAGUACCAUCACAGUAUUUUUUGGAACAUUUGAUUUUUAGCUUCUGGUGGGAGCAGGCUGUUUCGAGUUCUCUAUCGUUUGUGAUGUAGGUGCAGACCAUUUGGCACUUUAGGCACAAUUCUUCAAGGCAUAGAUAGAUUUCUUUGUUGUAUUUCUCCUAAAAGAAUAUCAUGUACUCUCCUUUGUCUUCCAAAAAAUGAUCUUUCAACCAUCUGGGAUAAUUCUUUAGGGAUGGAAGUAAGGAAAACAUGCUUUAGAUUUGGAUCAGCUCCAAUCUGAUAAAAAAACUGAAGCAUUUCCGAUAAUGCUUAUCAAGAUGUUUCUUCUGGAGGAAGCAACAUUUUCUUUCAAAAAAUUAUCUUAUUUUCAUUUCUAUGAGGUCAAUGAGUUUUCCCAUAAAGAAAUGAUAUAAGAGAGUAAUGGCAUGGCUAAAAUCUGGUGACAUUAGAAAAUGAAUCUGGUCUUGUUCUGAUACUAAUUUCCACCAAAGUUUGAGGCUUCUUGUGAACCUUGUGACAAAGUUGUAAAGGACAUCAUUCAUAUCAUGGUUGGUGAUGGACUGAGUGUUCAGCCAAAUAUAAAUUCUUCAAGUCUUUCUGGCCAUUUAUGAUAGGGGAUAUCAUCGAUGGUGAAAAACUGCUUUGAUGACAUGGACACAUGGUGUCCCGGAUUAUUCUGAACAAUCUCUGGGUCAGAGUAAUUUGAUUCCAUUUUUUGAUCUGGAGGAUCAGCCAUGAAUAUAGAUGAAGUCACUGGUGCAAUAGGAAGGGAAUCAUCAAGGAUUGAAAAAAAUGAAGAUGAUGAAAAUGAUGUUGAAUCUGAUUCAAUUUCAGAAGUGGUAGGAACAGUUUGUUCAGUUGGAAAUAGAGUUUGAUCAUUUGGAAGGGCAGGAUCUGGCUGUUGGAUAACAGGAACAGGUUGCUCCUGAGUACCCAAAUCCUUUAGAAAAUGGAUUGGAUAACAUCAUAUGAUCUGGCCUUUCUUUUAUGAUGAUCGAACUUGAUUGUGUGGGCAUUUUCUCCUUUCCUUUGUCCUUCUGUAGAUUCUUAAGACGAUUCUGUACCUCUGCCAUAUCUGGUUCUUUUCUAAAAUAAUAUUCCGGAAUGGCAGCAAAGAUGGACGUCUGGGGUGGCAGAGGCAAAUACCCAUACAGGAGUUGCAAAUGGAUCAAAAGAUCUGAACCUUCCUUCUUCAAGGAGUUAGAAUUGUCCUUUGAGUUUUUCUAUUUCCGGUUUUGGGCUCUCCAGAUGAUGAUACCCUAGACGUUGUCCUGAUUCCAAGGCAUUUAGCCUCUUCUGGAACUCAGAAACCAUUUUCUUGGUGGUCUCAUCAUACUUUCGAAGAUCUUGUUGCACAUUUCCAAUCUUGGAAUCAAUUGCUUUGAAAGCAUUGUUUUGUGCUAACAGAGUCUCCGAUUGCCAAUUUAGAACGGCUUCAGCAGCAGGAGUCUUUCUCUAUCUCCCAUGCUCAUCCACAUCAGUAGGCAUAGCUAUCUUAGGAACAUGGCGAAUCUGCCUUGUGGAUCAAUGAAUUCCUCUGAAGCAGGAAACGAGAGUUUAAAACUUUCUCUAACAAGAGGGGGAAAGUCAAUGUAAUGAAACAUGGCAAUGGAGGAUAUGGGUGGUUUUUCUGCUGGAGCUUCAAGUGGGUAGGAGUGCUUCUUGGCCCACUUUAAGAUUGGCUUAUAGAAUGGGGAGAGAGCUUGUUUUUUCUGAGAAGGUGAUGAUGGAGGUGAUUUCGGUGGAUCUGGUGAAACUUGGGGUGUAGUACUAAAAUCUAGUGGUGGAGGUGGUGCAUAAGAAACCAUGAACUGGUAUUUAUCACACUCACCAAGAGUAUCAACGGAGGGAUCUCUGUUUAAGUACCUUUGGUACACCUUAUCUUUUGGCCUUUUCCAUUAAGGUGGAGGUUUGGCAAAAGGAUCUACCUCAUCUGGGGAAUUUGUACAAUAGGAACAUUGGCAGAAAUGAUCCCAAAAACAAUUACCAUAAUUGUCUUUGUAUCCUGUCCAUCACUGUUAAAGUGUCGAACAAGCUUUUUUGGAUCUGGCUCGGAAAUUGAUUCUGGAACGCAUGGUUCAAUCAUGAAUAAGGUCUGGAAGAUAGAAGGACUUUCUUCCUUUUCCUUGCUAAAUUUGAUGGAAACAGUUCCAUCUUUUUUUCGGACGAACUCAGAGUUCGUAGACUGGAAAGGCUUGUUAUGCUGGUGUAGCUUUUCAUAAUUGGUGAUUCAAGUCUCUGGCAGGAGCUUGGCCAACGUAUCCUUCGGGAUCUGCCUAAGAACAUGGAUGUAUGAUGCCUGAUCGUUCUGCAUGGAGAUAAACAAAGCAUCUUCGUUACCAUUGUUGAAGUUUAGAUCAAGAGCAUGGUUCUGUAUGUGAUAAACCAUCUAGUAAUGUAGAGUUGUAGCCAUAGAGUCAGCAGUUUAGGGAGCUCCAGUGAGCUGGACUUGGACUUUUAAGAAAGAGAGUAGCUGAGGGUCUAAAAGAGCAAUGUUAAAGUUUGGAUACAAAGGCACAAAGAUUGUUCCGGCAUUUAGAGUAGUUUGUACAAUACCAAUGCAAGCAUGCUGGUAUUGUAAAAACCUGGUAUUUAACAAUGCAAUUCUUGCCACAAUGGGCAAACCUUUACGACCAUGAAAGGUGAGAGCAAGAUGAACAGCGCCAUAGUGAACAUGAGUAUAUUCCUGUUGAGCCCAUUGUCUGGGGAAUUCUGGAAGGAUCUAGAGAGUAACAAAAUACUCCUUUUCAGUAGCAGGAACGAGGUGUUGGUCGAAUUUGGAGGAUUGGACGUACUCCUUUACUUGCUUUGGGGUUUGGUGAAUAAGCUGGCGAAUGGAGCGGAUAGGUGAAAAUAACGAGUUGGGUUUGGCAAAAGCAGAGUAAGGAUUCAUGAGAGGAAGUUGAGUUUCAAAAAUCAUGGUUUCAUCACUAAGAGAGACUUCGUAAAGAUAAUGUAUCUUAGAGGCAUUGAAAACACGAAAUUUUGAGGGUGUUGAAGAUGAUGGAGAGGGAGCAAGAGAAACUGAUGCUUCGAAGAUUUCUGGUUCUGUAGACAUGAUGUGAACAUAUCUUCUAAGCACUGGAUUCACCUACUAAGCGCAUGGAACAGAUAACAUUACAAACGAAACCGUGGCUCUGAUACCAUGAAUGGACUUAGACUUAAAACUAGGGAAUGAGAGUAAAUUUCCUGCAGGUAUGCAUCCCACAGUGGGCGAACAACUCCCAUUCAAGCAUUUCAAGGACAGCCUUUUAGUAGAAAACCACUCAGCCAUUUAGUUCAGCCUAGAGAUACUCAGAGAUACCAGGACGGAAACAUUUCUAAUCUACCCGAGCUGCAUUUCUUAGAGGAUCCUACCAGGCUGGAGAUACCUUCAAGGUACCAAAGAUUACAUACUUAUGUAUAGACGGACUGACAACCUGAAAGUAAUUAGUUAUUCGGAUACGGAUUUCGCGGGCUGCGUUGAUUCACGAAAAUCAACAUCUUGAUACAUUUUUACAUUAGCUGGUAGAACCGUGUUAUGGAGAAGUGCCAAGCAGACUCUGACUGCUACUUCCACUAUGGAGGCUAAGUUCGUUUCUUGUAUUGAGGCUAUCUUGAUGGUGUAUGGUUGAGCUUAGAAUUGUUGAUUUUAUCUCUAGGCCAUCAAGAAGAUAUUGUGACAAUUCAACUGCAGUUUUCAUGGCUAAAAAUGCCAAAAGUGGUAGUCGAAAUAAGCAUAUUGACAUCAAAUAUUUAGCCAUAAGGGAACUUGUUAAGGAGAAUAAAGUAGUCAUAGAACACAUUAGCACUGAAUUGACGAUAGCCGAUCAUUUAACUAAAGGCAUGUUAUCGAUGAAGUAUAAGGAUCAUGUAACUAGUAUGUGAAUAGCUCCCAUCAUGUGAUUUGUCGUCAUAUGGACAAUUUUUGUUGUAUGAAACUCUUCUUCUGUUGUAAUGUUGAUUCUUAAUUUUUGUGUACACAUUUUGCUAUUUAUGAGAAUAACAUUUAUCCUUAGUUUUGGAAUAAACAUGGGGUUUCAUUAAAAUAUGUUGUCACGUAUAGGCUAACAUUAAAGAAAUAAGAUGCAUUGUGAUACAUAGAAAAUAUUACUCAUUUUUAGAGGACAUGUCGCUAUCAUCCAUGUGUUUUGUUUCUUUUCAUUAAGCAUAAAUUUUUUCGUGGAAUUGGUUGGAUAAUCCGUAUGAUGAAAAUAAUGUAAUCAAGUGGGAGAAUGUUUUUUAUUUUUGUGAUCCCACAUUUUCGGACCCACAUUUUCUCUUUAAAGUGGUGUUUAUUUGAUAAGUAGUUUUUUUACAUUUCGUACAUUUUCGUGACAACUGCCCAUUUGAUAACCGCCUUGAUGGGAGAUGGUAUAUAAAAGGAACAAUCAUUCAUUUCUAACGAGGCAAUCAUAAGGUCUAACACAAACCCUAUCUUUUUUAAUACACCAUCAAUAUAUGUAAGGAAACUGGAUUAGUAGUGUGUACUAAAUAUUUCUUUGAUUUUCAGGAUUUUUCGACGAACAUGAAUAUGAACAAUGGCCAGAGGUUUAUCUAUAAUCAAUCCUGGUUUCGCAUUUGAUUUUUCAUGUCUUAAGCAUAUUGACGAGAUUUUGCCAGCCAAAAUUUUGAGGAGAAAAUCAACAGGCGCACAAGUUUCCUUUUAAACGUGCCCUUACAUCCUUCCGCGCAUUCUGUACUUGCACCGAGUUCUCAGCCGGACAUUCACUGACAUUCAGCUUUUCCAAAGACGUCAAUUUUUCUAGGCCUUCAAUUUGAUGGAUCAUUUCGCAUCGUCUGAUCUCUAAAACUUUCAGCGACUUCAAGUUUGAAAGAUCAGGUGAACUAUCGAGGUAAUCACAGUAGGAAAGAAUCAAACUACUCAGUGAGGUUAACUGGCCAAUCCCAUUCACAUUUCGUAUUUUGCAGUUAGAUAUAUGCAGCCUCUUAAGCGCUUUAAGCCCUUCAAGCUCUUCAAUCUCUUCUAUUGCAGAGGGUGGUCGGCGUGCUUUCGGGUCCCCAUCACUUAGGCACAGCUCCUCCAAUUCCUUUAAAUUUCCAAGAUGGCGUAUCGCUUUCAUCCUUUUAGAACUCACGCGCAGACAUAUUAGAGAAGGGGCAAGCUUCGGCAAUUUUUCAAUUUCAUUGCACUGAAUUAAAUCCAGGGUGUGAAGACCAGAGAUGGUGGAGACUUCAGGGGGUAGGCUAGAUAUACUGGAAUGCCCCAGCGUCAGUGAUCUAAGACGAUGUAGCGCCUCAAUAUCACCGGGAAUGGCCCCCUUCAAACUCGGGCACCACGAAGCGUGUAGUUCUUCGAGCUUGGUUAGAUUCCCAAUCUCCCCAGGAAUCGCUCGAAUGAAAGAAGAGUCCAUUCUCAGCACUCUCAAGCUUUUCAGCUUUCUUAUUGAAUCGGGGAGUUCAGGGAUACUAGUCGCCGAUAUAUCCAACUCCUCUAAUGACCUCAUUUCACCGAUAGAAUAUGGAAGUUUCCCCAAAUAACGGCAAUCCCUCAAUGACAAGCGUCUUAGCUUGAGCAGCUCCCCCAGUGAGCUCGGGAGCUUAGAAAUUUUGGCACCAUCUAAUGAGAGUUCGGAGAGAGCAGCCAGAUAACAAAUCGAACUGGGCAGGUGAGUCAAUGGGAAGCACUUCAAGCCACUGAGAAUUUCGAGUUGCUUCAAAUUGCCUAUGGAGAUGGGGAUCUGCCGUACAGAAGUCCCGUCAAGAAAAAGCUCUUUCAGAGCUGUCGUACAACCUAGUUCCACUGGCAACCCGUUCAAUUGGGAGCAGAACUUCAAAUUCAGGGAAACUAAACGUUUCAAAUUGCCAAUUGAAGGAUCUAGCUUCACCAAAUGAGAACAUCGUUCAAGAAUCAGGAUUUCCAAAUAUUCGUAACCAGAGAAGUCGGGAGUGAACAGUAAUACAGAGCACCCAGUAAGAUUCAAGACUUUCAAUUUAUUCAUCUGCAAAGCCAAAACGUAAAACACGCACAUGGUCAAUUCGCAAAUAUUUAAUUCGAGAAAACAAACAUAAAACAACCAAAUGAAUACCAAACCACCUUGAUUUCACUCCAACCUCCCCAUUCUUCCGUGACUUUGCUCCAGGACAGAUCAAGAAUGACCAACUCUGUUAACAAAAAAUUUUUGGCACUAAAAUCCAGAGGACACCUUUGCCAACACAGCCACCUUAAACUAGCUAAUGCACCUUCAAAGUUUCCGGAAACUUUGGCAUUAUCCAGCCUGAGAAACCUUAGUUCUGGCAUCAUCUGAAAAUCUCCAGCUGUGUAGUCAAGGCAGAGAGCUUCAACGUUUUCCAUUUCCUAAAAUUGACAAAGUAACAUAAUCAUCAGAAGCUGUAAGCCCCAAUACCCAUCCGAAAAGAGGAUACUUUCCUUGCCCUAUGUGCUAAACUGUACAUAUAUGAUAUGAUUCCUUGACAAAAAAUGGAAAAAAAAAAUGUAGCCUGUAUGUCGAGGCGUUUGUUUUGCCGAUAACAAACUGAACCGAAAGUUCUUACCUUCUCCUCUACGUAAAAUUUUCUCCCAAUUGGAUCUCCAGAUCCCUCUUGCUCAAACAUUUUUUUGCCAAGGCGUCUCAGUAAUCUGUGCAUCUGCAAUUCAUUGUUUUCUCCAAUUUUUGCCAGGGGCACCAGAAUGCAACCAGAGGAUGGAUAACAAUUGGGCCACAUAUAUGAAGCAAUUCGGGCAUCCACACCAGAGAUGAAACAUGCUAUGUCCAGAAAUAUAUCUUUUUGCCGAUGAUCCAGUUCUCCGUAACAUAUAUCCAAUAGCUCUUGAAGGCCAACCAUAGUCUUUUGAGAACUCAUCGGACGUGCUUUCAUUGCCUUCUCCAUCUUUUCCCAUUCUUGUAUUGAUUUACCCCGCAAAAAUGAACCGAUGACUUCAACUGCUAAUGGUAGUUUCUUUGUAGCAUUGACAAUGCGGUUUGAGAGUCCAUCAUAAUCAGGCAUGGAAGAUUGCAUCCUGAAAACAUGCUUGCAGAAAAGUUCAAAAGCUUGACCAUCAUCCAACUCACUAACCUUAUAGGUGGCAGCCUUGUCGGAAUCAUACCCUCCGAGAAUUUCCUCAUUUUGAGAAGUCACAAUUACUCGACUACCUGGACCAAACCAAUGAAGCUGGUCUCCUACAAUAGCAUGAAGAUCGGAUGGCUUUUCCACGGCAUCGACAACUAUUAGAACUUUCAUUUCACAAAAUAUAUCCACGAAAUCUUUUAUUGUUUCAUCAAAAGAAAGAUCUACGUGAUCUCGUUCAAGGAUAUCACAUAUAAACUUAUUUUGCAAAAACUGAAUACCACAAGAAUUUUGGGUGGUUUCUUCGACCUCUGCGAGAAAGCUACAACUGUCGAAACAAGAAGAGAUCUGGUCGUAUACAGCCUUGGCAAGAGUCGUCUUGCCAAUUCCAUCAAUUCCAUAGAUUCCAAUAAUGCACACCUCAUCAUUGACUUCCAUUUCCAGUAAGUCGAUGAUUUGUUUUGCACGAUCAUCAAUUCCAACUACAUUCUGAACAGCUGCAAUUGCACAAUAAUUUCUAUCGGAAGUUUCCCCGUCUGCCGGUUGCUCUCUACCGUCAUCUUCCAUUUUCUUCAUCCUCUGCAAGAGAAACAGAAUUUUCACCUAAGUAUAAUCGUAGACGGUGAAAAGAACAAACAUCACCCGAUCAGUGUCUCUCUUAUAACAUUCCUUUAGUUCCACGCAUAGAUACAAGAUAUUCAUUUGUCAUCAAAUUAUUCUUUUUGAUACAAAAAUACGCAGACACUUAUUCUAUCAAUCUCUCAUCCAUAAUUCAAUAUCUACACACACAAUAUAAAUAAGGAAACUUAGGUAGUAUUGUAAUCAAAUUAGGUCUCCAUUUGUUUCGUGAAAAAUGAACGAUUUGGAUAGAAAUGAUUACUCGUAUUGCUUGAAAUAAUUAGUUAAUUAAAAAUAUUUUCAUUAUCGACAACAAUUUAUGCCUAAAUAAUUGGGUGUAUGAUGAAAAUAUUUUUUAUUUAUUCAUUCUUGUAAGCGAUACAAGUAGUCAAUUUUAGAAAAAAAAAAUUCAAAUCUUUUAUUUUUCAUGAAACAAACAGAGCCUAAAUGACACUAGAUCUUGGAAGUUGGGUGCUUAAUUUACUGACCAGAUAUUUCAACAUUCAAGAAAUCAUGAUAUGCACAUCACAACAAUGUUCACGGUAAUUAAUUAUUUCUGUUCUAAUCUCUGAAGUGUAAACAAGCUCCCAACAGCAAAUGAGCAUUAUGCAAAUAGGACCAACGUCUUAAAAUUCAGAUGGUAGACUAGACUCCGACUAUGCAAUGAUCGAUAUUCAGUUUACCUCCAAAUACAUACAAAUUUUCUUCGGUUCCUUCUGCAUCAUCUUUCCCCACAUUUUCUUGUGUUGUUGUUUCUUAGUCGAAUGAUCUACAUCCAAUUUUCGGAGAUAGUGGGUCUUGGACUAAUGGAAAGCAAUGCCUAAAUAUUCUCACCGAAAUCCAAAUACAAGUAUGUUCCGAUACCACACUCUCGUUUACAGGUACUGAGCUUUUCUUGAUUGGUUCCUUCCUGUCACUUGGUUACUUUACUUAUAAUUAUAUCCUUAAAUUGAAUGUCAAUUAUCAAUUUAAAAUAUUGUCUAUUCGGUGUGGAUUUUUGCAAAUUUCUUGUUCAGUUCAUGUGUUUCCUGUUUACAUUGGCACUUACAUGAUUUUCCUGAGGCAAGCACAAAUUGACAAAGAUCGACAAUCGACAAAGAAUUGAAAAUGAUUGCUAUGUGGGCGAGUGAUUGGCAUCCAUAUUUGAAGGGAUAAAAGAAGACUAGGGGAAUGAGGUAAAACAUGCUGCUAUGGUAAAAAAAAGUUGGAAUCUUUUCGGAGAAAGGUAAAAUUAUUUUUCGUGAUCUUCAUUUUGGUCCAAUUCUUCCUCAUUUAAGCCCCAGAUCAAUUUUUUUUUUUUUUCAAAUUCAACCCUUCGAUGACUUUUUGAUGCAAAACCUGCUGGAAAAUGAACAACGCCCUACUCUACAUGGCACCUGCAUGUCAGCACACGUUUAUUUAUCAAGCGCAUCUACAUAAAAGUCAUUAAGAGGACGAAAUCAAAGGGAAAAAGGCAAUACUUGUUCAGAGAUUAAGAUGAAAGUAAGGUACAUGGACCAAAAUAAAGAGUCGCAAAUAAUAUGAGGACCAAAAAAUAUUUUUCCGUUUUCCUGACUAAAUACUAAAUAUAACAAUCUUACAGACCAGACAUAGUAUACGUAGAAUUACUUUUGAAAUCAUUUUUUCAUUAUUUACGGUCUUGACCGAGAAUAAUUCAAACGCAUACUACUCAAAACCAAAAUGGAAACAACUAAUAAAUCAUUUGUUCCUCUUUCUAGCUAAAAGCAAAAUCCACUCCAAAUAUUCCCCAUGUAAAAGCAAAAGGCUGUCGAAAAAUGGGAAACGAACACGCACCUCCUCCAAGAAGAGCAAAAAAAAAAAAAGGGAAGAGUCUUGCUAUUCUAAUUCCAUAUCCAGUUCCGUUUCUUUUUCUAAAUUUUACGUUAUUAUAUUAGUGAACUUUAAUUCUUCAUCAUAUUUUCACUUUAAUUACAUUAAUCUAUUCUUUUUGGAUAGUUUUGUCAUACUUCAUGUACUACUAUCUUUUAAUGAUAAUUAUUUAUUUCAAUUAUAUAUAAUUUCAAUAGGAACUAAAAAAGAGUUCUAUCUUCUACUUUUCGAAUGAAAAGUCUAUAACCAUAGGAUACAUUGUUUCAAAUCAGUUUACGAAAAUUUGUAUGCUGUUCUAUUCUUUCUUAAUUUAAAGUAAUAUGCUUCUAUAUUAGCUAGUGUCUCUUUUCAUAAGUUGCACUUUUUAGCGAAAUAAUGUUUUCCCACAUAUAAAAGUUACAUCCUGAUAUUUUUAUGAAUAUUUAUUCCAGCAAUAUGUGGCUUAAUUUACUUUGUAAUAGUCAUGUAUUACGAAAAUACGUUAUUCUCCUGUGGUGACAAUAUGCUGUAAUACUAAAAUCACAUAAUCGACUAGUCAAGCCCAUUGGCAGCAAAAAAUAAAAUAAAAUUAGUCAAGCCCACUACAUAUGCAUGUAUCCGCAGAAGAGCAAAUAAACGGGUAAAGCAAUUAUUUGUUUGUUUUUUUUUUUUUUGGUAAAAGGUAAAGCAAUUAUUUGUUAACCGCUAUACAUGCUGGAAAACUAAUUAAUGCAACAUAAUCAAAGUUUUUUUUCGGUGGGGCGAAGAUGGGGUUAUCUACUGCUGUUAAAAGUUUACGGGUUAUUUGCGCAACAGCGACAAAGUUCAAGAGGGCACUUUAUACUAACCCUAGAAAUUAUAACAUCAAAAGAAACACAUUACAUUAUAUCCAACACUCAAUAAUAUAACAACGAAAUAAAUUUAAAAAUUGCAAAGAUGAAACUUUUGUUUGUAAAUGUAUUUCAUUUCUACAAAACAAGUUUUCAAAUUAAAAGGAACACGUCAAAGGAACGUUAGUUUAUUUGAAAUUAUUUAAACAUCAUCUCUAAUAAAAUUUUGUCAUUGGAUUAAAAGAUAUUUUUUUCAUCCAUGUAAAUUUCAGAGCAAUAUUUAACUUUUUACAAUGUGUAAUUUUUCUGAAUUAUAGCAUCAAAUUGAAAUUAGAACAAAUAAAUUUUCAAACCCGUACAUUCACGUACGGCUACUGUAUAUUAAUGAAGAUGUCACACCUUGCUUGGUUUAUCCAGAAGAGUCUCCUCUUUGUAACGCUUCAAGGAUGUUGCACCUCGUUUGAUGAAGUCCCCACACCCCGAUAUUUCGACGAGGCAAUCAUCCGGUAUAUUUGUGCAAAAUGCAUCGAUCACUUUUGUCAAAGACAUGCACUCUUUGACAUCCAAGGAUUUCAGAGACUCUAGCUCACGAAGGCCCUCAACAUUAAUAAGUACAUUGCACUGUUGGAUUACCAAUUCCUCCAGGUUCUUCAAGUUUGAUAAGCCACCUAUUCUUAUAAGAGAUUCACACCCAGAAACCCUCAAGGAUUUCAAUGAUGUGGAAAGACCCAAAACCUGUAUCUCAACUAGCUUUGGACAAAGUGACACCCACGCCUGGCGUAAUUUCCUUAAUUCCAAAGGAAUGUAUAAUCUCUCAAGUUGUUUACAACCAUCAAUAUUUAAUUUCUUUAAUCGUGGAAGUUUUUCUAGUGGAAUGGCUUCCACUUCACACCGAUAGAACUCUAAAGUCGACAAAUUUUCCAAACUCCAAUGGGAGGACGGAAGCUGCACAAGGGUUUCUAGGUCUAGGUAACACAAAGUAAGCUCUUCUAGAUGAAAAAGAGAAGCCAACUCUUGAGGUGCAAGUACAUUUAGCAGAUUUAACUCUAACUUUUUCAGUCUAGAUAACCUCCCAAUCCACCUUAAGUCACAUGAUGGUAAUAGGUUUGACUUGCCUGUAUUACGAGAAUCAUCACUUAGUAGCAGUUCAACCAAAUUAGUAAGGUUUGAUAGAUUGGGGACUGAGAGCAAUGAUUUAGAUUGAAGAAAUAGAAAGGUCAAACUUGUGGGAAGCUCCGGCAACACUUGAAUCCCAUGACAAUCUCUUAAAUUCAGGAUUGCUAAAGAUGACAAUUCUCUAAUUCCAACUGAAAUUUCUCCUUUCAUUUCAACACACCUAGAGAGAUCCAACUCCUCAAGAUUUUUCAACAUGUCGAUGCCACUAGGUAAUUGCCAAACAUGCUCCAAAGGAGACAAUCCACUUAUUGAUAAACACAAUACACGUAAAGAUUUUAACUUUUCAAUGGAGGCGGGAAGUUCCGUUAGCCUCGUAUCUCUCAAAAGAAAAGACUCAAGUUUCACUAGAUCUUGGAUGGAGUUAGGAAGUUUGAUAAUACCCGUAUAUGAUAAGUUUAGUUCUAUCAAUGUGGUUAUAUUCCCAAUUGAGCUUGGAAGUUCUCUCAACCUAGAACAUCCCAACAAUGAGAAGCGCUCAAGCUUCCCUAGUGCCCCCACUUCUUCAGGCAAAACUGUAAGACCCUUGCACUCUUCAAUCUCUAACUCAAUCAAUGACGGUAGAUAUCCAAUGAAGCUUUCAAUUUCCUUUAGCCUACUACAACUUGCAAGAGUCAACCUCUCUAAACCCAAGCCUUUAGAGAAAUCUGGGGUUGUUGUUAUACCAUGACAUUCAACAAGUGAUAGGACUUUCAAAUUGUGCGCCCUCUGUAAAAAUGGAUGGCAUAUUAAGAGUAAGAUCCAUUCAUAGUAUAUAUUGGGACUAUUAGACUAGAGGUAAUAUAUAUAGUUUACCUUGAUCAAGUCCCAUGCUUUUGAAUCAUCAGUGAAGCCGUUCUUGUCAAGCUUAAAAACAAGAAGAUAAUCCAAAUGCAUAUUGUUUGCCUUAAAACCCUGAUGAGGAGAACACCAAGAAAUCCAUCUCAACUUCGAACGACAUUUGGCAAAAUCCCCAGUGCAAGUUCCAUUGCCUAACUUGAGGAGUCUUAGAUUCUGGAGCCUUUCAAACUCUUCAUUUCUAAUCUCUACGAAGUCAUCUAGUCCAUCUAUAUCAAGUGCUUCAACCUUGUCCUUCCUCUGCAAGUGAAAUUUUGCAACGAUGUCAAGAAGUUAGUCAACUUCCAACUGCUAUGUUUUGCAACUUAUGGGUAGGAAAAAAAUGAUAAAGAUCCUUAAAAAAAUUAAAAGUUCCUUAAUCCCAAGAUAAACAACUUCUAUUUCAAAAUGAGAUGCUGCUUACCUCCAGAGUUCCCAUGAUUUUCAUGGCCUCUUUCGCAAUCCACAACCUACUUUGCUUUUUGAGGUCACCUUGACUGUCUUCACGGACAAUUUGCCUUCCCAAUGCUAUUAAUUGAUUAUGCAUCCAAAGCUUACCAUUGUCCAAUACCUUUAUCAAGCACUUCUGGGUAAGGAUGUUAAUUCCUAUUAUGGGAUCAAGUCGACAAUCGUCCCACGCAUAAAUUGCAUACGUCUUCUUCUCAUUGAAAAAGAAGCAUGCUAUAUCAAGAAAAAUUUGUUUCUCAAAUUUGUCUAGGCCAUCAUAGCUAAUUUGCAACUUCUUUCGAACCUCUCUAUUAGGUGCAUUCCUUAAGUUGACCAACAUCCCUUGCCAAAAUUCUUUGCCUUGACCCUUAAGUAAUGAACCUAUCACUUCAAUAGCCAAAGGAAGUUGUUCCGUGGUUGAGACAAUUUCAUUUGAAAGUUUACGAUAAUCAUUGAGAGGGAAGUCCCUAUCAAAAGCAUGCCGACAAAAAAGCUGAAGUGCAACAUCAUCAUCCAUCUUUGGUAUCUCAUACCAUCGAAUGUCACUAUUAAACCACUUACCUGGCAUAAUAGUUUGGUCUCUCGUUGUAAUGAUUAUGCGGGAUCCUGGAGCUAAUGGACGUCUUCCUAUUAGGUACUCAAUGUGCCAUUUUUCAGCAACAUCAUCUAGAAUCACAAGGACCUUCUUAGUACUGAGUACUUCUUCGAUCAUCAUCAUUCCAUGUUCAUAAUUAUUCACAAUUUCCAUAGGUUUAAUACCAACAAUGUCAGAUAGUAAAUUCUUUUGUAGCUCGACUAUGCCCUUGGUCAACGAGCAUUCUCGAACAUUCUCAAGGAAGCAACAAGUAUUUCCAAAGUGUGAAGAUAGUGUAUUGAAGACAACCUUGACAACAGUUGUUUUACCGAUGCCACCCAUUCCAUAAAUUCCAAUAAGCUGCACAUUUGGAUGGUCGACAUCUAAUAAUUCUGUCAACUCUUUUAUCUGAUCAUCAAGUCCAACUAAAUGUUCAGUCACUACUUUUUUUCUUGUUGCCAGCUUCACUAAAACCUUGUCAACAAUCGAUUCAACUAUCAAUGCUGGGCUGCCAUGUACAAAAGCGCAUUCAUUAGUUGACUAGAUUAACUUGAUAAGAUUGAAGUACAUCACGAACGAUAUUUAAAUUCACUGAAUUAAUAGUAGUAUUGGAUAGUUUAGUAGUAUUCACUUGAUAUCUUUUUCGCGUAUGACCAAAGAAAUUUCUGAAGACUACAAUAUUUGUCUAAAUGGUGGCCAAAGUUUACCAAUUGGCUACUAUAUCAUGUAUAAGCAAAAUUUCGGCAUUUAUAGCUAAGUCUGAAAAAGAUUUCAGCAUUCGCAAUAGGAGAAUCAUGAUCCCAUAGAAUGUAGACAAAGUCAUGUAUUGAAAACUGCAACCUGCCGAAUAAAAAUAUAAUCCUGAAACCUGUAACUAUUCCCCAGCCCCAACAAUAUAGUAGUUGUAACAUUUGUGUUGUUUAACUUAUGCAUGUAAGUUUUCUAUGGAUCUGAUUAUGAGUAUUAUUGCAUCUAAAGAGCCAUGUCACAUCAAGAUUUGUUCAAAAUUAAAAAUCAAGAAACCCGACUCCCGUGAGGUUAAUUUGGUGAUUAAGAAAUGAAUACGUGUAUGGAUUAGGCGCACAAUACAGGUAUGAUUUUCCACACCAACAAGCAGAAACAUUUGUAUGGUUGAGCCACCUGUUUGGGCGUUGGUUUGUACCUUAAUUGGUCCACAGAAUUAUUAACAUAAGUCGUAGUUUUGGAAUUUAACUAUUUAAGAUGCACUUCCUUGUUAAUAUAGAAACAAUGGCCCUGUCAGUUUGCUUCCAAUAGCUCCAUCUGUUUGGGGCAUUGACUACAUUACUCAAAAAGUAUAAGAGGUUUUUUUUUUUUUUUUUUUUUGAACAACAAAAAGUAUAAGAGGUUGCCACCCGAAAAAGUGGUGCAAAAAGAGCUCAUUUACAUUGGAGAAGAUAAUGGGCGUUCACAUGUUAUAUUAAUGCAUGGUAGGCGUUAAUUCACCGUAAGUUAGGUUUAAAUUUAUCAAUUGACAACCAAAUUAUGUGUUGUUAUUGAUAAACGAUGAUAAGCAUAUUCAGUUGCUAAUAUAAAAGCCAUGUGAUGACCCACAAAACAAGAAACAAAUGCCAUGCGGGGCCACGUCACUACUAUGUUGCCUCCCAGCUCAUCCAUAGCUCACGUUCAAGUCGUGUGGCCCAAUAUUCAUUUCCGCGUUUAUUAGUUUGUAUUAGACUAGACUUCCUACUUUGCCUAAGACAAGGAAAAUAGCCCGUCAUGCUUUACAUGUUCUCAGGAUACUGUUGCUUCUAUCGAAAAUUUAGAUAUGAUUUUUCUUCACCAAAUCUUAGUUUCCUUAUGUGAUUGGUGUUUCCUGAGCACUCAGAUAUGUCUAAAAUAAAGACGGCACCAGAUGCCAUCUCUGAUUUUUUUCGUCUUUUCCCCAUUAAUGGAAAAUGGAAACUGAUAUGAAUGCAAAUUAUAUGGAUGAAUGCAAAAUCUGAAGUUGAUUUUGGUUAUCAUCCCAGAUGAUAAACACAAGUGGCUGCCAUCGAAUAUUUCGUAGCCUUACGAGACAGGGAACAGAUAAAAAUGGCUGAGAGCAAAGGAUGUAAAGUCGAAUGAGAGCAGCAAUUUCAAUAUCUCUCCCACUUGAAAAAAGGAAUAAAAGAAAUCAUUUGACAGGGCAACGUUGCAUCAGCCAAAACAAAAUAAGGACUAGGUAAGGAUCUUAAAAGAGUAUUAUUACCUUUGAUUUCCAUCCCAGUGCCAUCCCUUGAUUCCACCUACUUCUGCAAGAGCCGCUUUCCACCUCUCUACUUCGUCUGGAAACAGCUCCUUGUGUUUCAGUAGAGCAUCAUCAUAUAGUCGAGUCUUAAGUUUAACAUCAUCAGGUUUCACGCCAUAAAAAACAGGUAAAAUACUUUUUGUACCCUUCGACAUAGACACGCUGUCGACUAUAUGCCUAAGCUCACGGAGGCACCAUAUACUGGAAGCAUAAGUCCGAGAGAAGAUGGGUAUGUAGAUUAUGGGGUCAUCAAUAGCAUGAAGAAGGUCUCCACCAAUCGCUUUGCGGACACUGAGUUUCUCAUCAUCCAUGAAUACGCGGACUCCAACAUUUAUCAAUCCGUGAUAGAGGAAAUCUGUGAAUCCAUAACGGGUGUCGGGUCCUCUGAAAUUUAGGGACACUUGAUACUUACCUCCUGAUACUUGUGCAACAUCACUACUUGAUCCGGCCUCUGAGUAUGCCAUAGCUGGGAAGCUUAUUACGAUCCAGAUGAUCUCUCACCGAAAGAGAAAAAAGUUCGGUGUGGCGGGGGCUGAGCUGAAGGAAUGAGCUGAGGUUUCAGAUAUGAACUAGGCAAAUGAGUAAGGAUGCCCUAAAACUAGGAAAUUUUCAAAGACUACUUGGGAGACCGCACAGCCAAUCUAAAGGUUUUUUUGUUUUAAAAUCUUUGGAGGAAAGGCAUCGGUCAUUUAACUAAUGCGAAUCGUUGAAUCAAGUCUCUCAAUCUUUUUUUUUUUUUUUUGGCAAGUGGGUGUCGAAACUAUAUAUUUUUUGUUCGACUUGGCCAUUCCCUUAAAAUUAUAAAAGGAGAGCUGAUCUCAUCAUUAGAUGCUGAUGUUGGACCUUACGAGGCAAUUAUAAUACAUAAACUUAUUUUAAUAAUUUUAAUAAACUUGAAGAAAACAACAACGAGAAAAAAGAAGGAAAAAUCAAGAGGGGGCAAAGAGAGAGAGAGAGAGCGCGUGGGCAUGGGGAGACAGUGCUCCGGCAGCGUGGAUUCUACCGCGUGUUCAGUAAAUUCACUGCCAAGCGCGUGAACACGCCGUGUCGUUUGGUUGCUUAAAAGUGAAAGGCGCUUGCGUUUCUUUUCUUUCAUUUAAUUUUUUAUGGAUAUAAAAGGCUUUGUGCAUCAACGGCAAAAAAACAAAAAACAAAAAACAAAAAAAAGGUCAUAUGCUAUCGUACUUUGAGAUGGUUCUUUAUAUGGGCAGUGAAAAUUGUGAGACACAUAAUUGAAUAUGAAGUUGCUAAAUAUAUAGGAAUUGCUUUAAUUAGGUGAUGAUUUUACCAAUAAGGACCAUGAAUGAUUUUUCCAGAUCAUCCAAUCACCGCAAAACUCAUCCCAAUUUAUUGAAACCCAAACAAAAGAAAAAAAAUUGAGAAAAAAAUCACUACACAGUCCUCACAAAUUAUACAGGUGAAGAACGAAGAAUGGACCAACCACCCCCAAAAAUCCAAACAAUCUCACCGCGCACUCCAGCGAAUCGCCAAAUUUUCCCGCUAAAGUGAGACAAAAAGGAAAAGGAUAAAUAGAAAAGAUUAACACUACAAAACUCUAAAAUGGUACAAAAUAAAUUUUUGAUCACUAAAACCCCAAACUGAUACACUUAUAAUAAAUUUAUUUAAAACUAAUUUUUUGAUCACCAAAAAUCCUAAACUAGUCACUCCGUUAGUUUUCGUUAAAUUGAAUUAAUAUCACGAAAAAUCACAAAACGGAUGGUGAACCCCAAACUAUAACUCAGCAAUUUUAUGAUAAAAUUUAACGGAAAUUUACAACAGAUAAAUUUAUUACAUGUCUAUCGCGUUGGGAUUUUUGGUAGUCGAAAAAUUAAUUUUCAAUAAAUUUAUUAUAGAUAUUUUAAUUUGAUAUUUUUCGUGAUAUUAAUUCGAUAGAAAAAAGAAAAAAAAAAGCAUAUGAAGUAGCUCCAUUUUUUUUUUGUCACUUGAAGCAACACCAUCGGCUAACCCUUAUUAUUGCUGCGCCCAAACAAAUAAACGAUCGAUGGUGUUCAUACAGAUAACGUACGACUCCACGAGCUCUUGCCUUACUCCCUCAUCUCGUCCUCUUCCUCCUCCAUUUCUUACUCCCACCCUGUUAGGGUCAUCUACCUGCAGCACUAGACUACAUCGUCACCGUUGUCAGUAGCGGCUCCUAGAUUGUUCCAUUGAUGAUUGUUAUCCGACGAUAGUCGAAGGGCUUAAUUAAACAUUUUGUAAUAGUUCAAGGAUUUUUGAUAAUUUUAUUUACACUAGGCCAAUAGCCUCACGACAUUAUCAAGAACUAUUUCAGGAAUGAUAUCUUCUAGAGCUUUGUAGCUUUAAUGACCUAGGAAGACAUUUUGCAUUAAAAUAUUUUGUACACACUCAACAUUUUGUCAAAAAAUUGUACAUAUGCGGAGAACCAAAACUAAACAAGCCUACCUCAUUGUAACUUUUUGCAUUUGCGGUCAGUUCAUCUCUCUUUUCAUCCUGCACGCAUCCUUGUGAUGGAGAAGGAAAAAGAAAGAAUGUGCCACAAGUAAUGAUUAACAAUUAGUCUUCAAAUCUCCUAGAACAAAGGAAGGGGACACAAGGAAAACAAAAAAGCCAAAAAAAAAAAAAAAGCCAAUAUUCAUGCAUAUGGUCUUAAUACUCCUAGUCAUCUUGCGAUUGUAACCACUAAAAUCAAACCGUACCUUCACAUGUCCAAAUCAAAGCUCAACAAAGUGAAUCAGAUGAUACUAUCAUAAUUGUACACUAAAUUUUUUCAUGGUCACAAUAUACUAAAAACACUACACUAGAGAUAGAGAAUGAUAUACAAUUUGCUCAAAAUACAACGUUGAACAUUUUUGGCUUAUUCUAUAUUUUUCCUCCAACCCUUUUGAUUUCUAGGAUCUUCUCUUAUGCAGACAUCUUUAAUCUUCCCGUUAAAGAUAGUCUUGAGAAGCAAGUAUCCGUUGGGAUUCUUCACUAGCUGCUGUUUUGAAACUAGAUUACCCAUACAGCCCUUUCUCAUAAGCAUUAGCAAGUUUUCCCAAAAUAUGUUACGCCGCUGUUGUCACAUUGCCAUAGCUCUGACAAUUCUGACAAAAGUUGUUUCUAGUUUUCUAACAAUCUUCGGUUCUCCUCCUCUGAUUUUCCAACUACCAACGGCUAUAUUAACGUCUCCAACAAACAUUGGUAGAUGAAAGUUAUCCCAGCAUUGUCGGUGACUCGAUCUUUUCGUAAGUGACAUAAACAUUAUCAUGAGUCGAUUAUCAUGGUCAGUUGGUGCUAUUUACGUACAGGCCAUAGAAGGACAUCUUGCAAUCUUUUUUCCAAUGAAGUCACAUCAUGGAUAUUAUCCGUAUCCUUAAUAAAUCAUCACAAACAUAUGUAAUUUUCAUAAUAUAUAUUAUUUCAAUAAUAGUUUUGGGAUCAUUAAAAAUCCUAUGGAUGUUUCUCCAAUAAUCUUCCUCAUACCAUCCACAAAUGUGAUAAAGGCAUUGUAUUGAAUUUCUCUAGUAAAGUAAUAUAUGCAUGAGUAGUGAUUAUUGAUAAAGCAUACUUAAACAGAUUUCGAAAUCUUCAAAAGGUUUACAAAUAUCUUCAAUGUAGUCGCUUGUAUUAUCAAUUUUUAGCUCUUCGACUUGCUCCUAAAGUUUCUUAUUCAUUUUUGACAUGUAAUUUAGGGCAAUGCCUAGUGAGACGGUCUUGAUUUGUCUCUUUUCUAAUCUUUGCAGUAAAUAGAUUCGUUGACAUGGUUAUUGUAGCUAAACUCGGUGGAGAAGAGGAACCAAAUUCUGAAAAGACUGAAUAUCAAAAGUCAAAAGCGUUAAGAGUGAUUUAUUGUUUAUUUUUUCAAGCAAGAAAAUAUCCUUAACAAUACAACUUAAAUAUGUGACAAGAUAUUGUAAGUGGCAGAGUGCCCUUACUACCACAAUUUACAGAGAUUUAGCCCUUAUCGUUUCGAUUCGUUGAUAUUGAAACAUUUCAAUGUUAAUACAGGCCUCUAUUAGCAUGAACUAAGGCCUUGAAUUGUAUUCUGUUCAAGUACUUGCGCUGGACUUGUUAAGUCAAAAGCGUUAAGAGUGAUUUCUUGUUUAAUUUGAUUAUUAUUCAAUCAUAUCAUUACUGUUGUUCGGAACAAAAUAAAUAAAUAAAUCAUUUUUCAUUGGAAUUUAUUCAUGGGAAUAUAAUCGUUACCAAACGCGUCUUAAAUAUAUCUUAUUAGUGAUAAAACCCCUUGUAGCCAAAGCUCGAAGUAAUCUUCACAUUUGGGUUUUCCACGAUAUUAAAAUAAUCCACUGAAAAAUCAUAGGAUACUGCUAAAUCUUUUUGUAAGCAAAAAUGCUGGAGUUUGUUCCUCAAUCGUCCCGUCCUCGUUUAAUUUUGGUUCUUUCCCCGUACGGCGACAAUUAUAAUAAACCAAACUCACUUUCAACCUUUAAGUUUGGCCCGAACUCUGAUGUCGGCAAGAUUACCCAAGAAAAAAAAGAGAGAAGAAGCUAUAAAACAAGCAUCUUCAAUUUAAUUAUUGAAAGCAAACCAAAUCUUCCCGGAUCCUACUGCCCCACCGAAGAAAGAAUUGCGCUCGAGAACAUUUGGUCUUCUUAAUUUCACAUUUGGAGUUGAUUGUGGACAAACGGAGAAAGGUCAAGAAAAAACGAAAGAGACGGUCCACGAAAGCGCCUUAGGUCAUUUAUGACUUUCUUAAUAAACCUGUUACACGGUACACGUUAUUAUAAUGUUUAUGUAAUUUAAUAUUUUAUAGUAAUUAUUUAGGUACGUAUGAUGUCGGGAGAGGGUUAAGAAAAAAAGCAAGAGAGAGUAGAAAAACAGCUUAGGUCGUCAGUGACCUUUUCUAAUAAGCAUGGCGGUGAUCCAUAUUAUGACAAUGUUAGAGCCUGAAAUGAAAAUUUCAAAUUAUCACUGAAAGUAUAAAAGUUCCCUCACUAAAAUAAAAUUUACGUAAUCAAUGACUUUUUCAAAUUAUUUGGGUAGAUGUUAUUUUUUAAAUAUCAAAUAAUUAGGUUAGUGUCAAUCACAUUUUGAUUAAAUGUAAUAAACUUACCCGACCAUUAUCACAAGUAGAAGGCAAACAAGUAAAUGUUUAGAGAAAUUCGAUGAUGACUGCGUAUAUAUUUAAAAUAAGUACACCGAUAUAUAAUACUUAAAAAAAAAUUAUAUAAGACGCUUUGUAAUAAAUGAAUAUAAUAGAGUUACCAAUCCUUAUAGGUAGAAGGGGAAAAAAAUGCAUGUUCAAGAGAAAUCUAUUGCAUGAUUGUCUGUAUUUCAAAAAAAAGGAAACACAUAAUAUUUGAUGACUCUUAUGAUUGAAAAAUAGCAUGGCCAUCCGUUAGAACAUAAUUAUUUGCCGAAUUUCAAUGUUUAUUGGGUCAUGAUUCCGAAUAUUUUGAAAAUAAAUGUCUAAAAAGAAUAAUUUAUUAAUAUGUAUAUCCUAUUGAAAAUUAUGAUGAGGUUUUGAAAGAGCUUAGCGAAGUAGUGAAACGUAUCAUGGUAUAACAUUUCAUAAUCACCUGGUAUUUCACAAACAAUAAAUGUGAAAAGAUUAAUCUCAUAUAUGACGAUAAAAAUAACAAGUGAUCAUCGUCACGAAAGAGAAUUAUAUAACAUACUUUUGUCACUACCAUGAUCUCCACCGAUUCUAAGCCGUCACCAACACACGUCGCUCUCUAUUCCGCGUCCGCGUUCUUGCCAUCCAACGGCCCAACACUCUUCAUGCCGAUCGAACGGCUGCUAUGCCAUUGCAUGCUGCACGGACAGCGCAAAAUAAUUGUGCGCGUGAUUCCCUAGAGUAACAGUACUCGCGAGGACGAGGAGCUCUGCAGGGAGGGUACAGGGGCCUUUUUGACUUGACCCUGCUUUUCCUAUUACGAAAAAAGAGAACCAAUGUGCGUACGCCUUCUUUAAUGGUGGAAGGAGAAGAUAAAGAAAAAGAAAAACAGACAGUACUUUCUUCUUUUCAGAAAAGAGAGAGUGCCUUUUUUUUUUUUUUUUUGUGGUCGUGAAAGAGACAGUACCUGAUAAAGCAUUGAUCCAUGAAUUGGUUUACAUUUGGAAGGACUUGCCCUUUUUCUAGCCACCGCGGGAAAAAAAAAAGUACUAUUAAAAAUUAUUAAUAUUAGUGUCGGCCGGUAAAAAUUAAUUAAACAGAUUACACUGACACAAAAAAUAUUUAAAAUCGAAUCAACAUAAUUAUAAUAAAUUUUAACUUAUUAUGGUAAUUUUCUCUUUUCUAAGCCGCACCUUGAGUAUGUAAGAAAAAGUGAAGGCUCUCUUUCUUUCUUCAAUUUUGGGUUUAGUCUUAAUUACAAUAAGUCUCAGACUUUUUUUAGUAAUUUCUUCUUUUCUAAACCGCACCUUGAGUUUGUGGAUGGAUAAAGUUGGCAAAGAAAAAGUGAGGGCUCUGUUCAGUCCUAAUUAUGUUCUAAACUGUUUGGGUUAUUACCCUGAAAAACCUCAAACUGGUACACUUGUGAUAAAUUUACUCAAAACUAUCUUUUUUACCACCAAAAACCCCAAACUGGUACUUUUUUGACAAAUUUACCCCAAACUGGUACAUUUGUGACAAAUUUACCCUCUAUUAGUUUUUGUUAAAUUUUAAUUAAAUCAAAUGACACGUGAUAGUUAAUUGGUAUAUCGAUUUAGGAUUUUACACUUUGUUUGUCACAGUUUACAAUUUUUGUGAUUUUUUGUGGUAUUAAUCCAAUUUACUGCAGGGUAUAAUUGUCACAAAUUUACCAGUUUGAGGUUUUUUGUGGUUGAAUAAAUUAGUUUGGGGUAAAUUUGUCAUAAAUGUACCACUUUAGGGUUUUUAAUGGUCAGUCAGGGUUAAUUUGUCACAGGUGUACCAGUUUGGAGUUUUUUAUGGUCAAAAAAAUAGUUUGGGGCAAAUUUGUCACAUGUGUACCAGUUUAGGGUUUUUCAGGAUAUUAACCCAAACUUUUUAAAUUUUUUUACUAUAGUUUUAAAUCUGCUUGAUGUCCAAUAAUUGCUGCUUUUUUUUCUUUAAAAUUAUCAACAUUAGGGCCAAUUAAAUAUCAACAUGCUUACCUUCAUAUAAAGUAACAAUAGUCUAUUUUUUCUUUUUGGUAAAGAAAAGUAACAAUAGUCUGUUGAUAUUGAUAAUUUUGAAAAAACUAGUUGCAAUUUUUGGACAUGAGAUAAAUUUGGGACUAUAGUGAAAGUUAGUGAAAUUUUUAGAUAAAAUAAUUUCGGAGCAGAAUUGAGAUUGAACCUAAAUUGAUGAUUUUUAAGAGAAUCAAGCCAAAAAAACCAAAAGAGAGGGUACUUAAAAGCGGUAGGUGAUCAAUGACGUUUAUUAUAAAUGGGUUAGGUGAAGAAAUUUUUAAAUUUUGAUGAAGCAAAACAUAAGAGAACAUACUUAUAAACUGGUUGAUCUAGGUGCAUUCAAUAAUAUUUUUAUUCUAAAAAAUAAUUUAUUGUUAAAGAUAUUUUUUUCUAUUUUUAUUUCUUGGAAUAGUUUCUGAUUAGAAAAAUGCAUUUCGUAACUAAAUAAAAUUUCUAUUGUCGAAAUAGAAAAUAAAUAAGAAUGCGUUUGAUAUGACUUAAAUUUUUUUUUGCGAUGUAAAAUCUCUUUUAAUUUUUUAAUGAUUUUUGAAAUUUUUAUUUUUUUCUUCUCUUGUUCCAACAGCCAAUGAUGGUGGUGAUGAUCGGUUAAGAGAAUAUAAAAAAAAAGAAAGAAGAUAACUUAUUCAAGAAAUUAUUCUUGAGAACAAGAAAAUGACUUAUUUUAUAAAUUAUUUUCGAGAAUAAAAAGUAAUUUAUUUAUUUAUUAUUUCUAUUCCACAACUACUCUCUAAUUAUUUAUCUAUUUUUAAAAAAUAAAAUAAAAAAGAAGAAAAAUUAGAAUGUUACCAAACGGGAUUAGAGUCGCCGCCAGACUACCCCUUACAUCGACUUUUCUUGGAUGCAAUCUACAAGCGACCUUGGGUAAGUCACGCGUGUGGCUGUGAGCUCCGGCGCGUGUGUGGAUGGCGCGUGAGUAGUUAGCAAAGAGAGAGAGAGAGAGAGACGUCGGGUCAUGACGUUGACGACAAGAAAAGAGAGGGGCGGUGGGUGGUGAGCACUGAGCAGCAAAAGAGGAUAAGGAAGAAAGACAGAAGUCCAAAAAAGUGGCUCCCCAAGAAUUAAAUUAAAUUAAAAUAUAUUCGAUUUUUACAGUGGAGCCCACCUUUUUUAUUUUUAAUAAAGAGAAUGGUUAAUAUCCUAAAAACCUCAAACUGGUAUAUUUGUGAUAAAUUUACCCCAAACUAUUUUUUUGACCAUGAAAAACCCCAAACUAGUAUAUUUUUGACAAAUUUACCCCGACUGACUAAAAAAAAAACCCUAAACUGGUACAUUUAUGACAAAUUUACCCCAAACUAAUUUAUUCAACUGCAAAAAACCCCAAAAUGGUAAAUUUGUGACAAAUAUACCAUAUGCUAAAUUGGAUUGAUACCACAAAAAAAUCACAAAAAUUGUAAACGGUGACAAACGGAAUGUGAAAUCCUAAAUCGGUAUAUCGGUCAACUAUCACGUGUCAUUUAACUUAAUAAUUUAAGAAUAAAAUUUAACGAAAACUAACAGACGGUAAAUUUGUCACAAGUGUACCAGUUUGGGGUAAAUUUGUCAAAUGUAUACCAGUUUGGGGUUUUUGGUGGUCAAAAAAAUAGUUUGGGGUAAAUUUAUCACAAAUGUACCAGUUUAGGGUUUUUAAGGGUAUUAACCCUAAAGAGAAAUACUCAAAUCAAGGAUCAAGACAAUGUACAGGAUCCAUGAAUUGACCCACAUUCUAAUAAAGUUGGGAAAUAAAAAGAAAAUUCAAUUUUUCACUGGAAUCACAAAAGUUCCCCUCACUAAGAGGUAACCAGUGAAUUUUUAUUUUUAUUUUUAUUUUUGUGGAUGGACACUAGAAUUUCAUUGUUGGAUCUUAGCAAAUUAAUUUCAUAAAUCACACUGAAAUCACGUUUUUGUCAAUCGAAUUUUUAUAAUGCAGCCCAACUUUCCUUAUAAAUUAUGUCAUAUAGAAUUAAAAAAACCAAUUAAAUGAUCUAAUGUUGUUAAAUUUGAUGGUGCAAAUAAUGAAAUAUUUAUCUUGCAUAUAAUUCACACGCAGUGUUUUCCCUUGACUGUUGACACGUUGUUUUCUACCAUUUAGAAGUAAUAAAGCUUUUCCCAUGGUCAUGGUAUCUAAAAGCUGAAUCCCACGCGCUUAUGGAUGGAACAUUUCUUUUUGAAAAGUGAUUUAGGAACUAGUUUUCCAGGAGGAUUACUUCUUAACCCCCAACGAUCUUAGUGAUUUCCUAACUAGCCAUCCAAACGUGUUGGUUAAUCUUUUACCUAAACUUAUUUAAAAUCUUGCAGUGAUUUUGGAAAAGAUUUCCCAUUGCAACAGAAAAAUAUUACGAAAACAAGUGAGCAUUUCAUGCAGUGGCUUAAUGUAUUGUUGUUUUAAAUUGAGUCAAAUUUGAAAUAUAGCUUAUCACGUGUAAGUAUAUAAUUUUACUUAAUAAGGAAACUGAGUAAAUUGAAGAAUGAAAAGAUAAAAUGAGAUAUGCAUUGUAUAAAAAAUACAUACAUACAGUUUACGUAGCCUUUCUUGCUAAUGCCAAAUUUGCUUAACAUGAGCUCACGACGGAUUGAUUAGCUGAAAAACCAAAAGACAUAACUUAGAAAUAAUGUGUAUGUGCGCAUGCCGUUCUAUAUAUAAUUUUUGCUAUUAAAUUUCUCUUAAUCUAAGUAAAGAAUAUUUCCUACAAGAAAAUUUAUUUAAGUAAGAUAAAAUUAAAAUAAAUUAGUUUACAACAGAUCGGUAGUUUGAAUAUUCGAGAAACUCAUGAAUUUUAACUCAUAUGGUGCAAGUAAUUUAACGCAAUGUAUAAAGGAAUUUCUUAUCAUGAAUUCGAUUAACAAAAUCUAAAGAUAUAUGUUGUUUAGCCGAUAAACUAUCAAUAAUUUGAUAGCUUAAUUUGCUCAUGCAAUUUCAUUCAAUGUAAUAUAGAAACAUUCUACUGAAUAAAGAGUUCACUUAAUUUAGAAAAGAAUCGCAGAAACUUAAAAAAUCAUAGACUAUUUAAAAUAUAACAAAUUGUGUUUUUGUCACUUUAAUAUUACAAUAAAAGUAAAUAAUCAAUGAAUAAAAGCUGUAUAUUUUUAACAUGAAUUUUUUGUUGUUUCAUAAUCAAGUAAAUCUGAAAUCCAUUUACAUGGAAUUUACAAUGAAAUUAUAGAGUCAAAAGACUUAAAGAACUAAAAAUAAUUUAACAUGUUGCAUAAUGAUUCAUAGAGAUUCAUAUAAAUACAAAGUAGGUUUUUUUUUCGGCAAAAAAAAAAUUUCAGUCAUUUGCCAUAAUCAAAUAUGAGAGGAAUAUUGAAAACUUCCAAGCAAAGCAAAUCCCUAAAUAGCUGAAUAAAACAAAACAUUGAAAAUAAAAGAGUAUAGUUUGUGGUUAAAAGGAAGCUCUUAUCCCAUAAAAACCAUAUUUGUCAUGGCAUAAAAAAAAAUCAACGGCGGAUCACCGAAACUGUUAAUGAUGGACAUACACCGAAAUUUUCGCUCCAUAAAUCACAACUUGCAGUACACGUGUAGAUUCAACAUUCUAUCAUCAUUAUAUGGAAACAACAAUAACAAUAUGAUUAAAUAAUAAUUAAAUGAGAAAUACAAGGGUUGAUCUAUAUAUAUACUCUUUUUUUAAUCAAUAUAUUCUAAUCAAGACCAAAACAAGGUGCAAAAGAUUGAAAGAAAUCCCUUAUUUUGAGUUCCUCUCAUAUGAAAUUGAGAGUGGGCCCUGCAUUCUUGCAAAACAAUCGAAUUGAGGGUCUAGAGGAAUUGGCCAUUUAAUCUUGUAAACUAAUCAAGAUUGGAAUUGGAAAAAGGGAUACGAGCAAAGAACACGAAAUCAUUCUGCUCCGAUGGAGACACGAGAAGAGGCUGGGGCAAUUAAGUAGGUGAAGUGGUUGGAAUUUGCAAGCUAUUCCAACCACGGUUGAUGUGAUUAGUCGGUCCAUGUGAUAAAGAAAACUCACUUUCAAUCUUUGGGCCAUAAACUGAUUAAGCAACAUUACCAGAUAACGAAAACAAAAAAAGGGAAUAAAAUAUAAAGCAAGGAUGGAAAAUUUUUAAACCAAACCGGAUCUUCCCGGCUCCCACUACCACUUAAGAGAGGAGCACUUUUUUUUGCUAUAAAAAAGAGAGAGGAGCACAAACAAACCUUAAUUCCACAAUCUGAGUUCGUAGACCGUGCAACCAAAAAAAAAAAAAAGUUCGUAAACCUCACUUGAUCCUCGAUGGAGGGAGUAGGUAAAAAAAAUGGUUAAUACAUUGAAAAACCCCAAACUGGUAUACCUGUGACAAAUUUACCCCAAAUUAUUUUUUUGAUCACCAAAAAUCCCAAACUAGUAUACCUUUGACAAAUUUACCCUAAACUGGUACACUUGUGAUAAAUUUACCCUCUGUUAGUUUUAGUUAAAUUUUCUUGUUAAAUUAUAAAGUUAAAUAACACGUGACAAUUGACCGGUAUAUCAAUUUGGGAUUUUACAGUCUGUUUGUUACAGUUUAUAAUUUUUGUGAUUUUUUUGUGGUAUUAAUCUAAUUUUUCGGAGGGUAUAUUAGUCACAAAUUUACCAGUUUGAGGUUUUUUGUGGUCGAAUAAAUUAGUUUGGGAUAAAUUUGUUAUAAAUGUACUAGUUUAGGGUUUUUUUUUUUUUUAUAGUUAAUCGGGAUAAAUGUGUCACAGAUGUACUAGUUUGGGGUUUUUCAUGAUAAAAAAAAUAGUUUAGGUAAAUUUGUCACAAAUGUACCAGUUUGGGGUUUUUUAAGGUAUUAACCCUAAAAAAAAUACUUAAUUUAAUGAAAAAACACUCAAUUUAAGAUAAUCUCAUUUAUAAUCCAAACGUUUCUUUAUCUCAAGAAAAAAAUCACAAACUUUCACUACAAUCAUAAGUCUACCCUACGUCCAAAAAUCACCGCUUAUUUCUUUGAAAUUAUCAACAUUAGGACCAGUUAGAGAUUUAUUAUAUGAUCUUGCAUUUUUAUCAACACCUUCACUUUUGUAUGGAGUAAUGACAGUCUCUUGAUGUUGAUAAUUUUAAGAAAAUCAGUGUUGAUUUUUGGAUGUAGGAUAGAUUCGAGACUAUAAUAAAAGCCGGUGCUUUAAUUUUUGGUAAAAAAAGGUAGAUGCAAAAGAGUGGGUUUCGACUCCUACGCCCUGCAAGAGGUAGGACAAAAGUCUGAAAGUGAGUAUAGAGUAGGCAUAGAGUAUGACUGACCAAAAAAAUUAAGAUUCACCUAAAGUUUGCAGAUUUUUUUAGGAAAUUAGAUUAGAAAACAAUAGAGCUAGUAUUUAUAUGUUGGAAAAAUCUAAAUAAGGAUAUGAAGUGUCUUUAUUUUCUUAAAUAAUGACUUGAAAUAGACUUUAUUUUAAAUAAGAGUUUAAAGUACCAUCAUUUUUUCAAAUAAAAACAUAAAAAAGGAUAUUAUUUCAAACAAGAAUCCAAAAUUGCCAUAUCAGUCUCUAAAAAUUGCAUAACUCAUAGACUGAUAAGGGUAAUUUCGUCAUUUAUUUUUUUCCUUUUUUCUUUAUUUUUCUAUAUUAGAUGAAAAAUAAAUUAAAAAGAAAAGGGAAGGGGCUGGGAAGACAACGAGGCCUUUGCAGGCCCUCCGUGCUGUCGCCCUACCAUCAAUGUUGCCACCCAACUAUCCCCCUUCCACGAUGGUGAGGGCAUUGGUGGCAAUGAGGGCUUAGCCUGCGCUUGAUUUCCCUUUCUUUUUCUUCUCCUUUAUUAAUAAUAAUAAUAAUAAAUUAAUUAUUUAAAUUUAGUUUGUUAUAUAAUUUUAAUAAUAUUUAAAAUUAAAAUUACAUUGAGCUAAAAUGUCUUUAACCGGUUGAAAUAUUUUACCUACCAAUGAGGUCAAGUCUUUCUUUGAAGUUGUCAUGGCUGCUUUAGCCCUUAUUUAAAACUGUUACAUUUAUUUAAAGUGAUCAUGGCCACUUUUGUCCUUAUUUAUGAUAAAAUUCACUUUGAACAUGAGGAAAUGGAAACACUUUAAAUUUUUAUUUAGAAAUUUUCCUUUAUAUACGGUAGGUACUACUCACGUUUUUCUACAAAGGUGCUAGGUGAUCCACGCGAAGGACCUUUUGAAUCUUGACUAAAGGUGAAAGCAAAAGAGAACGUACAAAAACGGGUGGAUCUACUAGUCGCCAUGUAUCCUUUUCGUCGACUUUUCUUGGACCCAAUCAACAAGCGAGUGCAAUAUUUGUCUAAGUUGCGCGCGUGCGGGUACAAUAUUAGGAAUUUUCCGCGGUAGGUUGUCAAUCACGUUUCUCUAUAAAGAUGUUGGGUGAUCCACGUGAAGGAACUUUUAAAUCUUGACUAAAGGUAAAAGCAAAAGAGAACGUACGUAAGAACGGGUUGAUCUACCAAUCGGCAUGGACCCUUUUUCCAUCGACUUUUUUGGACCCAAUCUGCAAGCGAGUAUAAUAUUUGCGCUUAGUCGCACGCGUGGGGUAUCGUAUGCUAUGCGCACGAGCAAAUACCCGCACGGGCGCGCGUAUGGCGCGUGAGUAGCGAGCGGAGAGAGAGAGAGAGAGAGAGACGUCGGGUCAUGUCGACGAGAAAUGACAAGGCAGUGGGGGGUGGACAGGGAAAGAGGAAAGGAUGAAAGAAAAAGGCCGAAAAGGAGUGGCUCCACCGGAAUAAAAUAAAACAAAAGUGCCCUUCAAUGAGUGGAAAUCAAUGUUCGACCCAAAAAAAAAGAAAAAGAAAAAAAAGGCAAUCGAUGGCUCUUUUUUUAAUGGCGCGGGUCGAUGCUAAUGUUUCAAUUUUGGAUCCUAAUGAAUUGUUUUUAAAAUUCACAUUGAAAUCAGGUUUUUUUCAAUCAAAUUUUUAUUGUAUGGCUCAAUUGACCUCAUAAAUUUCAUCAUAUAGAUUUCAAAAUCCAAUUAAAUGAUCUAAUUAUUUGUUAAAUUUGAAGGUGUAAAUAAUCGAAUAUGCAUCUUGCAUGUAAUUCACACUUAAAAGAGUUUUAUUCCUUGACCGUUAACCCAUUCCAAUCUAGAAAAAGAAUUUAGAUCUUGUAAAGGUAUCUAAAAAUUGAGCCCCACAAGCUUGUGGAUGGAACAUAUCCUUUUGGAAUUUGUCAAGGUCUUCAAGCAACGCUUUUUUAUUUGAUUAAAUUGUUUCCUUUGCGCGCAAGGUAAGUUAGGCUCACAUGACAACGCUUCUUGAUUGGGGAAGAGUUUUUUUUUUUUUUUUUUAUAGAAAUAGUUCUUUUCUAUUUCUAUUUCGAUGAACAAUUUCUAAGUAAAAGAACACGUUUGGUAACUACACAAAAUUUCUACUAUUGGAAUAAAAAGAAAUAGAAAUGUGUUUGGUAAUGCAAUAUAUUUUUUUUUGUAUUUAUUCAUUUUUUAUUUGUCGACCGCCAACCGUCGCCCGUCGUCACCUACUGCCGCUACUGCACGAUCGCCGGCGGUGGCAGCAGUGGGUAGCGAUGACGGGCGGGCAGCGAGAGGCGGCGGGCGGCAUUGGGCAACGGCCAGGGUCGGGUGGUGGCCGGCGUUGGGCAGUAGCGGCCGAUGACGAGCGGCGGCGGCCGGCAGUUGGCGGUGGCUUCGGGCGAUUGGAGGUGGCCGCGGCAAGAGAGAUGAAUAAAAGAAAAAGAAAAAAGAAAAUUGCUUUAGAAAUUGUUCCCGAAAACAAGAAGCGACUUUUUUUUUUUUAUUUCUCAUUUCUGCUUCAAAUCUAUUCUCGGGCUAACUUUUUAUUCCAAGGAAUAGAAAAACAACUUGGCGUUACCAAAUGGAUUUCUGUUCUUUUUUUGUUCCGAGGAACAAAAGAAUAGAAAUCCGGAGGAACAAAAACGUUCUCAUGCGAAGCCUUAGGAACUAGCUUUUCGAGACAAUUACUACUCAUCCCCAACGUUUUUUUGGCAUUUCCCAACUUGCCAUCUAAACGUGUUGGUUAAUCUUCUACUACUGAACUUUUUCAAAGUAGGCAGCCAAGUAGAAAGAAGUCCUUUUAUUUGUCCCGAUGGGCCUUAACUAUUCAAUCAGCCCAAUUGAUUUGCCACUCUUGAACAUUGGGCUAAGCGAACGAAUUCGAGAUGGGCCAGCGUUCUUCUUGUAAUCUUCAAUUCUGGCCCUCACGUCCCAAGGGCUUCAAUUAGCUUGCAUCCUUCCAUCUCAAGAAAUUUGUGUUCAUUGCGAAUGUGUUUUCAAUUACUAAGCUUGAUUCUGGUCAGCGGGACUGGAAGAUGUGGGCUAUCGUGAUAGUUCAAGAAUUUUCAAAGAGGACAAUGCACCAAUUUCAAUUGGAAUUUCACUAGUUAAUUCUUCACAAUCACUAGCAUGGAGCUCUUCCAGAUUAUUUAACAUUCCAAUAGUACCGAACAAUUUCCUCAUUGGAGUAUUCUCCAUCGAUAUCACUUUCAAUUUCUUCAGAUUUCCAAUUGAAUCUAGCAACUCAGCAAUUUUAGUAUUGGAUAAAUUCAACUCCUGCAAAGACUCUAGCUUCCCAAUUGAGUCUAGGAGUUUUCUCAACUUAACGCACCCAAAGACUGAGAGACUCAAGUUUCACAAGCUUCCUAAUAGUCUCUGGAAGUGUGCUAAUUUGUCUGUACCUUAGAAUAAGGAAAUAUAUAAACUUCUUAUCACCAAUAGAAUUAGGAAGGCAUUCAAUUUGUAUGUUUGAUAGAUCCAACUCCUUCAAUGAUGUCAAUUUCUCAAAUGAACCCGGGAGUUUCAGAAAACAUCCACUAGAAGCAAGGAACUUCAGAUUCUUAAGCCUUCCAAUUUCUUUGGGCAAAUCCUUAAGAGAGAGGCACUCUUUAAGAUUUAAGUGAAUCAGGCGCUUUAGCUUCCCAAUGGAGGGGUCAAUCUCUACCAAGUUUAUGCAAUUAUAGAAACUCAGCCUCUCUAGACUGAAGCAUGCAGAGAAGUUUGGUGUUCUAGUUAUGCUUUUGCAACCCUUGAGGUUUAGAACUUUCAGAUUCUGUGCCAUCUAACAAAAAUGAUUCACCAUCAAUAGAAGAAAAUAGUAUAUAUUACAUCAUAUGCCAAUCAAAAUCAAAGCGAAUGCAUAUCUUACCUUGAUUAGGCUCCAUCCGCUCAGUCAUCUGUGAUGCUGCUUAUAAUGAUCUCAAAGACAACCAAAUUAUUCAUAGAUAGAUUGUUUACCUCAAGAUCAAGGGGCCUAGGAGAAUACCAAGAAAUCCACCUUAACUUCGAAAAAUCAUCCCAAAUUCUCUGGCAAAGGUUCCCUCCUCUAAUUCAAGGAACCUUAGGUUGGGCAACCUCCUAAGUUUGUCAUGCGUAAUUACAAAUGGUUGAUGAUCACUUCUAGUUAAUAUGAGUGCUUGAACUUUUUUCUUUCUUUGCCAAAGCGAACACAAUGAACAAGCAUGAAUUUGGAAAAUAUAUUUAUUAGUAAGAAUUUGACAAAUUUUCAAAUUCUUGUUUGGGGUAAAAGAAUCGAGAGGCCUCUAAGUGGGAAUGUAAACUCUUUUCUACACGUAUCCAACUCAUGAAAACAGGAAUUUUCUUUACCUACUUUGUUCUUACAAUGUCCACGGCUUCCUUACAAAUCCACACUUGGAUACACUCUCCAGGAUCAUUAAGCACUCCCUCUGAACAAUUUGCCUCCCAAGAUCUUUGAGCUAGUCAUGCAUCCAUAAUACAUCACCAUCAACAAUUCUUUACCAAAGACAUUUGCAUAAGAACUUGUAUCCCAGUCUCAGGAAAAAUUGCAACCUUCCCACAUGUAAAUUGCAUUUGUCUUUUUGGUGUUGUUGACAAAAAAAAUGCAAUGUCAAGAAAAAUCUCCUUUUCCUCAUCCUCUAAUGCUUCAUAACUAAUCAUCAACUACUAUCAGACAUCCUUAUGAGGUAUUCAUGCUAGCCUCUCCACAGUCUCUUUCCAUAUUUCUUCCGGUUGGCAAUAAAGAAAUGAGCCUAUGACCUCAAGAGCCAAAGGAAGCCCUUCGGUUGUGACAACAAUUUCUUAUGCAGGAAUACCGUAUUGAUAUGGUGGAGAAUCCUUUCUAAAAGCAUGUAUGCAGAAAAAUUCAGUUACUUUAAUUCGUAUAUCAAAUCCUCAUCCAAGACUUUUAGAGUAGCUUCAUUCUUGGUUGUAAUGAUUAUCCUACUUCCUGAACUAAACCAAUCUCAAUCCCCUGCUAACUGUUCUAGUUGUUCUUCCUUAUCAAUAUCAUCCAAAAUGAUGAGGACCUUUUUACUGUAAUCUUGUCCCAAUCUGGUUAAUCCCAUCAUUAAUGUCAUGAAUGUUGUCCACAAAUCUGGAGUCGAUGUUGACACCUAAAUUUUGGCGACCUAGUUAUUUAUUUAUUGCACAAAAAUUAGGGAUUAAUUCUUAACCCCUAAAAAAAAAGAAUUAAAUUGCGUAGCAUAUAGUUUUAGGUGCAUUUUUUAAUUUGCAUUUGCAUUGGACUAGUGACAGAUGAGUUCAAAUUGGUGGUUUUGAGCUUUAAAUUGACAGGUUGGACUAAGCCCACGAAGUGAACAAAUUAGCCCAAUUCCCUUUUUUUAUGACAAAAAAUUAUCUUGUGAGAAAUAGAGAUUUGAAAUUUUCCGAGAUAUUAUGGAGAUUUUUCAAUAUCCUAAGAUUGGGCAAGUGUGACAAAAAAUAUUGCAAGCUCAUCUUUGCAAGAUUUGAAAUUUGAGAAAAAUCUUAUUGUGACUUUGAAUCUUUGGCAAUGUGUGAUAAAAUCGGUGGAGAAUAUUCUUUUUUGCAAAUAAUUUAGAGGAGAUGUUGAAAAUAAAAAAGAAAUAUUGUGUUCGGAAAAAUCUUCAAGGAUGUUGAUUUGAAGAAGAAAAUAAAGCCCUAAUCCUUAGCUUAUAAAAGGGUUGCUCGCGUACGGAGCAAGGGGGGCUUUUCUUUCGGUUUCUAGAUAAAAAACUCAAGACAAAACGGAAAAAUUCUUUGUUUUUUCGGGGAGGGUCAAAACUCAAAAGUGAAUAGAGGGUUUUCCUUCUGUGGAAAGGUGCAACAGAGAAAAGAACAGAGAGAGGACGUGGGAAGUGAUGUGAGGGAGAUGUGAGGAGAGAGGGAGGAAAAAGAAGAAGAAGAAACGAAAAAAAGAAACAAGCUACUGUUUGUCUUCCUCGUGCAGCCGCUCGUCGACACUGCCGCGCCUCUAAACGCCGGCGUCUCCCUCUGCUGGCUACCGCCACUUCGCCUGCAACCUAACAAUGCCGUUGUCGCCACUUGUAGCAGCCCGCAAGCCCCCUCGCCGAGCCUCUGGCACGUCUCUGCCAUCGCCGCUGCUGCUCUUGCUCCGCCACUCGCUUGCCCUCGCAUUUGUCGUCGCCACUCUGCCUUUGCUUGUGCCUUCGCCCAAGCACCAGCACCCGGCUCACCUGCAAAUAUUAUUAAAGUUUCAUAGUGUUGUUAUUUCGUUUAAUUGGGAAUAAAGUAAUUUAGUAUAUAUAGAUACAUACUGCAAGGUCAGUGGAAGGAAAUUUAUUUUAUACUCUAUAUACAUGAUAUUUUACUUACAAGUAGUGACCUUGAUGCAUCUUUUGUCAUUUGCAUUGAGAUCCAUAAGGAUUGUUCUCGCCAUAUAUAUUGGAUUUAUCUCAGAGGACAUUAGCUGAUUGUAUUUUGGAAAUAUUCAAUAUACAUCAUUGCAAGUCAGGAAUUGCUCAUGUCAUUAAGGGUGAUGGACCGAAUCCAUUACACUGUCCUUAUUUAUAUAUUUGAGAAAAUCUAAUUUAAGGGUGUACCUUGUGUCAGUGCACUUAAAAGUAUAAUGUAUGCUCAAAUUUACACUAGACUAAAUAUCAUCUUUGCGAUAGGACUUCUAGGCAAAUAUUAAUCAAAUCCAGGACGUGAUCACUGAGUUGUUGUCGAGAAGGUUUUAAGGCUCUUAAGGACAAAAUAUUAUAUGUUAAUUUAUAGACAUAUUCAAUUCUUGCAGUUAGUAAGGUAUUUAUGUGUAAAUUUUGCUAGCCGUUAGGAUGACAUUCGAUCAAUAAUGAAAUAUAUAUAUAUAUAUUUAUGUUAGUAGGGAGUGCAGUAAAUAAAGUUCUAUGAUAUUUUCUAUUAUAUAAGCAGCAUUAAUGACAUUCUUUUAGGCUGUUACUUGAGCUAUUAGGCUUCGGAACCUCAUUAAGGAGUUGACAAUUUUUAACUUUAUGGAUUGACCCAUACGAUUGUAUUGAGACAAUAAAUUUGUAGUAUUAUUUAUUAACAACAGAGGUCUCAAGGGAUCUGAAUAUUUGGCAAUCAAAUUUUUUACCAUAAAGAAAUGGUACAGAAAGGUAACAUUAUACUAUAACAUAUUUUCACAGAUGAUAUGGCUGUAGAUCCACUAACUAAAGGACUUUGCUCUUCUGUUCUUGAAUGACAUGUCAUUAAUAUGAGUUUAAGAGCAUCAUAAGAUGCUGUUAUUUAGUGGGAGCUAUUUUUGGCUUUAUUAUAAUAAAGUCUACUUCUUUGCUCGUUAUACUUAGUAACGGUUUGAUAUGUAUCAACUUUUGCAUUCAACAAAGUAUUUUUGAAUGUGUUAUCAUUAUGUUGAAUACAUAUUGAUAAAAGUUUCAAAGUAUUGUAUAAUUCUUGAGUGAAGGCUAGAGCAUCCGGUUAUUAGUCUUGUGCAUAUGUCUUAUUAUACAUAAAUAAAGGUUAAUCAUAAGGACAAUGCAUAUGUGAGUUCAUUGAAACUAUAAAGACAUUCUCUAGUGACACAAGUUUUUUUGUGACGCUUAAAGUAAGAGAAUAAUGACUACCAAAUGAAAUCUCUUUAUAGAGAUGUUAUAUAUUUACCACACUAUCAUAUUGAAUCCAUAUCAAUAAAGUUAAAAGCACUCGUGACCAUGAAAAGCUCUAUAUGUAUACAUGCGCCAUGAUUCGAUAGUUGAGACUUUAUAGGAUGGGAUUGACUAUUAAGAAUUAUCUUUAAACCAAAGUGCGCACAUACAAUAAUAGUCCAAGUGGGAGAACGUAAGAGUUUUCCUAAUGUGGACUAUAUUAAUUGAUAUUGUAAUUUAUCGUUUUAUGGUUACUGUUUUACAUGAUUGGUCUAAAGUGAGAUAGAAGAUUUCUUAAUUAGUCUAAUAUGGGGCUGGGUAGUGUGGGCCGAGUUGAGCCUAGCCUGUAAUGAGAGGGCCUAGUUAGAAACUCUAUAAAUAUUGCUUAAGUCUCUCAUCUAAUCCUAAUUUUCACAAGUGUCAUCACAUAAGGAGCGUUAACCUAGCACUAAAUGGUGAGGGGGCCGUCUCAUUGAGCCAGUGGUAUAGAGGACAAUAGAAGAGAAGGACUUGUGCGUGGAUCAAUGUUUUUUUUUUCUUCCGCUUUAAGAACGAUAGAUCCCAAAACAGGUACGAUAAUAUUUCUACUCGAUCAUCUAUGCUCUUAUUUUGGUUAUGGAGAUCUUGGGAUUGCGCGGUUUGCAUCCAACAACCAAUACAUUAGCACUACUAAAUCCUAACCUUUAGGCCGCCGAAUUGCUUACUGGCCAAAUCGACAAGCCCUCCAUAAAUUGGAGGAAGAGAGCGACAGCUUGUACGAUGCCAUGUACAAACCGGAGGAAGCUAGCAACUUGGCCACCAAGGGGAAUGAGCACCUUGAAUCGGGCCUUCGUCAUUUCGUUCUUGGGUUCAAACGGCAUCUGGGUUUAAAGUGACUGGGUCAGGGUGGCGGUCUUGACGGAGUAAGGAGGGAAGCUUGGUUAUGGUUGUUAGGAAAUAGGCGUCGACAGGACGCAGUUCUCUUUUUUAUGUUUUAAACCUCCAUGUAUGGCAUUGGCAUGAAUGGAAGUCUAUGUUUCAGCAUCGGGUUUUUGCUCUUCGAUUCCUGCAUCUCUCACAUAAUUGGGUAAUAUUUCUUCAAAUAUUUCCCAUCGAUUGAACGUGGCAAUUCCCUGCCAUUGAUCUACAUUAGUUGAUAAGCAUUUCCGGUAAGGACAUCAGUGAUCAAGUAUGGACCUUCCCAUGUUGAUGACCAUUUACCAAAUUUUUCAUUAUCCAUGCUCUACGGCAAAAUGGUUUUCCAUACUAAAUCACCAAUGUCAAAACCUUUUAGCUUCACAUGUUUGUUGUAUGCCCUCGCAAACCAACUUAUCCAAAGCAGUGACUCUGCUUUCACCCAAUUCAUUGAAGUUUGCAUACAUCAGCUCAUUGUAUUCCUUCUUGGCCAUGUCACUCUGCAGCUUGACCCUUAACGACUGGACUGUGAUUUCAAAGGGAAGAACGGCUUCUUGUACGUUUACCGUAUGUUAACAUAUAUGGGCUAACUCCACAGCUUGACCUCCUUAACGUUCAAUAAUCCAUAACACUCUUGACAAUAAAGUAUCUCAUCCUCCUGGAUUAUCCUCUAAGUGUUUUUUGAUCAAGCUAAUGAUAAUUUUGCUAGAAGCUCGACUUGACCAUUAGCCUAAGCGUAAUAAGGUGUUGAGUAGAUCAUUUUAAUCCCUCUUGAUUUUGUGCAACACCUCUUGGCCUGUGAACAUUGUUUCCUAAUCAGCCGUUAUAGAUUCAGGGAUUUCAAAUCGAUAAAUGAUACGAUUUUCGAUAAAUUUCUUCACUGUCUUUUAUGUAACAUUUUUGUAUGAGGCUGCUUCAACCCAUUUUGUAAAGUAAUCGAUGGCAACCAAAAUAAAGCUAUGCUUCUUCAACAAAGGAGGAUAUAUUUUUCCUAUUAUAUCCAUAGCCCAGCCCCCAAAGUGGCCAAGGUUCGAUAAUAGGUUUCAUUACCGAUGCUGGCACAGGAUAGACAGGCCCAUGCUUCUAACAUGGUUCACAACCUUUAGCAUAAUCUAUGCAAUCUUGAGUAAUUGUUGGCCAGAAAUAACCAUGUUGAAGUGGCAACCAUUUCAUCCUUACUCCAGCUUGAUGUGCUCCACAUAUUACUUCAUGUACUUCAGCUAUUACUAACAUUGAUUCUUGUUUCCUUAAGCACCUUAAUAGUAAACCGUCUACAGUUUUUCGAUACAAUUGUCAUCAAUCAACAAAUGCUUAAUUGCUUUUCUCUUGAAAUUUUUGUCAUUGACAACUGGAUUCUUCAAAUAUUCGAUGAACCGGUUUCUCCAAUCUUGUUUUCCUGUGUUAUUGUUUUGAUUCUCUAUCAUCAUCACUCGAUUGUCUAUCGACGGCAAUACUUUGACUUAGGUGACAAUGUGGUUAGCGAGUUCUUUGGAUAUUUUAUACCGGAAUGCCAUUUGAGCUAAUUCAUUGGCUUCCGAAUUCUCAUUUAAUCUAAUAUGGACCAAGUCGGAAUCAGCAAAUGCUUUAAUAAUUCAUUUGCCAUCGUGUGAUGAGACAUGAUAUUUUUAUUAAGGCAUUGGUACUCUCCAAACAAUCGUUUUAUUACUAGCCGGGAGUCGCCUUUUAUUGUAACAAGUCGGGCUUUCAUGUCAGCUAAUAUAUUUAGCCCAACAAUUAAAGCAUCAUAUUUAGGAUGAUUAUUUGAACGCUCAAAAUCAAACUUGAACAUAAGCUUGGUUUUUUGUCCCCACGGAGAUAGCUCCUGCUGAUCCAAAUGCACUGGAACCAUCAAAAUAUAACGUCCAGGGAACCACUUAAGUGCAAUUCUCGCCUCCAACCUCCUUCUGAAUGCAUGAAUAUUUUGUAAUGAAGUCUGCCACUACCUGAUACUUCACUGCAUUGAGCUGUAAAUAAAUCAAAUUGAUUUCUGACAAUGCAAACGCCCACUUAACAUGUACUUAAUUACGUCUAUUUUACAUAUUACAUGUACCGUAAUAGGCAACUUAUAAUGACGUAAUUUAGUACAGGCAUAGUACAAGGACAGACAUAGUUUCUCGAUGGGAGUUUAUCUUGUCUCAACAUCAUUUAGCAUCUGGCUUAAAUAAUACACUGCCUGCUCUUUUCCCUCGUCAAUCUCUUGUGUCACCAUAUAUCUUAUUGGUAGUAUCGGUCACCGAGUAUUCCUUUAUUUGGUCAAAAGCACGGUAAUGCGUGUCUUCCCAUACAAAUUCUUCUUGAUUCUUUAGCUUCAAAAUGUGGGAAAAAUACUUCAAUUUUUCUAGACAAGUUAGAAAUAAACCGACGUGAGAAAUGUAUCUUCCCUAUUAUCAUUUGAAGCUAUUUUUUGGUAGUAUGUGGCGAUAAUUCCAGAAUAGCUCUUGCUGUGUUCCAAUCUAUUUCGAUUCCUCUUUGAUUGACUAGGAAUCCUAGAAAAUUACCAGCUCUAACACCAGCACAUUUCAACGGGUUCAUUUUCAAUUUAAAUUUCCGCAUUCUAAGGAAAGCUUUUUCUAAAUAAUUUAAAUGACUUAUCCGGUCUAACUUGGUGAUGACGUCAUCAAUGUUCACUUCCAUAAAAUGACCGAUUAUGUCAUGAAAAGUGAAAUUCACAGCUCUUUGGUAUGUGGCUCCAGUGUUCUUCAGGCCAAAUGGCAUAAAAAGCUAUUCAAAAGUGCCAAUUCCUCCCGGACACUCAAACGCUAUUUUAUAGACAUAUUCUUCUGUUAUCAAGAUCUAAUUAAAUCCAGUAUACCCGUCCAUUAGAGACAUAAUCUCGUUUCCCGACACUAAGUCAACAAGUAUGUCGGCCAUUUUUUAUACUCAUCUUUAGGAGUGGCCACAUUCAGGUCAUGAAAAUCGAUAAACUCUAAGGUGCAUAUGACAAAAUUUUUGUUUCUCUAUUUCUUUAUUUUGUUAUUUCCCGAAACAAGUUUGGAAUAGAAAUAAGUUUAGUAACACAAUUUCAUAUUUUAUUUUAUUUUUGGAACAUAUUUUUAUUCUAGAAAUGAAUUUAGAGCAGAAAUUAGAAGUUAAAAUUUUUAGCUUUUCUAUUUCUAGAACAAAAGUGAGAAAUGAAAACUUGUCUCAUUGUUCGCUCUCGUUACCGCCUCCCGUGGAACAUUGGAUGCCUACUGCCCACCACCAGAUGCUGACCACCGUCCAUCAAUUCCAACCGCCGGCCAUCACACCCUAGAAAUAGAAUUUUUAUUCAAUUAUUAAACAAAUUUCUGUUCUAGAAACAUAAAUUUUGAAUAGUUAGGGGUGCAUGACAAACUGCAAUUUCUGUUCCAGAAACAAUUUUUCUAUUCCAGACUUGUUUCUGGAAUAGAAAUUCGUUUGAUAAACUUAUCCCAUUUUUUUAUUUUUUUAUUUUAUUUCUGAGAUAGAUUCUUGUUCCAAAAAUAGGUUUAGAAUAGAAAUCAAAAGUAGAAAUUUUCUACUUCUCUAUUUCUGGAAUAGAAAUGAGAAAUAAAAAUUCUUUUCAUUGUUCGUCAACCAGUCCUUCAUCUGUAGUCGUUGACCACCGUCCGUCGGUUGUCGGCUGCCACCGGUCGCCGGUCGCAGGCCGCCACUAGUUGCCGAUCGCCAGCCGCCGCCGAUCGUUGUCCACCGCCGUCCGAAAAGAAAAAAAUUUGUGUCGUUAUCAAAUGAAUUUCUAUUUUUAGAGUAAAAAUUUUGUGUCGUUAUCAAAUGGUUAUUUUUUCUUACAAAUUCUUCUAAAAAUAGAAAUAGAAAAAUCUAUUUCUCUUGUAGAACCUAUUUCUGGAACAAAAUGGUUAUCAUUCACUCCCUUAUUAAACGUGUUUCUUUGCUCAGAAACUCAUCCAAUGAAUAGAAAUUGAUUUUUGUUCUAGAAAUUUUAUCAUACGCGCCAUAAACUUCCCAUUCUUCUUCUUAACUGACAUUAUGUUUGAGUGUCAUACAAUAUAUCACAUAGUUCUUAUAAAGUCUGCUACCCGUAGUCAUUCAAUCUCCUCUUUAAUUUUUUGAAUGACUUCUAGAGCAAGUGGCCUUGGUGCUCGUUUAUGUGGUCUGAAACCUCUGUUAAUUGGCAAUUGAAGCUCUACUACAUCUCUACCCAAUCCUAACAUUUCAUGAUAGUUCCAAGGAAAAGAGUCUUUGUAAUUUUCCAGUAAGCCUAUCAAUUGAGUUACAUAGAUGGGUCGACGAUCCACAUCGUUACCAAGAUUAACUUCAUCCAAAGGGUCUUAGGCCUCAAUUACUUUGAUGUCUUUCUUUAUGGGCGAUUCUUCAAACUCAAAUAUCCCAUUGAUAGCUUUAGGGUGCGCAUGACAAAAUUUCUGGAACAGAAAUUGAUUUCUCAAGUUAAAAAUUUUAAUUUCUGAUUUCUUCUUCAAAUCUAUUUCUGGAAUAGAAAUAUGUUCCAAAAAUAUAAAAAUCAAAUUGCGUUGUCAAACGAAUUUAUGUUUUAAACCUAUUCCGGGAAACAGAGAAAUAGAGAAAUAGAGAAGUAGAAAUUUUAUCAUGCGCGUCUUAAUUAGUAAACUUCUCGGCUUGUGCGGCCCUAUAAGCUGCGUACCUCCUAAUGAGGUCUUUUGAUAACAUAAAUUUCUCCAUACAUAGCCUUAUUUAAUUGUCCUGCCAGUUCAAACUUGGGGACCUACUCAAUAUUUUCCUCGUCGAAAUAGCAGAACAUGAUAUUCACGGUAUCAAUUUAUGGGGAUUUGCUAAUGCACCCAUUGUCCUUUAAUACCCCCGGCGACUUUUCGUUGUUUCCAAUGCAUGUGCCCAAGUCACAUGUGAUCGAAGAUUAGCCUUGACAUACUCAACUUUGUCUCCAUUCUAGAUUGCCAAUAUUUGAUGUAAUGUUGAAGGCACACAUUAGUCCCGUGGAUCCAUUCUCUUCCUAAUAAUAGAUUGUAUAAUCCAUCAACGUCGAGGACACAGAAGGAUGUCCUUGAGGUUUUGGAUCCAAUCGUUAAGUCAACAAUGAAUAUUCCUUUGACUUAUGAAACCUCUCCGGUAAAGUCUGAUAGUUGGAUCAUUAAGCAGAGAGACAGCAAUGGAGGGAUAGGCGCCAGCUGUCAUGCACAACCCUCCAGACCACACAAGACAGGUUAUGAAAGCGGACCAAACAGAGGAGAACAAUCAGGCUUGUACAGACGGAAGGAAAGGAACAUCGAGGAGAAGAGAGACACGGACGGAGGUUUCAUUCUAUAUUCGCGACCCUCCCGAGGCAAAUCUGAGGAAGUUUGACAGAUUGUCAACCCGUGCGGAAGAUCCCUCUCGCAAGGCGGUGCUUGCACUUGUCACGGACUCUCUCAAGCUUUAUUGAGCUCAAGUUGAUUUUUUCGCUGUAUUGUGCCAUUUGUUCUUAAGAACCGCCGCUAAUCUAUUAUGAACCGAAUAAGGGCCAAGUAAAAUGCGAGAUAUCAUUUUACUUUUGGACACAUAAGUAACUAAGUACAAGAGACUCCGCCAAAAUUCCAGGCCAAUCCCAUCGCUUGAUUAUGCUAGAAAUUAUCUAAUACCCAAUUUGGUAUAUUUUUUCUUCAAUGGAAAAACGUUUUGCAAUCUAUCAUUCAUUCAUUCAUUCUUCUUCUUCUUUUUAAUAUUUUCACAAAACAUGAAAAUCUAGAUCAUCAUGCAAGAGUUCUCAAACAACAAAAACACACCGAUAAUCAAAUAAAACAAAACAAUAAACAUAAAUAAAUUGUGGUAAAAGAAAGGAGGACAUUUGAAGUACCGGAAGUUUGUAUCGGAUCAUUUAAGUGCCAAUUUUUUUGAAAAACGAUCAUUUUAGUGUCAACUUUGAUAUGUUUGACUGAAAAUCCAAUGUGGCUUUCUUUUUUUAUUAGUUUCUUAAGCCGACAUGGCCCGCCGAAGGAUCCGGUCAACAUCCAAACCAUAAAAUGACGUCAUCUAGCAACUUUCCCUUGUAUAAGAAUCCUAAAUCCCUAAAUUGAAGGAGAACUCCUAAUUUCAAAUCCUAAUUGGCCAUCGAACCAAAAUUCACAUCCUAUUUUGGUUUGCCCCCCAAAAUUUCCAGAUUAAAACAACGGCGACUCAAAUUAAGCCUUAAUUUUUCUAGCCGAUCGAGUAAGGGAGAGAAGAUGACAAACCUAUGUGAGCAACAGUCACAAUGACGGUACAUGAGUGACGGCCAAUCAACGAGGAGGAGUAGCUCGUAGUGUCAUGCAAGAAGAGGAACUCAAAGGCCCAAUUUUGAUCCACUUUGUGCGAUGUCGUUUCUUUUGACCGAGCCACGUAGGAUGGAACUCUGAUGUCGUUUUUGACGUGUACGUGGACUUAAUUUUUACAAAUUAUGCCACGUCAUUUCUUUUAAUUAAAAAAGCUACUUAAUCAAUUUGGUUAGAAUAUCUAGUCAUUGGCACUUAAGGCUCUGUUUGAUAACGUUUCUAUUCCUAAUUUUUGUUUUUUUCUUCUCUAGAAUAAAAAAAAAAAAACAGAAAUCCAUUUGGUAACAUUAAUUAACUUUUUAUUCCCAAGAAUAGAAAAGUGACCGGGGAAUAGAUUUGAAACAAAAACGAAAAGUAAAAAAAAAAAAGAAAGUAGAUUCUUGUUCCUAGGAACAAUUUCUAGAAAUAAGUUAUUUUUUCUUUUCUUUUUCUAUUUUCUUCUUCCUUGCUGCCCCUCACCCCUAGCUAUUGCCCGUGCUAUUUGGCCACCAUCGCCCACUAGCUCGCCCUCGGUGGUCAACCGCCACCCCACGGAUCGCCGCUCAUGGCUUUGCCACUCGCUAACCACCGCCUCUUACCGCUUGUCACAAGCUGACCGCCUAUCACCGUAGCCAAUUGUUGCCGAUUGCCCCUCCCCACCUGUCAACUGACCACCACUUGCCGGUUGACCGCCAACCACUAACUGCCGUUGCUGCUCGCCACAACCCACCGCUGCCGCCUGCCACAACCCAUCGCCAAUGAUCCAUUGAGGCUGCCGCCCAUUGGCUGCUGUCGCCGCCCAUUGGUUGCUGUCGCCACCACCACCAUUGUCGAUGAUUGUCAACGCCGCCAACCGUUGACUGCUACCACCCAUUGUCAAUGAUUGUCAAUGCCGCCACCGCCAAUGACUGUUGCCAUUGCUUGCUGAUCGGCGGUCGAUUGCGGUAGUCAGCGUCGUUAGCGAUCAUCAACGACUGGGUCAGCAGUGAGUGACGAUGGUUGAUGGUGGUGGUUGGCGGCGGUAAGGAAGAAUAAAAAAAAUUAAAAGAAAUUUUACAUUACAAAAAAUUUUGCGAAUCGUACCAAACGUAUUCCUAUUCUUUUUUCAUUCCAAAAAUAGAAAUUUUAUAUGGUUACCAAACACAUUAUUUUAUUGAGAAAUUGUUCUGAGGGAUAGAAAUAGAAAAGACUAUUUCUAGAAAGAAAUUGUUUCUCGGAACAGAAACGUUACCAAACGGACUAUAAAUGAUCGUUUUUUCUUCGAUUUGGCACUUAAAUAAUCCGGCGAAAACUUAUAACACUGAAGGGAGUAUCGCAUAUAACUUUUGACAUUUUUAGUAUACUUCUCCAAACAGUAAAAUACAGAUUUUGAGCCAUGUCGGGCAACAUUGCCUUAUUAUCAAGCUUAGGACAGGACUCGUGGGCUCUACCUGGUAUUAAACAUGCAAUUAGUCAAGGUUAAGGAAUGCAAAUUUCUCUAAACUUUGAUAAUAAUGAAAUUUUAAACCUACUAGAUUGAAAUUAAAUUUAAAAUAAGCUAAAUCUUAUGAUGCAAUUCUAACCUAAUUGCAGUUUCAGGUUUUUUAUCUUUUGCAUUUCCAUUUUUUUUAUGUUUUCCUUUUUGUAAAAAACAAACUAGAAUCUUAAUCAAGCUAGUUAAGUGCCGGAAGAUAACAAACUCGAUAGAAGGCUAAGAAUAGAAUUUAAACAUGACGUAAACGUGCAGAUCGACCCGGAAAUGAUGCCAACUGCCAACUAGCAGAAGGGCGACCUCAGACCGCUUGAGGUACUCCGCAAGGCCGAGACAAGAGCUGGACGGCGGGUCAUUGGACGGUAUUUAUAUAUUAAACAACACCAAAACAAUCACUAACACGUUGUAGGGUAUGUAGAAGCGUUGUUGUGGUAACAUGAGAGAACUAUAAUAGAUGACUAAACACACACCCGAUAUGCUAGACUGCAUUACAAAUAUAACACUUAGAAUAAUCAUUCGAACACAAAUAUUACAAUAUACUUCUCUCUUGACACAUACAAAAUACUCACAACAAACUAGCUGAUACAAGCACAUACACUCAGCUUUUCUAUUUUCCCUUCUCGCUCACGAAGGGAUGACUCACUCACACAGACCAACUUUCUAUAGGCUGCGGUGCCUUUCUCUCUUGAAGUUCACCUUCGCACUUGGUGACUUCCUAUUCCGAAGCUCUCAUUGCUGGAGGCUUUCCCUAAAGCUCACAUACGUGCGGCUUCCCUGAAGCUCAUCUUUGCACCUGGUGGCUUCAUCUCUGGCCUGAGGUUCUCCGCCUGCGUGUGGCAUGAGGACCUCUCCCUAGCCUAAGGUUCUCUCUUUGACGUUCUCCGCGGUGGCUUGAGGCUAUUAAGCCUAAGGCCCUCACCUAGCCUAACUUCAAACGCUUCACCUCUAAGUCUUAUAUAAAGGCUGAGUUUUCACCUCUUUCAUUGGCGACUUUAGGAUGAAAGGAUCUGCCGCAACUUUUUCUUCAAGUCCAAGUACAAGUUAGCAAGUUGAACCUUGCUUUCUUUCUUCUUUUGACUGCUCUUUCACCAAUUUGUCAACAAUUGUGGGCUGCAUGUCCAGUAGUCGACUGCAUGGAGAAUGGACUUCUUUUUCUUCUUCUUGCAGACUUUCUGUAGAAUUCUCACGUGUGCAGUGGAGAAUUCUUUCUUUGCUUUCUUCAUGCUUGCGGCUUCUUGUUUUCAUAUUAGGUGUUGACUCCAACAGACGCCUCGACAUAUCUACGGGCCAUUGGGGCCAAUGAAGGCCAACCCAAGACAAUGCAAAAGUAGAUUUAGAAAAAAAAAAAAAAAAAGACUGCUAAACAACCCUUAUUCAGCAUGCCAAUAAAUCUGGACAGUAAGGGUGUGCAUGAUAAAAUUUCUACUUCUCUAUUUCUCUAUUCCGGAAAACAGGUUUGGAACAGAAAUUCAUUUGGUAAUGCAAUUCAAUUUUCUAUUUCUGGAAUACUUCUAUUCCAGAAAUAGAUUUGAAGAAAUCAUAAGCUAAAAUUUUUAACUUCUCAAUUUCUGAAAUAGAAAUUGAGAAAUCAAUUUCUGGCUAGAAAUUAAUUUUUGUUCCAAAAAUUUUGUCAUUCGCACCCUAAGUAUCGACGCACUCUUUGAGUUUGGGAACAUAUUAUAAUAAAAACACUUCCCCGAGGUAUGAUUUAGGGUUAUUAUUCAUUAAAGAGGAGGCCUUUUUUUUUUUUUUUCUAAAGGCUUGUACCAUGCUUGGGGGUUCAAAGGAAGUCUAUUGCCCCAUGGAUUUAGAGGUGUAUGGCUGGCCAAGGAGAUCCCAUCUUGGACUAAUUUGGUUCAAAUUUAAGGUGCCAUUGUUUCCCUAUCUGGUAUACCUAAAAAUAGCCUCAUUUGCUCGUUCAAUCUUUUCCUAUUGAAUCACCACCACAUGAGGGAGGGUUAACGAUGUGAAACAAAACGGGUGAUUAGAGGGUGGUCAUUAUUUGAACGAAUUUUGAAAUUAAAUGACGAUGGGCAUAGAAAGAUGAGAUACAUGAAUGCGAGUCCAUGCAAGGUGCAAUAUGCGAGUUCAUGCAAUAUCGAUGCUUUUGGUUAGGGAUCAAAUUCUGAAAGUAUAUGAUCCCUAAUUUUCUUAUGAAAUGCACAAAUAAUUUGUGAGCAAAAAUUUAGUUGUCAAUAUUAUAUUUAAAUUGAAAGAAGAACCGAAAAAGAUGAGUAGCAUGAAACGAAAAAUCAAUGGAAAAAUCAACGAUGUCACUGAAGUCCAAAUGCAAAGCAUCCUUUUCCUUCAGAUAGCCUAUGACCGCUUUGAUUUUGGCAGGGGAAUUCAUAAACUUGAUCUAGAAAUGAGGAGACACGUGUUAACUGAGAAUGAGAAUCUAUUGGUACCUCAGUAGCCUCUCAAAUUAUGCUGAAUCUAGAUGGGAAUUCAUUUCUGCUGUGACCAAUCAUAAAAGUGAUGCAGUUUUCUAAUUGACCAAUUUGCCAAAAAGUUGCAUAUACUGGAGCCCUUAAAAAUUUUGCCAUCUGGAAUUUGAGAAAAAAAUCUGUUAGAGAAAACUUCUUAACUGUUUUUGUUUUGAAGUUGACAAAACCUUUCCAAAAGUCUAGUCUAAAGACUUGCAGACUCAAAUGUUAUAGUAUGAAGAACUCCAGACUCUACUGUCAAAGUCUGAAGACUGCUAGACUUUAAUCUCAAAGUCUGACCAUAAUGACAGGUUCCAGACCGAAGAGUGAAGACUUAUCCAGAUGCAUGUUUAUUUUAAAGGAUUUGGUUCAUAUGGUUUGUAGAAUAUCUUAUGACUGGAUAUAGCAUCUUAUGAUCAAUUAUUCUUAUUGGAAUCAAUUUGGAUAAUCAUAUCUCUUGAAAGGUGAAGUAUACUUGGAAGAUUCUACUUAUGAAAAUCUAGAUCCUAAUUGUAUGGGCGAGCAGGAUUGAUGGACUUUCAUCACAUUCUUAAAAUGACUCGAGAUCUCCUUAAUUGAUUUUGUCCAAUAGGUAGAUUGGAAGAACUCCUUUGGAAAGUGCCAACGAUAGUGAAGGCAUGAAGGAGUAUUUAAGGCAGACUCUCCAGUUGUUCGAUGUAGUGUGUGAAAGAAAAAUUUCAAAGUUUGAAGCUUCCAAUUCUUUGCUAUUUCAAUUGUCGAGUUUAACUUGUACACAAAAGAGAGAGCAAACACUUGUGAGACUUUGGAAGAGUGUAGUAGAGUUUUUACACUAUGAAGUCAAGGACGUGAGACUGUAAAAUCUUUUUUGGUUCAUAGUGAAAUCCAGCCGGUAGGCUCUCAGUGCGGAAGAGUGGAUGUAGGCUUGAUCUAAACCGAAUCACUAUAAACCUUGUGCUUCUAUUCUCUUUCUCUGAACUUUUUACUUUAAUUCGUAGCUUUAUAUAACUAUUUAUAAUUAAUUACAUCUUCAGUCUAUUAUCUUCUAAAAGCAAUUCACUUUCAUUAAGUCUUACAAAAAUUUCUUUUAACACAUAUUCACCCCCUAGGUGUUCUUACUAGCCCUUUCAAUUGGUAUCAAAGCCGGUGUGCUCAUUUUAUUGAAGUGUUUUUACUUCUGAGUUAAAGAUCUAUGGCUAGUAUUUUGGCUUCAGGUUUGAUUGAAGGCCAAAGCAACACCAGACCUCCUUAUUUUUAUGGGAAGGAAUACAAUGCAUGGAAAAACAAGAUGAAGGCAUUCCUGAGAUCGAAAGAUCCCCCAGAAUGGGACAUAGUAGAAAAAAAGGGAUUAUUCCCAAAGCUACAUCCAUCUCAGAAAGAGGAAAAAAAGUUGCAGACGUUGUCGAAAUGGCACAAGAAGAAAUAACCAAGAGACAAGCUCUUGAUGCUAAAGCCAUUUACUCUUUAUACUGUGCCUUAUCUCUUACUGAGUAUAACAUAAUUUUAUUUUGUGAAACAACCAAAGAAGUCUGGGAUAGGUUGCACGUUACCUAUGAAGGAACUAAUUGAGUUAAAGAAACAAAAACCAAUAUUCUACUCGGACAGUAUGAAGCCUUCGAGAUGAAGCCGGGAGAAUCUAUCAUUGACAUGUUUAGUCAUUUUAUAGAGAUUGUAAACGGUAUAGCAUAUCAAAGACAACCAAUCUCAGGACCAAUGAAGGUCAAUAAAUUGCUGCGUGGACUCUCCAAAAACUGGAAUCACAUUAUGACUUUAAUAAGAGAAACCCAAAGGAUCAUGCCGCUCUCUGUAGAUGAACUAGUUGGCACACUUCAAUCAUAUUAAGUGGAGCAAAUCAAUGAGGAAGAAGAUCCUAAAGGUAAAAAGUUAAUUGCUUUAAAAUCUAAUGACGAUUCUGAUACAGAUUCAGAAGAUGAUAUAGACGAUGAAGAACUAGCACUCGUGAUAAGGAAAUUCAGAAAAUUGAAUAGAAAGAGAAGAAAAUUCAAACUGGAAGAAGCAAUGCACUCAAAAGUUUUAUGAAAAAUUAACCGAGGAUGAUGAAGUCAACAAAGAUGUGAUCUUCUUUGAAUGCAAGAAAAAUGGGCACAUCAGACCCAACUUUCCUUUGUUGAAGAAAAAGAAAUGAAGAACUGAGAAAUACAGAAAUGCUCUCAAAGCAGAGACAUGGAGCGAUACUAAAUGCGAAGAAAGUGAUGAAGAAUAUGCCAAUAUAUGUCUAAUGGAAAAUUCAGAAUCAAACUCAGACUCUGAAACAGAUUCAGAUUCAGACUCAGACAAUGGAAUCGAGGUUAGUAAUUUAAAAAUUCCUACUAAAGUCUCAAAGUACAUAGAUGAAUUUUGUCUCAGUCUCAAAACCUCUCUUAAAAGGAUUUCCGAGCUGAAGAGGGAGAAUUCUAUGCUUAAGCAACAUGAAACUUCUUGGAAAGAAAAGUUUGAAAAUCUAGACAAAAAUUUUGUCAAUUUGAAAGAAAAUGCAGAUUCUCUUUCGAAGGAAAAUAUUUUUUUUGAAAGAUGACAUUUCAAAUAUUACAAAAAGGUUUUCAAUAGGAUAUGAGAAAUUAGAAAAGAUUCUUUCGGUACAAAGACCUUAUUUCAAUAAAUUUGGUUUGGGUAUGAUACCAGAAACUAUUCAUUUAAUUGAUUUUCCAAAAGUAAAGGAAAGAAUCAAACAAAGACCUACAAAAACAUUUUACAGAAAUCAUUUUCAAAGAGUUUUUAUAAAACUUGUUGGCCGAAGUGCUCUCAAAUGCUCAAAGUGUAACGGCUUAGAACAUUUUGAGAAAGAAUGUCCCAUGGUUUGGAGAUCUGUUAAGAAGGAUUUGGCAGAGAUUAUAUUUAAAACUAACUCUCCUAGAUCCAAGAAAAUCCGGGUACCAAAUAAAUCUUGAUUUCUUUUUGUAAUUGCAGGUUACUAUUAAGAAAAAGAUCAAGUGGUAUUUGGAUAGUGGCUAUUCGAGACACAUGAUAGGAGAUUCAACUGUUUUAUAAAGCUUGUGCAAUUAAAUGGUGGAAAUAACAAAGGAAGAAUUGUUAGAUGUGGAACUGUGAAAAUUAGAAGUCUCACAAUCAACAAUGUUUCCUUGGUAGAAGGAUUGAAUUACAAUCUGCUCAGCAUUAGUCAACUGUGUGACACUGGAUUUAAAAUCAAUUUCUAAGAGGGAAUUUGUUCGGGAACUAGUAAAGAUUUUUCUCAAUCUUUCACUGGAUGAAGACAUUGGAAUAUUUAUCUUCUGGACAUAAAAUCAGAAAGCUCUCAGUGUCUAAUAUCCAUUCAAGAUGAAGCAAACCUUUGGCUUCGAAAGCUUGGCCAUGUUAAUAUAAAGCAGAUUGCCAAGAUCUCCCCUAAGAAAAUUGUUCGUGGACUUCCUAAUUUGACUUAUCAAAAAUCUAAUCUAUGCACACCAUGUGUUUUGGGAAAACUUGUUAGAAGUUCUUUCAAAUCUAUAAAUCAAGUUUCUACUAAUUGAGUUUUGCAGCUUCUACAUAUGGAUCUCUUUGGACCAACCAGAACUCAAAGCAUUGGUGGAAAGAGAUACUGCCUAGUAAUCGUGGAUGAUUAUUCUUGUUUUACUUAGGUUUACUUUUUGGCAAGUAAGUUUGAAACAUUUUCUCACAUUUCAAAGUUUGUCAAGAAAGUUCAGAAUGAGAAAGGUUAUGCUAUUUCAAGCAUAUGGACAGAUCAUGGAGGUGAGCUUCGUUAAAUUGUGUGAUGAAUCUGGUUUCCAGCAUGUUUCUCUUGUUCAUAUACUCUAGCACAGAAUGGGGUUGUGGAAAGAAAGAAUAAAUUUUUGCAGGAGAUGACAAGAACCCUUUUAAUUGAAAGCAAUAUUUCUUCUCGAUUUUGGGCUGAAGCAGUUUCUACAGCUUGCUAUAUUAUUAACAGAGUAUUUUUAAGGCUUAUUUUAGAGAAAACUCCUUAUAAAGUAUUUAAAGGGAAAAAGCCAAAUGUUUCUUAUUUUCAUGUGUUUGAUUGGAAAUGUUUUGUUUUGAAAAACGCAAAUGAUUGAACUGGUAAGUUUGAGGAAAAAUCAGACAAAUUUUUUUUCCUUGGCUACUCAACCUUAAGCAAAGCCUAAAGAAUAUUCAACAAGAAGACUCAGUCUAUGGAAGAGUCUAUGAACGUCAAAUUCCAAGACUCUAUGUAGAAUCAACUGAAUCAAAAUCAACUUGAAGAAUCUGAACCUACUCUAGACCUUACAAAGUCUACUUCCCCUGAAGUGGUUUAGACUUCUGAAGAUCAAUAACGAAUAGAAAUUGAAGACUCAACUAAAGUAGAAGAUUAACAGACUAUCAGACCAAACGGUAACUAGAAGCAUAAGUCUAGUCAUCCCAAAAAACUCAUCAUCGGCAACAUUGAUGAAGGGAUUCGCACCGGAUCCAAAAGGCGAGAAGAGUCUAGCGCUCUAGCACUUAUUUCUGAGAUAGAACUCAAAAGCAUAGAAGAAGCCUUAGCUGACGAAAGUUGGAUUGAACCUAUGCAAGAAGAGUUCAGACAGUUCAGCAUCAAUGAUGUUUGUGAACUAAUUCAUAAACCAAAAGGUAAAUCUAUUAUUGGAACUAAAUGGAUUUUCAAGAACAAAAUGGACGAGAAAGGAAAAGUAGUCAGAAACAAAACAAGACUCGUGGCCAAAGGAUAUACGCAAGAAGAAAUGAUAGACUAUGAUGAGACCUAUGCACCAGUGGCAAGGUUAGAAGUAAUUAGAUUAUUUCUUGCUUUUACUUAUUAUAAAAAUUUCAGGUUAUUUCAAAUGGACAUCAAAAGUACAUUCCUCAAUGGAUUUAUCUAAAAAGAAGUCUAUGUGGAAUAACCACCUGGAUUUGAAGAUCCAAAAAGGCCAGACUCAGUCUUCAGAUUGAAAAAGGCCCUAUAUGGAUUAAAGCAAGCACCUUGAGCCUGGUAUGACAUGUUAAGUAAAUUUCUAAUUCAAAAUGGUUUUGUUAAGGAAAUGUGAAUACUACUUUGUUCAUUAAAAGAGAAGGUAAAGAUUUUUUACUUGUUCAAAUCUAUAUUGAUGAUAUUAUCUUUGGAUCACCUAAUGAAAAUCUAUGUAAGAAGUUUUCUAAUUCUAUGCAAGAUGAAUUUGAGAUGAGCAUGAUGGGUGAAUUAACUUUCUUUCUCGGACUACAAGUCAAACAAUUGAAGAAAUGAACUUUCAUCCACUAAGAAAAAUAUGCAAAAGAUCUCAUCAAGAAGUUCGGAUUGGAGAAUUGCAAAAAGACUGAUAUACCAACGUCAAGUUCUUCGAAGCUAGAUAAAGAUGAAGGAGGAAAGAAAGUUGACUAUAAGCUUUACAGGAGUAUUAUUGGUUCACUUCUUUAUCUUACUACUUACAGACCUAACAUUUUGUUUAGUGUUUGUAUUUGUGCUAGAUUCUAAUCAGAUCCCAAAGAAUCUUAUCUAAGUGCUGUAAAACAGAUCAUCAAAUACAUUACAACUACUUCAAAGCUAGGUCUGUGGUAUUCCAAAGAAUGAGACUUUACUCUUCUUGGAUAUUUAGACGUAGAUUUAGCAGGUUGCAGAGUCAAUAGAAAGAGUACUUCAAAUACUUGUCAACUGCUGAGCAACAAGCUGGUGUCUUGGUUCUCAAGGAAGCAGAGUACUGUAGCUCUUUCAAUAGUAGAAGCUGAGUAUGUUGCUCUAGGAAGCUGUUAUUCUCAAAUCUUGUGGAUAAAGUAACAGCUAAGAGACUUUGGAAUCGAAGACUUAUGCAUCGAGAUCAAAUGCGACAACACCAGUGCCAUCAAUCUCACAAAGAAUCCAAUUCUUUAUUAAAGAGCAAAGCACAUAGAAAUUCGACAUCAUUCAUUAGAGAUCAUGUUCAGAAUGGAGAAGUUAUGAUACAGUUCACUCGAAGAAUCAAUUAGCAGACAUAUUUACAAAGCCACUGGAGAAAAGUCUAUUUGAGUCUAUUCGCACCAGACUGAACAUCAUAUAUUUUAUUAAUUUAAGCCUGAAGAUGAUCAGACUCAAAACGACCAAAGGUUACAACUGUAAAUAAAUUUCUUCUUGUAAGUAAUUUAAUUUUAGGAAGAAAUUUUGAAAAGGUAUGUUUAUUUUUGAAUCGUUACUUAAUUAUCUUAUUUUUAGAAAUCAUCAUUUUCGAGUUUUGAAUUUAUGGCAGUUUUUUAUUUUCAAAAGGCAGUUAUUCAUACCACCGUCCAUAACGACGCAGCUGGCUUGGGCUCUCUCCCCCUCACGAAGGGGAGGAGUUCGAAUCAUAGAGGCGUCGUUAGGGAUUUUUACCUGGAGUACUGUGGUGGUCGGUCCUGCAGUCGCUCCCCCAGGGGUUGCUCGUCGGCUGUCAGCUUACUAAGUUCCCAAGGUUACCAAAAAAAAAAAAAAAAAUGGAAGUUAUUAAUUUUCAAAAAGGUAGUUUUUACUUUCUCCUUUACGACGAUUCGUAUACCCUGUUUCAUCUGCUUUCUAUACUGUCGGUUUUAUUCUUCUCCGUUUUUACUCACAAACCCUAGAAUAUAGAACUCCACUUUCUCACACUUUCCCUCUAGUUUAAUCCAAAAAGAUUUCAUUUUUUUUUUUUGCUGCGAUCGAGUUCAAGAAAUCUCCCAAAGAAAGUGACAAUGUCUUCCCAAAGAAAGUCUUCUAGAAUUGCGAGCAGGGGACCACAACAUAUGCGUGAGGGUCCUACGCACCUUGAUUUGACCGAGGAAGAAAAUUCUCCACAACAGCAGCAGCAAAGUCAGCAACAACAUUUUCAACCGCAUCACUCUUCUCAACCUAGGACUCAAGUUCCUUCACGGCAACAAGCAGAAAAGGAAAUCAUUGAAAAUGUUGAACCCGUAAGGACUCUUAAGCCCGAAUUUCUCUUUAAACUCUACUAUAAGUUAAAUGAGGGUGGUACUGCAAUAACUUUCAUUGAUGAGUUUUUUAGCGAGAAAUGGUACAUAAAUGAAACUCAUUUUUUGAGGACAAUGAAAAGUAUGGGCAUUGUGCCUGUUGGUUUGGCUACAAGGGCUUUUGUAAAUUUUCCAAGUGAUCCACGGUUUGGAUCCUUUAAUCAGCCUGAAGGGAAAGAUGACGAUGAAAGGAUGUUCACAAAUUUUCAACCUAGAAUAGGCAUCGCUGCAAAUGUUCGUAGUGAAAGAACAGAUCUUUUUCGUUCUAAGGACCACAAGAGAACUUAUUCAAAAUUACUGAAGCGAGGGGUGAUGAACCCUAGAAGUGUGGACUUUGAUUUUCUUGAUUCGUUAAAAGUGAAACUGAGGGAGAAGUUUGCACUUCUUCGACUCGAACGAUUUUGCUCUGAGACGACUAUUGCUUACCCAGAACUUACAGCUUACUUCUAUUCAAAUCUAUCCUUUUUAGAUGUGAAUAGAUUCUCUUUUAUUAUUAGGGACAAAGAAUUUGUGGAUUACCAGCCGCUUAAUCUUUUCCUUCAAGAUGAUAAAUUCCCUUUACCUUCCAAAAACUCCAUUUUUGCUAGAUUAUCUAAGGCCCAAAUCUACUCCAAAUUUGAUCUCAAAGCCGAAUUUUGGCAAUUUGACAUUCAUCCUGAUGAUAGACCCAAAAUAUGGUUAUGUAUCCCAAACCAGCAUUUUCAUUGGAAAGUUCUUCCUUUUGGUUUAAAGGUUGCUUCAUCAUUAUUCCAAAAGGCCAUGUGUCGAAUUUUCCAGCAAAACCUGUCAAGCGCAACAGUAUACAUCGAUGAUAUCUUGCUCUACAGUUCUGAUGAGCAAUCACACUGCCAAAUUCUUGAGCAGUUCGCAGAAAUUGUGAAAAAGUAUGGAAUCAUGCUUUCCCAAAGAAAGAUGAAUAUUGCCCAGACAUAAAUUGAAUUUCUUGGUAUGCAUCUUAACAAAUGGACAUACUAUCCAGGGCCACACAUUACUUAAGAAUUGUUGAAAUUUCCUGAAGAGAAUUUUACAAGAAAACAAGUUCAAUACUUUCUUGGGAUAAUUAAUUAUCUCAGAGACUUUGUUCCAAAUAUUACAAAAUUGCUGAUUCCAUUGUAGACAAUGAUGAAAAAUAAUUUCCCACCUUAGGGAAAAUCUUAGACGAAAGCAGUCGCUAAACUUAAGGAGAUUAUGCAGGCUCUUCCUCCGUUGCAAAUCCCAUCAACAGGAAAGAGAAUUCUCCAGACUGAUGCCAGUGAUGAAUACUGGGCCACCAUCCUGUUUGAAGAAAUUGAUGGUAAGAGGCAUCUGUGUGCCUACAUAAGUGAAAAUUUUUCUCAAGCUAAAAUGCAUUAUCAUUCCAUUUUAAAAGAAAUUUUGGCAGUAAAAAAUUGGAUAAAAAAGUUUAAAUUCCAUCUCAUUGGCCAUCACUUCCUAGUAUAAUUGGAUAUGGCAUCUUUCCCUUAGAUGACCAAAUUCAAACAAAAGCAAGUUCCAAAUUCUCAACUGCUUCGAUGGGUUGAAUGGUUUUCAAAAUACUCUUUUGAAACCAAACAUAUUGCCGGGAAGAAAAAUGUGCUUGCUGAUUUCUUGUCAAGACCAAAAGCACCAGCAGAAAUCAAUAUGUACGUCAUGAGGCAUGCUUUUCAUAUGCUUCACCAUGGUGAGAAAUACAAGAUUGAGAAGAUAAAAGACUAGCCAAGCUGGCGAUACCCCCAGGAGAUCAUUGAGCAAAUCCAGAAAGACAGACUUACUGAAAAUCUGGAUAAACUCAUGUGGCAAUGCCACACAGAUCUGUUCAGAUUUAAUGGAGGUUCGAUUCUUUACCAUUUCGAAUUAAAUGCAAAUAAUGGUACUUAACCAAUAAGUACUUAAUAGCUAUUGAAAUUCCAACCAGAAGAUUCAUUGCUAACCUCACCAGGAUAUUUGGACUCGGCAUAGGAAAAAUUGAAAAAGAGUGAUAAAAACCUUUUAGAUUUCCUAACUGGUUUUAUCUUCCCACUCACUAGAAAUGACUCUUGCAAAAAGAACUAAGAACCACACAACCAAACCCUGAGGUCCAUACUAUUUUGUUCUUUCGACGACCAUGGGCUUUUCUAACAAAUAAUGACAACAUCAUCAAUGCCCCCUGAGUAUAGGUACCUCAUCCUAUAAACAUGUUCCACUCAAUGCAGAAGCUUGAGUUCACAAGUCCUAUCCAGGACCCGUUGGUUACUAUGAACACCAGUAUCGAGAACUCUAGAGAAUCUUAUACUAGGAAAACAAAACCAUGUACCUACCGCAUGGGAUCAUUAUGACCUAGCAUCGGAAGCUAAUGAAGCACUCCAAGAAUUUAGACAAACUACAAUAUCACAGGAGUACGAAAUGGCAGACACAGAUGACACUGCACAGUCUUCUCAAGACCCCUACGCUAAAUGGGGAGGUCAUCUCUCUCAAAAUCCCUAUGACCAAGGACCUUUGUCCUUAUCUCAAGGCAUGGAUACAUAUUUCUAUGCACAGCCAUCCAAUUGGCCUCAGCCAAGCAUUCAUGCUGACACUAUAAACGAUGACAAUAUAGACUGGGCACAAGAGGAAGCAUCUACAUCCACAUCAUACCAGCUGAACCAGAUUUUCUCACCAGAUGAUCUUGAAGCACUUGAGCAGAAAUAUGAUGAACAUCUCCUAGCAACAGUACAUAGCUCAGAUGACUCGGGCUAUGACUACAAUGCUCAUGAUGGACGAGACCGCUGAACAAGACCACUGUCCGUAAAAUUUCACUAUAGCAAGUUACUGUUCACUUUUUUACUGUAGCAAUAGGCUAGGAAAAUCAUUGUUCACUGUCACUGUUCAUACCAUGCAAAUAAUUCCCUACUGAGAUUUUCGGAAGUCUCUGUUUGUUUCAGGACUCGUAAGCUCGGUCCUUGUUUGUGUGUGACUUCUUAUUGCCUAUAAAGGGCAAUGGUGAUGUAAUGUGCUGAACAAAGUCCCUUGAAGUAAAGUGAGUGUUUUGUGAAAAUUCUCUCUAUGGCUUUCUAAACUCCUCUUUUUCUCCAGCUUGGUAGGAUCCUCUGAGAAAUGCAGCUCGGAUAGUUAGAAAUGUUACAAUCCUGGUUCUAUCUGAGUGUCUCUAGGCUUUGAACUAAAGGGCAUAGUAGUUUCUUGCUAAAAGGUUGUCCCUGAGGGCUUGAACGGGAGUUGUUCACCCGCUGUGGGAAGGCAUACCUGCAAGAAAUUGACUUCGUCCUCCUUGGUUCUAAAUCUAAGUCCAUACAAUGGUAUCAACACUUUAGCUGAUGUAAUUGGGGUGGAAAGAGAGUUUCCUGUUGGAGAAAACUUCCUUAUUUGUUUUGAAGUUGACAAAACGUUUCCAUCAGUCUUGUCUAAAGACUUGCAAACUCUUUCGUCAAAAUCUGAAGACGCCAAACCGCCAGACUAAAGAUUUAGAGUCUGCCCUCAUUGACAAUCGCUAGACUGUCGAAGAAGAUUUAUCCAGAAUCGAGUAUUUCUUUAAGGAUUUGAUUCGAGCGGCUAAAGAAGAUCUCACGGUUGGAGAUAGCAUCUCAAGAUCUAUUAUUCAUUUUGAAAUUAAUUCGAGUAAUUUGGAUCCGUUGAUUGGCGUAGUAUACUUAGAAUGUUCUACUUAUGGAAACCCAGAUCCCGAUUGUAUGGAUGAGCAAGAUCGGUGGGCUAUCAUCACAUUCUUUAAGUAACUCGAGAUCUCCCUAAUUGAUUAUGUCCAACGGGUAGAUUGGAAGAACUCCAUUGGAAGGUACCAACGAUUAUGAAGGCAUGGAGGAGUAUAUAAGGAAGACGCUCUAGUUAUUCGAGAGUGUGCGCGAUAGAUAAAUUCCAAAGUCUAAAGUUCCUUAUUCUUUGCUAAUUCAAUUGUUGAGCAUAAAUUUGCAUUCAAAAUAGAGUUUAGAUAUUUCAUAAGGCCUUGAGGAAGUGUAGCAGAGUCUCUACACUGUGGAAUCAAGGACGUGAGACUAUAACGACUCUUUUGAUUCAUAGUGAAAUCCAACCGGUUGACUGUCAGUGUGGGAGAGUGGACAUAGGCUUGGAUUAAGUCGAACCACUAUAAACCUUGUGUUUUUAUUCUCUUUCCUGAACCCUUUUACUUUGUUCGUAACUCUAUUUAAUCGUCAGAGUUUGAUUUUCUCUGCAAAGUCUAUUGUCAACCAGACUCGGGUUAAAAGGAAAAUUUUUAUACUAUAUUUUGCAAAUUUGCUUUCGCACCUAUUGACCCCCAUCUAGGUGCUCGUAUUAGCCAUUUCAAUUGGUAUCAGAGCCCGUGUACUCAUUUAAAUUAAAGUGUUUUUUUACUUAAGAGUUAACAAUCCAUAGCUAGUAUGUUAGCUCCAGUUUUGGUUGAAGGGCAAAGCAACGCCAGACCGCCUUAUUUUAAUGGAAAUGAAUACAGCAUAUGGAAAAAAAAUGAAAGCAUUCCUAAGAUCAAAAGAUCUUAUGGAGUGGGAUGUGGUAGACAAAGGAAUCAUUCUUAAAGCUACAACAGUCUCAAAAAGAGGAAAAGAAGUUACAGAGGCUAGCAAGAUAACUCAAGAAGAGAUGACAAAAAGACAAGCUCUUGAUGCAAAAACAAUUUAUUCUUUAUAUUGUGCAUUAUCUCCUAUUGAAUAUAACAUAAUAUUUUCUUGUGAAACGGCUAAAGAAGUCUGGGAUAGGCUGCACAUCACCUAUGAAGGAAUCGAUUGAGUGAAAGAAACCAGAAUCAAUAUUUUGCUCGGUCAAUAUGAAGCCUUUAAGAAGAAGCCAGUAGAAUCUAUCACUGACAUGUUUAGUCGUUUUACAGAAAUCGUGAAUGGUCUUGAGUAUCAAGGUUAACCAAUCUCAGGACCCAUGAAGGUUAACAAACUGCUACGUGGACUUUCCAAAGAUUGGAAUCACGUAAAGACCUCAAUAAGAGAAACACAAAGGAUCAUGCCACUCUCUAUUGACGAAUUGGUUGACACUCUUUAGUCUUAUGAAGUGGAGCAAAUAAAUGAAGAUGAAGAUCCCAAAGGUAAAAAAAUCCAUUGCUUUAAAAUCUAAUGAUGAUUAUGAUGUUACAAAUUUUGAAGACGAUAUGGACGAUGAAGAGCUUGGUCUCAUGAUAAGAAGGUUCAGAAAACUGAACAAAAAGGGAAGAAGACUCAAUUGGAAGAAACAAAGCUCUCAAAAGUUUCAAAAUAAAUCAGCUGAGGACGAUGAAUUCAAUAAAGAUGUGAUUUGUUUUGAAUGCAAGAAAAAAUGACACAUCAGACCCAACUGUCCUUUGUUGAAGAAAAAUAAAGGAAAAGCUGAGAAAUAUAGAAAGGCACUCAAAGCAGAAACUUGGAGUGAUACCGAAUGCGAAGAGAGUGAUGAUGAUUAUGCUAAUAUUUGUCUAAUGGCGCAAUCAGAAUCAAGUUCAGACUCUAAGACGGAUACAGACUCAGACUUAGACAGUGAAAUCGAGGUAAGCAAUUUAAAAAUUUCUACUAAAGUCUCUAAAUAUAUUGAUGAACUAUGUCUAAGUUUCAAAACCUCUUUUAAGAGGAUUUUCGAGCUAAAAAGGGAAAAUUCUGCAUUGAAGCAAUGGGAGAUUGUUUGAAAAGAAAAAGUCGAAAAUUUAGAUAAAAGUUUUAUUACUUUGAAAGAAAAUGCAAACUCUCUUUCAAAAGAAAAUAUACUUUUGGAAAAUGAUAUUUCAAGUAUUUCAAAAAGGAUUUCUAUAGGAUCUGAGAAAUUAGAAAAGAUUCUUUCAGCACAAAGACCUUACUUUAACAAAUCAGGAUUGGGAAUGACUUCUGAAACCAUUCCUCUAAUUGAUUUUCCAAAAGUAAAGGAAAGAAUCAAACAAACACCUACAAAAGACUUUUAUAGAAAUCAUUUUCAAAAAGUCUUUGUAAAACCCGUUGGCCGUAAUGCUCUUAAAUGUUCUAAGUGCAACAGCUCAGAACACAUUGAGAAAGAAUGUCCUUUGGUUUGGAGACCUAUUAAGAAGGAUUGGGCAAAGACCGUAUAUUGUACUAAUUCCAUUUGACCCAAGAAAGUAUGGGUACCAAAGAAAGCUUGAGUUUCUUUUUUAAAUGCAGGUCACUAUGAAGAAAAAUGUCAAAUGGUACUUGGAUAGUGGAUGCUCAAGACAUAUGAUAGGAGACUCAAGCUGUUUCAUAAAACUUAUGCAAGUUAAUGGUGGAAAAGUUUCUUUUGGUGAAAAUAGUAAAGGAAGAAUUGUCGGAUGUGGAAUAGUAAAGAUUGGAAGUCUCCCAAUCAACAACGUCUCUUUGGUAGAAUGACUCAAUUACAACUUGCUGAGUAUCAGCCAACUGUGCGACACAGGUUUCAAAAUCAAUUUUCAAGAAGGAACAUGUUCGGGAACCAGUAAAGACUUCUCUCAGAGUUUCACGGGGCGAAAACAUGGGAACAUCUAUCUCUUGGAUAUCAAACCAGAAAAAUCUCAAUAUCUAAUUUCAAUUCAAGAUGAAGCUAAUCUCUGGCAUAGAAAACUUGGCCAUAUCAACAUGAAGCAAAUAACCAAGAUCUCUGCAAAGAAGCUUGUUCGUGGACUGCCUAAUCUGACAUACCAAAAAUCUAAAUUAUGCACACCAUGCGUGUUGGGGAAACAUGUUAGAAAUUCUUUCAAACCAAUAAAUCAAAUUUCUACUAAUCGUGUGCUGCAGCUCCUACAUAUGGAUCUCUUUGGACCAACUAGGACUCAUAGCAUUGGUGGAAAGAAUUAUUGCCUAGUAAUAGUGGAUGAUUAUUCACGAUUUACUUGGGUAUACUUUCAGACUUUCUUAUUUUUUAAAGUUUGUUAAGAAAGUACAGAAUGAGAAAGGAUAUGUUAUCUCAAGUAUACAGACAGACCAUAGAGGCGAGUUUGAAAAUUAAGACUUUGCUAAAUUCUGUGAUAAAUCUGGUUUUCAGUAUAUGUUCUCCUCUCCAUACACUCCAGAACAAAAUGGAGUUGUGGAAAGGAAGAAUAGAUCAUUGCAAGAAAUGGCUAGAAUACUUUUAAUUGAAAGCAACAUUUCUUCUCGUUUUUGGGCUAAAGCAGUUUCUACAGCAUGUUAUAUUAUUAAUAGAGUCUUCUUAAGGCCUAUUCUGGAGAAAACUCCCUAUGAGUUGUUCAAAUGAAAGAAGCCAAUUGUUUCCUAUUUUCAUGUGUUUGGUUGCAAAUGUUUUAUAUUGAAAAAUGAAAAUGAUCGAAUUGGCAAGUUUGAAGAAAAAUCAGACGAAGGAUACUUCCUUGGAUAUUCAACCACCAGCAAAACCUAUAGAAUAUACAACAAAAAGACUCAAUCUGUGGAAGAAUCGAUGAACGUCAAAUUUCAAGACCUUAUACAAAAUCAAUCGAUCUAGACUCAACUUGAAGAAUAUGAACCUACUCCGGACUCUUUAAAGUCUAAAUCCCCUGAAGCAGCUCAGACUUCAAAAGGUCAGCAUUGAAUGAACGUUAAAGAAUCAAAUGAAGAAAAAGAUCAGCAAUCUGUCAGACCAAUCAGCAACUGGAAGCAUAAGUCCAAUAAUCCCAAAGAACUUAUUAUUGGUGACAUUUAUGAAGGGAUUCGUACAAGAUCCAAAAUGCAUGAAGAGUCUAGCGAUGUUGCUCUUAUUUCCGAAAUAUAACCCAAAAACAUAGAAGAAGCUUUAACUGAUGAAAGCUUGAUUGAAGCUAUGCAAGAAGAACUCAGGCAAUUCAGCAUUAACGAUGUAUGUGAAUUAACUCCUAAACCAAAAGGUAAAUUUGUUAUUGGAGCUAAAUGGGUUUUCGGGAACAAGAUGGACGAAAAAGGAAAAGUUAUAAGGAACAAAGAAGACUCGUGGCCAAAGGAUAUACGCAUGCAGAAGGGAUAAACUAUGAUGAGACUUACGCACUAGUAACGAGGUUAGAAGUAAUUAGAUUAUUACUUGUUAUAAGAAUUUCAGAUUAUUCCAAAUGGACGUUAAAAGUGCAUUCCUAAAUGGAUUUAUCCAAGAGUAAGUCUAUGUGGAACAACCUCCUGAUUUUGAAGACCCAAGAGAACCAGACUCUGUAUUCAGACUGAAAAAAGCGCUAUAUGGUCUAAAGCAAGCACCUCGAGCUUGGUAUGACAUGUUAAGUAAGUUUUUAAUCCAAAAUGGAUUUGUUAAAGGUAAAGUGGACACUGCUCUGUUUAAUAAAAGAGAGAAUAAAAAAUUUUUGCUUGUUCAAAUCUAUGUUUAUGAUAUUAUUUUUGGAUCACCUAACGAAAAUCUGUGCAAGAAAUUCUGUAAGUCUAUGCAGAAUGAAUUCGAGAUGAGCAUGAUGGGUGAACUAUCAUUCUUUCUCAGAUUACAAGUAAAACAAUUGAAAGAAGGGACUUUCAUUCACCAAGAAAAAUAUGCUAAAAAACUUGUUAAAAAGUUCAGUUUAGAGAAGUGCAAAAAGACUAAUAUACCAAUAUCAAGUUCUUCGAAGCUGGACAAAGAUGAAGGAUGAAAGAAAGUUGACCAGAAGCUGUACAUGAGUAUCAUUGGUUCACUCCUUUAUCUUAUUGCUUCUAGACCUGAUAUUUUGUUUAGUGUUUGCAUUUGCGCCAAAUUUCAAUCAGAUCCCAAAGAAUCUCAUCUAAGUGCUACGAAACGCAUCAUCAAAUACGUUGCAACAACCUCUAAUUUGGGUCUAUGGUAUCCUAAAGAAUGAGACUUUACUCUUCUUAGAUACUCAGACGCAUAUCUAGCAGGAUGCAGAGUUGAUAGAAAGUAGGGGUGUGCAACCGGACCGGGUUUACUCGGUUCCCGGUCCGGCCCACCCGGAAAACAGGGUCGGGAACCGGUUCCGGUUAAAACCGGGCCGGGAACCGGUUCCCAAAACGCAGACCCUAUUUAAACCGGUUCGGGAACCGGUUCCGAGGGAUUACCCACCCGGGAACCGGUUCGACCGGACCGGUUUGGGAACCGGUUGGAGAACCGGUUUUUAUGCCUAAAGCGAAACCCUAAUUUUAUUUCUUCCUUUACCUACAGAGGCGCAGACGCAAAGACUUCCAGCUCCUCUCCCGGUUCCCCUCACGCUCGCACCACCACUGCCAAGCUCCUCCUCCUCCCCCGCCCCGCCGCCCCCGCCGUCACCGUCACCGUCACCGUCGUCGUCACCCCCGACAACCUCCACCUGCUCGACCCCUUCCUCGCCUCUUCCUCCUCGCUCCAGCCUCUCGUCUUGCCGCGCCACACCCACCGCGGGUGCGCUUCGUCGCCAAAUUCCACGCCCUCCGCGACCUCCACCUCCCGCUCAUCUCCCAGUGGUUCGAGUCCCACCCCUCCCCGCCCUGCGCGGUCGUCUCCGACUUCUUCCUCGGGUGGACCCACCGCUUCGCCCGCGACCGCGGCGUCCCUCGAGUCGUCUUCUCGCCGUCCGGCGCGUUCGGGCUCUCCAUCGCCUUCGCCCUGUGCCGAGACCUCCUCCGGCCCGAUGAGGAGUCGACGGUCUCACCGCGCGCUAUUUCCCGAGCUCCCCUGCUACCGAUCUACCGCCGCCCCCCCUUCGCGAAGCUGCCGCUGCCUCGCUGCUCCGCCCGAGCCCCGUUACCGACGUCUGCUGGUUCGCUCACCACCUCUGGGCGCCACCGCCGCUGCGACCAGACGCCAAAAGCCGCCGUUCCUGCUGCGAUUCCGUCCUCAGCUCGUCCCGACUAGGCCCGCUUGCUCUCCAGGUCCCACUUUGUCUUCACCAGCCCUAAGCCCAGAGAGAAGGUACUAUAGCUUGAUUUGAGCGUUGUUGACAUGUGUGAGAUGAUGUGGAAAUUGAUGGUUAUAAUGCUUUUCGCAUGUUCAGAAGUGCGAAUUACUGUGAAGAAAGCUUGCAUUUUGCUCAUGAUUUAUUAUGUUGAUGUUAGAAUUUUGAUUAAAGUUUGUUGCUCAAUUGGGGUGGCUGUGUGAAGAGGCUGAUCUUUUUUGUGAUUGCAUGCUAGGAGAUGAAAAAGAAGCAAUUGGGUGAAGAAUUGAGGGUGAAAUCAGUAGUUACAAUUAAACUUUAAUUGCUUGGUGUCUCUAUAUAGUGUCUCUUGGCAUAUUAAUUGUGAACUUGAUUAGAUUCUAUUUAAUGAUAUCUAUGAUUGCUGAAGUCGAUAAGACCAGAUAUGGGAGAAUCUGUGAAGAACUUUAGCAUUUUUUAAUCAGCUUAUGAUCUUAUUAUGAACUGUCAAACCCACAUGAAAGUUCUAUGUUGAAUUUAGAGCAGCAAUAAGGAAGCAAAGGGAAUUAUAGAGAUUUGAUUUACUAUGAAAACUAAUAUGUUGUUUUCUUCAAGGGGAGUCCAAAUUUUAUACAUGUUCCCAAUGAGUUUGGUCGAAGGAUGUGCUUGGUCCGGCCUUUUUGUUUUACCAGAUAACUCAUCUAGACUUGCUUUUCUAAGGUUAAUUUUUAUGCAAAACAGGUUCCAAUAUAAACAGGGUCAACCCUGUUCCCGGACCGGAAAAACAGGGUGGGCCGGGAACAGGGUCCAAUGAAAACAGGGUAGGGAACAGGGUCCAGAAAAGGAGAACCGGUUAUAACAGGGUAGGGAACAGGGUCCAAGUCUAGACCCUACCCACCCUGGACCCGCUCACCCCUAAUAGAAAGAGCACAUCGGGAACUUGUCAAUUGCUUGGUAACAGAACAAUAUCUUGGUUUUCAAGAAAGCAAAGUACUGUAACUCUUUCAACAGCAGAAACGGAGUAUGUGACUCUUGGAAGUUGUUGUUCUCAAAUCUUAUGGAUAAAACAACAGCUAAGAGACUUUGGAAUCGAAGAUUCAUGCACUGAGAUCAAAUGUGACAACACCAGCACGAUUAAUCUCACAAAGAAUCCAAUUCUUCAUUCAAGAGCAAAGCAUAUAGAGAUUCGACAUCAUUUUAUUAGAGAUCAUGUUCAAAAUGGAGAAGUAUUGAUUCAAUUCAUGGACUCAAAGAAUCAGCUGGCGGACAUAUUUACAAAACCUCUGGAGAAAAAUCAAUUUGAGUAUAUUUGAUCCAAACUUAAUAUCUUAAAGUCUGAAGAAAUUCAGACUCAGGGAUAAAAGUCUAAAAAUGCUCAAACUCAUAAUAUCAAGAAUUAUGACUAUAAGUUAUUUCAGUUUUAAAAAUUUAUCUUUUGGAUAAAAAACCCGAAAAGGUACGUUUGUCUAUUAAUCUGCAAUUGAUUGAUGUUAUCUUCCCAAGUUUUUGUAAUUAUAGCAAUCAUUCCUUUUCGAAAAAGGAAAAAAAGAAGAAGAAGAAGGGAAGUUAUCUUUUUGAAAUAAAAGUUAUCUAUUUUCAAAAAGGCAGUUAUUUUUUUAAAAGACAUUUUCUAUUUUUCCUUUUAUGACGAUCCGUAUGCCCUAUUUCGAUUGCCUUAUAUAUUGAUCGUCUUCUUCACGAACCCUAGAAGCAAAGAACUUCACUUUCUUACUUUUUCUCUCUAGUUUAAUCCUUAAAGUUUUCAUCUUUGUCGUGAAUCGAGUUUGGAAACUCUCUCAAAGACUGUGAUAAUGUCUUCUCAAAGAAAGUCCUUAAGGAUCGCAAGCAGGGGACCACAGCAUAUGAGUGAGGGUCCUACACAUUUUGACCUAACCGAGGAAGAAGAAUCUCCAAGGCAACAGCGGAGUCCACAACAUUCUCAACCGCGUCAUUCUCCUCAGGCUAGACCACAGAGUGUUCAGCAACAACAAGCAGAGAAAAAAAUUAUUGAGAAUGUUGAACCUGUAAGAACUCUAAAGCCUGUUUUUACCUUCCUUGAAGAAUGGAAGUUCUCCAUUGAACUUUAUUAAUGAAUUUUUGAAAGAAAAGUGGUACCGAAAUGAAACCCAUUUUUUUACGAACGAUGAAACGUUUAGGAAUUGCUCCUGCGGGCUUGGCAGAAAAAGCUUUUGCAAAUAUUCCGAGUGAUCCAUGUGUUGGAGGACUUAGUCAACCUGAUGGAAAUGAUGAUAAAAAGAUGUUCCCUCAUUUUAAGCCCAGAAUGGGUGUUGCUGCUCAUAUUCGAGGAAAAAGGGCAGAUCUGUUUCGUUCUGAGGAACAUAAGCAACUUUACUCUAAAUUGUUGAAGCGAGGGUGAUGAACCCGAGGAGUGUGGAUUUUGAUUUUCUCGAUUCUUUGAACGUGAAGUUGCGAGAGAAAUUUACUUUACUUCAACUUGAACGAUUUUGCUUUGAAACAACAGUGGCUCAUCCAGAACUUACUGCGUAUUUCUAUUCCAAUCUAAGCUUUUUGGAUGAGAAUAGAUUUUCUUUCAAUGUUAGGGACCAGAAUUAUGUGGUUGAUAUGGACACUCUGGCUAAUGUGAUUGGAGUAGAGAGAGGGAUGUUCCAAUCAAUUAGUGUGUCUAUUGGUCGUGCGACUGUGGAGCUUGUUCGGGAUGGAAUGGCAGAAGGCCGAAUUUCUUACUUGAGGAUGAAUGCCUCAAAUGUCUUGCUUCACAAGAUUGUGAUUAACUGUCUAAGACCCAAAUCGACAUAAAAAACUGACGUCUCCAAUGUAGAAGCGAAGCUGAUGUAUGCUAUUAAUGCUGGUAAAAAGUUCUCUCUGCCACACACUAUCAUGUUUCACAUGUAUAGGUUAAUGGUGAAGGACAAUGGCCAACUCCCUUAUUCAGCACUUGUUACUCAGCUAUUUAGAAAUUUUAAUAUUUAGCCUCCCAAGAUUUUGUGUGUUCGAACCUGUGAUCAAAUGGUGGUGGGACUAAAGAUGGUUUCAAAAAUGCAUCUGAAUGAGCUAAACAAAGCUUUAGAGUGCUUUAAGGAGAAAACCCCUGUCAAGACUCAUCAAGACUAUGUGGCUACAAAACGGAAAGGCAAGAAACCCAUGAUAGUUCCAUCCAAGAAAAGAAGAGCACUCAUCUUGUAGGAUGAAGAAGAUGAGGAAGAUAUCACCAUUUCCGCUCUUGCAUUAAGGAACUUACAACGUUUUGUUCCAGAGAUAGAGGAGAGAGAGGAGCAAGACAGAGAAGAAAUAGAGCAGAGGAGUGAAGAAAGGGAAACGAUGAGGCAAGAAGCAGAGGAAGAAAGAACUGCAGAAGAAGAAGAAAGAGGAGAACAAGGUCAUCUAGUCACUGAAGAAGAGACUGAGCAUGAAAAGUACUUCUCUCCACCUGAAGGCACUGAAACAGGGGAAGCUGCUGAGAAAAGAGGUACUUCUUCACUUGCUUUUACUAGUGAUGAUGUUAGUCGUUCUCCUGCCGAUCCAGAAGAUGUAUAUGUCUCCCAAUUUCCUGAAGAAGAUCAUGAGGUUUCAUCUCCAAGUCUGGGUGCUCAUGCUGAAAUGCCAUCAUCUGCCAAUACUCCACAAACUGAUCAUGCUGAAGCAAGCAUUCAAACUGACAACUCAGCAGACUUUCGAAGAUUGCUUGAUGUUCUUAUGGAGAUGCUAGGCCAGAUUUAUGCCUUUGGAUGCAAAAUUCAGAAUAUGCAGAAUGCCAGUCAAGCCUCUUCAGUUUCUUUACACGAUCAAGUUCAGGCCCUUAAUCUUCAAGUUCAAGCAACUGCCAAGGGUGAGGAAAUAACACAACUGAAGGAGGAUCUAAGAAAAUUGGAGGAGACAGUCAAAUUGAUGGGAGAUUUCCAGCUUGUUUGCGUUCCAAAACAAUCUUAAUUUCAUCUAAAACUCCAUUUUGUCUCUACCUUUUUAAUGCUAACAAAAAAAGGGAGAAGUUAGUGCAGAUUUGUAGAUUUGACUUCUGUUUAACUUUUGUUUGACUUUAACUCUUGUUUGGUUGUGACUGGUUUGGACUGUGUUUUUUGGUUUGGAUUGUUUGAUCCUUUAAUGCUUGCAGUAUCUUAAGCGUUGUUGGUAUUCAUGGCAAAGAUAGUUGUUUUUACAGGACUAACUCAUUUCCUGUGGAUGCAAAUUUGAUACUAUCUUUAUCUUAAUCUAUUUAUCUUUUAUGAGAUACCCUUGUUUGCUUGAGUAUUAUCUUGCAUGUCAAAAGUAUCCAAAUCUGUAAGAAAGUUUUGUCACCAUAAAAAAAUGGGGAGAUUGUUGGAGAAAACUUCCUUAUUUGUUUUGAAGCUGACAAAACGUUUAUAUCAGUCUUGUUUGAAGACUUGCAGACUCUUUCGUCAAAGUCUGAAGAUCGCCAGACCGACAGACUCAAGAUUUAAAGUUUGCCCUCAUUGACCGUCUCUAGACCGUCGAAAAAGACUUAUCCAGAAUCGAGUAUUUCUUUAAGGAUUUGAUUCGAGCGGCUAAAGAAGAUCUCACGGCUGGAGAUAGCAUCUCAAGAUCUAUUAUUCGUAUUGAAAUUAAUUCGAGUAAUUUGGAUCCGUUGAUUGGCGUAGUAUACUUGGAAGGUUCUACUAAUGGAAACAUAGAUCCUCAUUGUAUGGGCGAGCAGGAUUGGUGGGCUAUCAUCACAUUUCUUAAGUAACUCGAGAUCUCUCUAAUUGAUUAUGUCCAACGGGUUGAUUAUAAGAACUCCUUUGGAAGGUGCCAACAGUUAUGAAGGCACGGAGGAGUAUAUAAGGAAGACGCUCUAGUUAUUCGAGAGCAUGUGCGAUAGAUAAAUUCCAAAGUCUGAAGUUCCUUGUUCUUUGCUAAUUCAAUUGUUGAGCAUAAAUUUGUACUCAAAAGAGAGUUUAGAUAUUUCGUGAGGCCUUGAGGAAGUGUAGCAGAGUCUCUACAUUGUGGAAUCAAGGACGUGAGACUGUAACGAUUUUUUUUAUUCAUAGUGAAAUCCAGCCGGUGGGCUGUCAAUGCGGGAGAGUAGACGUAGGCUUGGAUUAAGCCGAACCACUAUAAACAUUGUGUUCUUAUUCUCUUUCCUGAACUCUUUUACUUUAUUCGUAACUCUAUUUAAUUGUCAAAGUCUGAUUUUCUCUGCAAAGUCUAUUGUCAACCAGACUCAAGUUAAAAAGAAAAUUUUUAUAGUAUAUUUUGCAAAAUUUGCUUUCGCACCUAUUCACCCCCCUCUAGGUGCUCGUACUAGCCCUUUCAUUUUCAACCAAUCAGUGUGUUUGUUGAUCACGCUACUUUGGAGCUUGUUUGGAAUAGGAUUGCUGAAGGCAUGAUUUCUUACUCCAGAAUGACUGCCUCCAAUAUUUUACUUCAUAGAAUUGUGAUUAACUGUCUCAGACCGAAAUCCACUUCAAAAACUAAUGUCUCUUACUCUGAAGCGAAGCUGAUGUACGACAUCAACAUUGGCUACAAAUUGUCUCUACCUCACACUAUUCUCAUGCAUAUGUAUAGGACAGUGGUGAAGGACAAGGAGCAACUCCCUUAUUCUGCUCUUGUUACUCGAUUAUUUAGACAUUUCAACAUUCAGCCUCCUAAUAUUCUGUGUGUUCGAACCAUUGCUCCGAUGGUAGUUGGACUGAAGAUGGUUUCUAAGAUACGUCUCAAGGAGCUGAACAAGGUUUUGGAGAGCAUUAAGGUGAAGUCCCUUGUCAAGGCAAGCUAAGACUCUGCAGCAGGAAAAAGGAAAGGCAAAGAGCCUAUGAGCGCACCAAUCAAGAAGAGGAGAGCACUCAUUUUGCAGGAUGAAGAAGAUGAUGAUGACAUUACUCUCUCCGCUUUUGCCUUAAAGAAUUUACAGAGUUUUGUUAGCUUUCAAGAGCUAGAGGACCGAGAGCACAGAGAAAGAGAAGAGAUGGAGGAGAAAUGCAGAAAGAGGAGAGGAGAACAGAGGAAGAUGAAGGAAGAACAGAGGAAGAGAGAGGAAGAGAACAAGAAAAAGAAGAGAGUCAAGAUGAUUCUCUUGAGCCCACAUUUACUGACGACUCAGAGAAGUCAAGAAGUGGAACUGUUGGAGAAGGAAGAGACAAAAAUCACAUUUGUGUUGAAGAAGAGCAAGAACAAGAAGAAUGAUAUUUUUCUCCACCUAAAGGCAUAGAAACAGUGAGAGCUGUUGAUAAAAGAGGUACUUCUUCACUUGUUUUUAUUAGCGAUGAUGUUAGUUGUUCUCCUACCAAUCCAGAGGAUGUGUAUGCCUCUCAAACUACACGUGCUGAAACUAGUACUCAAACAAAUAAUACAAUAGUCUUUAAGAGACUGCUCGAGCUUCUUGUGGAGAUCAAAGCUCAGUUUUAUGGAUUGGAGUGUGAAUUUCAGAACAUGCAGUCAGCACAUCAAGCCACUUCAGUCUCACUGUACAAUCAGGUACAAGCCCUUAAGCUUCAAGUUCAAGCUAUUGUAAAGGGUGAGGAUAUUGAGCAACUGAAGGGGGAUCUGAAGAAGCUGGAGGAGACUGUCAAGUCUAUGGGGGAUUUUCAAAUCGUUUGCAUCCCCAAACAACCAUGAUUUUACUCAACUUUUUUAAAGCUUUUCUCUACUUUUUGUUGUUGACAAAAGUGGGGAGAGAGUUGUGCAGAUUUGACUUAUUUUUUGUUUUGGUUUGAUGACUUUUUGUUUGGUACUUUGGAAUGGUAUACUUUGGACUUCUGACUUUUUAGGUUUGAAUCUUUUUUACGCUUGCAGAAAAUAAAUGUGUGAUUUAGAUUAUGGAUUGAUAGUUAUUUAUCUUGCAUGAUUAACAUAUUUUAUGUGGUUGCAGAAUUGAUACUAUCCAGGCCCUAAUGAUUUAUUUGUAUAAGACAUCACGUUUUAAUCAAGUAUUGUUUUGCAGAACAACAAUUUACAAAUUUGCAAGAAAGUUUUGUCAUCAUUAAAAAGAGAGAGAUUGUUAGAAAAAACUCCAUAACUGUUUUGAAACUGACAAAACCUUUCCAAAAGCCUAGUCUGAAGACUUGCAGACUCAGUGUUAUAGUCUGAAGACUUGCAGACUCAGUGUUAUAGUCUGAAGAACUCCAGACUUUACUAUCAAAGUCUGAAGACCGUCAGACUUUAAUCUCAAAGUCUGACCAUACUGACAGGCUCCAGAUCAAAGAGUGAAGACUUAUCCAAAUGCAAGUUUAUCUUCAAGAAUUUGGUUCAUAUGGUUUGUGAAAGAUUUUAUGGCUGAAUAUAGCAUCUUAUAAUCAAUUCUUCUUAUUGGAAUCAAUUCGGAUAAUCAGAUCUCUUGAAAUGUGAAGUAUACUUGGAAGGUUCUACUUAUGAAAACCUAGAUCCUAAUUGUAUAGGCGAGCAGGAUUGAUGGACUUUCAUCACAUCCUAAAACGACNNNNNNNNNNNNNNNNNNNNNNNNNNNNNNNNNNNNNNNNNNNNNNNNNNNNNNNNNNNNNNNNNNNNNNNNNNNNNNNNNNNNNNNNNNNNNNNNNNNNNNNNNNNNNNNNNNNNNNNNNNNNNNNNNNNNNNNNNNNNNNNNNNNNNNNNNNNNNNNNNNNNNNNNNNNNNNNNNNNNNNNNNNNNNNNNNNNNNNNNNNNNNNNNNNNNNNNNNNNNNNNNNNNNNNNNNNNNNNNNNNNNNNNNNNNNNNNNNNNNNNNNNNNNNNNNNNNNNNNNNNNNNNNNNNNNNNNNNNNNNNNNNNNNNNNNNNNNNNNNNNNNNNNNNNNNNNNNNNNNNNNNNNNNNNNNNNNNNNNNNNNNNNNNNNNNNNNNNNNNNNNNNNNNNNNNNNNNNNNNNNUGCGGGAGAGUGGACGUGGGCUUGAUCUAAGCCGAAUUACUAUAAACCUUAUGUUUCUAUUCUCUUUCCCUGAACUUCUUAUUUAAAUUCGUAGCCUUAUAUAAUUGUUUAUAAUUAAUUACAUAUUUAGUCUAUUAUCUUCUAAAAGCAAUUCACUUUCAUUAAGUCUUACGAAAAUUUCUUUUAACACCUAUUCCCCCCUCUAGGUGUUCUUACUAACCCUUUCAAAAUCAACUGGUGCACAACUUUCCUUUUGGAAGAGACCGGUGUGAUCACCUGGAGUGGCUGCUUUUUGUUCACGGCGGUUGAUGUGGCCUCAACUUGUCUUCAAAGGGACUUCAAUAGAGUCAAGCUUGAAAUUGACUCCAAUAAAUUUGCCUUCUUCGCUUAUUCCUGUUUCUCCAUUAAGUUUUUCCACGGACAGCACCCGUCUUCCCUUUACAGGGUGGAUGCCAUGCACAGACAUCAGUUGAAACUGAGGAGAAUUCAGCAUCACGUGUCCGUAGAACGUGCCAUUACAUGCCUCAACACAUUCUGUACUUGCACGGAGUUCUCAGCCAGACAUCCACUAAUAUUCAGCUUUUCCAAGGAUGUUAAUUCUUCUAGGCCUUCAAUUUGAUGGAUCAUUUUGCAUUGUCUUAUCUCUAAAAGUUUCAGCAACUUCAAGUUUGAAAGAUCAGGUAAACUGUCAAGGUAAUUACAGUCAGAUAGAAUUAAACUUCUCAGUGAGGUCAGCCGGCCAACCCCGUGGAGAUUCUGUAUUUUGCAGUUCGAUAUAUCUAGCCUCUUCAGGGCUUUGAGACCUUCAAGCCCUUCAAUCUCUUCUAUUGCAGAAUGGUAGAGCUUGAACACUGAUAAGUUGUUUAAGCCCUGGACAGUCGGCAAUCUUUUCAAUGACGAACAACCUUGAAUUGAUAAAACUGACAACGUCUUGGGAAGCUCAGAUACUUCUUCAAGGCUCGAACCAGAAAGGACUAGCAUUUUGAGCUGAGUAAUUUCCUUCGGCUCAAACUUCAGCUUGAUAAUUUGUGAAAGAGACAAUUCUAGUUUUGUCAGUUUAGGAAACGAUAUUGAGAAGGAUGGUUUGCCAAUCAUUUGUUGCACAUUGGAUUCUGGCAUCAGCUUUUUUGAGGGAGGUCGGCACGCCUUCCGGUCCCCAUCACUUAGGCACAGCUCGUCCAAUUCCUUCAAAUCUUCAAGAAGGGGUAUCGCUUUCAUCCUCUUAGAACUCACACGCAGACAAAUUAGAGAAGGGGGAAGCUUUGGCAAUUCUUCAAUUUCAUUGCACUGAAUUAAAUCCAGGGUGUGAAGACCAGUGAUGGUGGAGAUUUCAGGGGGUAGGCUAGAUAUUCUGGAAUGCCCCAGCAUCAAUGAUCUCAGAUGACGUAGUCCCUUGAUAUUACCAGGAAUGGCCCCCUUCAAACUCCGACACCAGGAAGCAUGUAGUUCUUCGAGCUCAGUUAGAUUCUCAGUCUCCUUAGGAAAUGCUCGAACAAAGGAAGAAUCCAUUCUCAGCACUGUCAAGCUCUUCAGAUACCUUAUUGAAUUGGGGAGUCCAGAGAAACUAGUCCCCGAUAUAUCAAACUCCUUUAAUGACCACAUUCUACCGAUAGAAUCUGGAAGUUUCUUCAAACAAUGGCAAUCCCUCAAUGACAAGAGUCUUAGAUUAAGCAGCUCUCCCAGCGAGCUUGGGAGCUCAAGCAAUUUGGCACCGUCUAAUAAGAGCUCGGAGAGAGCAGUCAGGUAACUAAUUGACCUGGGCAGGUGAGUCAAUGGGAAGCACUUGAAGCCACUGAGAAUUUUGAGUUGCUUCAAAUUGCCUAUGGAGAUGGGGAUCUCCCGUACAGAAGUCCGGUCAAUAAAAAGCUCUUUCAGAGCUGUCGCACUACCUAGUUCCACUGGCAACCCGUUCAAUUGGGAGCAGAACUUCAAAUUCAGGGAAACUAAACGUUGCAAACUUCCAAUUGAAGGAUGUAGCUUCACCAAAUGAGAACAGCGUUCAAGAAUUAGGAUUUCCAAAUCUUUGUAACUGGAGAAAUCGGGAGUGAACAGUAAGUCAGGACACCCGGUAAGAUUCAAGACUUUCAAUUUCUCCAUCUGCAAAAGUCAAAAACAGAAAACAGACAUAUGGUCAAUUUGCAGAUAUAUAAUUCAAGAAAGCAAAUAUAAAACAACCAAAUGAAUACUAAACCACCUUGAUUUCACUCCAACCUCCCCAGUCUUCUGUGACUUUGCUCCAAGACAGAUCAAGAAUGACCAACUCUGUCAACACAAAAUUUUUUGCACUAAAAUCCAGAGGACACCUUUGCCAACAGAGCCACCUUAAACUAGCAAAUGCACCUCCAAAGUUUCCGGAAACUUUGGCAUUAUCCAACUUGAGAAACCGUAGUUCUGGCAUUAGCUGAAAAUAUUCAGCUGUGAAGUCAAAGAGGAGAGCUUCAACGUUUUCCAUUCCCUGCAUUUGACAAAGUAACAUAAUCAUCAGAAGCUGUAAACCCAAAUACCCAUCCGAUAAAAGGAUAUUUCCUUGCCCUACGUGCUAAAGUGUACAUAUAUGAUAUGAUUCCUUGAGAAUAUAUGGAGAAAAAAAAUGUAGCCCAUAUGUCGAGGUGUUUGUUUUGCCAAAAACAAACUGAACCAAAAGUGUUUACCUUCUCCUGUAUGUAAAAUUUUCUCCCAAUUGGAUCUCCAGAUCCCUCUUGCUCAAAAAUUCUUUUGCCAAGGCGUCUCAGCAAUCUGUGCAUCUGCAAUUCAUUGUUUUCUCCAAUUUUUGCCAGGGGCAUCAGAAUGCAACCAGAGGAUGGAUAACAAUUGGGCCACAAAUAUGAAGCAAUUCGGGCAUCCACACCAGAGAUAAAACAUGCUAUGUCCAGAAAUAUAUCUUUUUGCUGAUGAUCUAGUUCUCCGUUACAUAUAUCCAACAGCUCUUGAAGGCCAACCGUAGUCUUUUGAGAACUCAUCAGACGUGCUUUCAUUGACUUCUCCAUCAUUUCCCAUUCUUGUAUUGAUUUACCCCUCAAAAAUGAACCGACGACUUCAAUUGCUAAUGGUAGUUUCUCUGUAGCAUUGACAAUGCAGUUUGAGAGUCCAUCAUAAUCAGGUAUGGAAGAUUGCAUCCUGAAUGCAUGCUUGCAGAAAAGUUUAAAAGCUUGACCAUCAUCCAACUCAGUAACCAUGUAGGUAGGAGCCUUGUCGGAAUCGUACUCUUUGAGAAUUUCCUCAUUUUGAGAAGUCACAAUUAUUCGACUACCUGGACCAUACCAAUCAAGCUGGUCUCCUACAAUAGCAUGAAGAUCGGAUGGCUUUUCCACGGCAUUGACAACUAUUAGAACUUUCAUUUCACGAAAUAUAUCCACGAAAUCUUCUAUUGUUUCAUCAAAAGAAGAAUCUUCAUGAUCUCGCUCAAGGAUAUCACAAAUCAACUUAUUUUGCAAGAACUGAAUACCAUGAGAAUUUUGGGUGGUUCCUUCGACCUCUGCGAGAAAGCUACAACUGUCGAAACAAGAAGAGAUAUGGUCGUAUACAGCCUUGGCGAGAGUCUGCUUGCCAAUUCCAUCAGUUCCAUAUAUUCCAAUAAUGCGCACCUCAUCAUUGACUUUCAUCUCCAGUAAGUUGGUGAUUUGUUUUACACAAUCAUCAAUACCAACUACGUUUUGAACAGCUGCAAUUGCAUAAUAAUUCCUAUCUGAGGUUUCCACGUCUGCUGGUCGCUCUCCAGCUUCAUCUUCCAUUUUCUUCAUCCUCUGCAAGAAAAACAGAAUUUCACCUGAUCAGUCUCUCUCUUACAACAUUGCUUCAGUUCCCCACAUUGAUACAAGAUAUUCAUUUGUCAUCAAUUGUUUCUUGUCAAUGCAAAAAAAGUGCAAACACUUAUUCUAGCAUACUGUGAUACCUAAAUUGACAUCUAAUCUACUACAAUAUUAUUAAUAAGGAAAUUCAGCUAGUGAUUUGAUCUAAUUAUUAUAUUGGAAGUUGGAUCUGCUUAUUUACUGACCAGAUAUUUGAACUUUUAAGAAAACUUGAUAUGCACACCACAACAAUGGUCACUCUUAAUUAAAUUAAUUAUGCUCUAUUCUCUGAAGUGUAAAUGAGCAUUAUGGAAAUAGGACUGACAUCUUAAAAUUCAGAUGGUAGACUACUGUUAUCCUACUAAUGAUUCUCUUCUUUAUCGAAUUCGAGACAAAAGUAUGGAAUCGAUUAGUGUCAUUUAUUUUAUCACUGCAAAUAAAAGACAAUUCUUUUCGAAAAAUGACUUUUAGCAAAAUGUAUAUAAUUCAUAUUUUGAUGAAUAGAUACCUCUCUCGGAAGUAAUUUGCUUGGAGAAGACACUUCUCUUUGCAUCUUGAGUGGCGUACUUUCCUGAUGACGACCAUGUUCCAUCAUUUUCAAUAUUUUUUGCCACUCUGCUUCCUUUUUUCCAUAUAAAUUUGAGCCAAUCACUUUAAUGGCCAAAGGAAGCCCUCCUAUUCUUACAAUAAUUUCCUCAGAUAAUUUCAAGAAUGCAUUUGGAGGAGAGUUGCUUCUAAAGGCAUGCUUGCUAAAAAGUUGAAGAGCAUCCAUAUCGUUGAGUUCCUUAGCUUCAUAAAGCAAACACUGUUCAAAUUGAUCUUGGAAUCCACUUAAAACACUUUUGUCUCUUGUUGUAACCACUAUUCUACUUCCCGAACCAAACCAUUCUCCCUUUGGUCCCAAUGGCACGAGUUGCUUCCUUUGAUCUACAUCAUCGAGGACAAUAAGAACUUUCUUUCUACUGAAUCUAUCUCUGAUAAUAUUCAUGCAUUGAUCGAUGCUAGAAAGCUCAACUCCUACGUCUCCAAGGAUAUCAAAGACAAGCUGCCUCUGCAAGUUUAACAGACCAGAAUUUUGUGAUGCUCCUCGGAUAUCUGAAAUGAAGCUGCAACUCUCAAAAUCAGUAGAUAGUUUGUUGUAAACAAUCUUGGCAAGAGUUGUCUUGCCUAUUCCAGCCUUCCCCAAUAUUCCUAUGAGCCUUCUGUCCUCAGAUUCGACAUUCAGCAAAUCUACUACUUCAUUCGCUGAUUUGUCCAUUCCCACUAAAUGAUCGAAUACAUGAACACGAGGCACCUGAAGCUUAACCGACACUUCCCGCACAAUCAACUGUAUGAGUUCUCCGUGGCUAUGUCAGGACACACAACAUAAUCAAGUAAAUUAUAAGAUUGGUGGCAAAACUUGUAUACUUGCAAGAUCAAGCCAUAACAUGAAAUUACAAAAUUGAUGCUGGAACCAGUGAACAAAAGAAUAUAUACACGAUUCUCUAGUCUCGUUCAAUAUAGGACAGUAAAUUAUAAUGGUUAUGUCGAGAAGGUAAUCCUUGAAUCUUGAGAUAAUGGCGUGUAGAAUUCCAUGCGAUAUUCCAUCACAAUUUUUGGUCCAGAACAAAAAACAAAGUUGUGGUCUUCAAAUUAUAAUUUGUAUUCAAGCAAAAGAAACAGAGAAAAAAGGGUAGAUGGAGCUGAGUGAGUUAACAUACCCCAUGUUCUUGAUGUCCCAUCCCUUGAUUCUAGCAACUUCCUUAAGUGCCUUCGCCCAGCACUGCACAAUCUCAACCCCACGCUUUUUUUCAUGCAGAGAAAGUGCAUUGCUAUAUAAUUUGGUUUCAAGCUUCACAUCAGAAGGUUUCACGUCAUAAAAAAUGGGCAUAACCUCCAGUUUCUUGGUUUUCCUACACUCCAUCAUGUGUUCCAACUCGCGCAGGCACCAGCUACUGGAGGCGUAGCCUCUAGAGAGGAUGGGAAUGCAGAUUUUCGAGGCAUCAAUCGCCUGGAAAAUCUGUGGGCCGAUCUCUUCACCAGCAUCGAUCCCCUGCUUUCUAUGAAAACACAGAUUCCCUUACCUAGCAAGGCGUAAUAGAGGCUAUCUGUGAAGGUAAGGCGAGUAUCCGGUCCUCGAAAACUCAAGUACACGUCAAACUCAACUCCUGAUGAGCCUUGGCUUGUGCAUCUAGUUUCCGAAGAAUGGCUCCUUCUUUUCAUCUUAGCUGCACCUACUAAAACACUGAAAGUAAUCACAAAAGAUUUGACAUGCUUUUCUCGUCGAAGAACACAUGUAAAAUCACACCAUAUUUUAUAGUGAUUUUAUAAGACUUGUAUGAUGAAAAACGCAGUAUGAUGCAUUUAAGGAAGUUGUAAGAACUCCGUUUGGAACAGGGGUCGUAGAACGAUGGUCAGGUAGGAAAGCGAGGCUCGCUUUUAAUUUCCACUGUGCUGCAGCAUUGAUCAAGAGAAACGGCAGAGACCUGAAGGAUUAAGAAAUGGCCAAAGCCCCACAAGUUAAACGUAAUUGAGAAGAAGUCAAGUCGAGUAGUAGUCUCAAAAUAUGGAGGAGAGUGGGACAGGCUAGUCAGUCCCCAUCAAAUUUAAGAUCCCGAAUUCCAAAGUAUAUUUGCAAAAAUUACCGAGACUUUAGGAGUUAAAAAAAGAUCAAGGCUGGUGGAUGAGGCAAGAAUCAAAUGAAAUGUCUGAGAAAUGUAACUCUAUACAUGUGGCGGUGCACACCUCACCAAGCUCGGAAACAAAAAUCAACAUGGUAAUUUCAUUCUAAUCGCGUCACCUAAAUUCAGGUUUCUCAUUUUUUCAAUUGGUUACCUAACAAGUUAAUUUGAGAAUACUCCUUGAUCCAAUCUUUUUUAUUAUAGAAUUCCAUGAUGAAAACUUCUCAAUUAAUGGUGCUUAGAAUUGCACUGUCGUCCAGAAAAACAGACAAAAAUGAAUUAAGCCAUCAUCUUUGUCUUUUGCAUCCAAAAACAUUAUCAUUUUUCUCUAAAGUCUGCUCAAAUUCACAUCCAUAAUACCCAUCAUCUCAUCCAAAUUCAUCACAAAUAUAUUAGUUUUGGAUUUUUUAUAGUUAAAAAAUUAAUUUAGAAUAAAUUUAUCGUAAAUAUACUGAUUUGGAAUUUUUCGGGAUAUUAAUCUUUGAGUUUUAGAUAAUAAAAAAAAAACUUGAUAUUCACUAAACAUUUGUGGAUUUUUUUUUAAAGAAAUUAGGUCAGAAAAUAAUGCAGGCAUUAUUUAAAUACGAUAGGUAGUUAGGCCUUAUUUGAUUCGACAUUUGGAAUGGGCUUUUGGGCUCUAAAAGAAUUUGGCCAAAUGCAAACGAGUUUGAUUUAAUUUUUUGGACAACUUUAGCAAGAUGUAAUUGCAUCUCCAAAUAGCUCUAAGGGCCUUUACCGAAAAGCAACUAUGGAGGUACCUUGGGANNNNNNNNNNNNNNNNNNNNNNNNNNNNNNNNNNNNNNNNNNNNNNNNNNNNNNNNNNNNNNNNNNNNNNNNNNNNNNNNNNNNNNNNNNNNNNNNNNNNCCCAGUCUUGUUGAUAGAAGCUUAGUUAGUGGGUAAUCGAACAGCUUCACUUUUUGCAUCAAACAUUGGGGUGUUAAACGAGUUUAUAUUUACAAGUACUGUAACGUUGUAGGUGUGGCUUGUGAAAAAUAUGAUUCUUCGUUUCUAUCCCGCUGCUUUGUUGUAUGGAGAUUGUUUUACGUUUCUGCAUGUGCAAAAUAAUGAAUGGGUCGGCAACAAUUCCUAGGAUGUUGUAAAUUUUUAAAUCGACCAUUGAGGGAUGUGCAUGUGCCCGGGGUUUGGGUCGUGACAACAUUUGUCCAAAAUCGAAUCAAAUGGGACUUUAGUCACGUUUUUUUAGGGUUCAUACCCUGAAAAUUUUCAAACUGAUACAUCUGUGACAAAUUUGCUAUUUUUUUUUUAGCAUGAAAACUCCCAAACUGGUACACAUGUAACAAAUUUACCCCGAUUGACCGUAAAAAACCCUAAACUGGUACAUUUAUGACAAAUUUACCCCAAACUAAUUUAUUCGACCUUAAAAAAUCCAAAAUUGAUAAAUUUGUAACAAAUAUACCAUUCGCUAAACUGGAUUAAUACCACAAAAAAAUUACAAAAAUUGUAAAAUGUGAUAACAGAGCGUAAAAUCUUAAAUUGAUAUAUGUGACAUUUAACUUAAUAGUUUGACAGUAAAAUUUAACGAAAACUAACAUAAGGUAAAUUUGUUACAAAUGUACUAAUUUGAGGUAAAUUUGUUAAAAGCAUACCAGUUUAUAGUUUUUUAUGGUUAAAAAAAUAAUUUAUGGUAAAUUUAUCACAUGUGUACCAAAUUAGGAUUUUUUAGGUAUAUCAGUUUGAAGGUUUAUAUAUAUAGGUGUCGUGGUGGUGGGUCCUGCGCUAGCACCGUUCCGAGUUUACCUCACCGGCUACCGGUUGUAUAGAAGUUCCAAAAAAUACUAUUUUUUUUAUAAAGGCGUUAGGCGAUCCACAUGAAGGAACCAUUAAAUUUUGAUUGGAAAGUAAAGCAAAAGAGAACGUAUGUAAAAGCGGGUUGAUCUACUAGUCGCCAUGGAUCCUUUUCAUUAACUUUUCCUGGAUCCAAUCUGCAAGUGAGUACAAUAUUUAGCUAAGUCGCGCGCGUGCGGUGCGGUGGCGCGUGAGUAGUGAGCGGAGAGAGAGAGAGAGAAACAGACGUUGGGUCAUGUGGACGAGAAAAGACAGUGGCGGUGGGCGGUGGAAAAGAGGAUAAGGAUGAAAGUAAAAAGCCGAAAACAACUGGCUCCACUAGAAUUAAAUUAAAUUAAAAUAUUUUUGAUUUUUACAGUGGAGCUCACGUUUCGAUAAAGUGAAAUGCUAAUAUCAAGACAAAAUGCACUAAAUCUAAAAUGGACCCACAUUUUGAUAAAGUUGGAAAAUAAAAGGAAAAUUAAAAUGUUCACUAGAAGUACAAAAGUUCCCUCGUUAGGAGGCAAUCAAUUACUUCUUCUUUUUUUAACCUUGUCGGCCGAUACAAUUGUUUCGAUACUGAAUCCUAAUGAAUUGUUAUCAUAAAUCACAUUGAAAUCACGUUUUCGUCAAAUUAAACUUUUAUUACGUAGCCUAGCUAACCUCAUAAAUUAUAUCAUGUAGAAUUCAAAAUUCAUGGUGUAAAUAAUCGAAUAUGUCUCUUGCAUAUAAUUAACGCAAGGAGUUUCAUUCUUUGUCGAGGUAUCUAAAAAUUUGAGUCCCACAUGCUUAUAGAUGGAACCUUUCUUUUUGGAAUUUGUCAAAAUCUUCAAGCAACGAUUUUUUAUUUGAUUAAAUUAUUUGCUUUGCGUACAAAGUGAGCUAGGAACUAGCUUUUGGGGACAAUUACUACUCGCCCCCAACGAUUUUUGUGGAUUUUCUAACUUGCCAUCCAGAUGUGUUGGUUAAUCUUCUACUAUUCAAAGUGGGCAGCCAAGUAGAAAGAAGUCCUUUUGUUUUGAUGAGCCUUAGCUACCCAAACUGAUUUGCCUCUCUUGGAGAACGAAUUUGAGAUGGGCCAGCUUCCUCUUGCAAUCUUCAAUCCAGGCCCUCACGUCCCAAGGGCUUUGGUCAGCUUGCUUCCCUCUUCUCACGUUCCUUUCGGGGUUCCAUCUAAAAAAAAAUCGUGUUCAUCGCGAGUGCAUUGUCAAUAACUAGGCUUGAUUCUGAUCGGCGGGACUGGAAGAUGUGGGCAUUUCGUGCUUUCCGAAUAAACCACAGUACCCCCGCAAGUUCCUCAUUUGAAUGUAGGUCUAUGCUUGAUUCAAUGCAUUCCCUGAUCCAUUGAUCCAUUCUGGUAAUGUUCUGAUUUGAAAUUUGACUGUGUAGUCUCGAAUCCGACCAUAUGGCUGCUGUCCAAUGACAAAGGAGGAAGAUGUGCUCUGUUGUUUCUGGAGCUUCAUGACAUAAAGGGCACAUGGGGUCAGCUAAGAUUUUCCUCUUGAAGAGAUACUCUCUUGUGGGUAUAGCGUUUUGGUAUACGCUCCACACAAAGAAAUAAAUUUUGGGAGGGUGUUCAAUUUCCAGAUUUUCAUCCAACGUUUUGGGUGUAAGAUGAGAUAAUGAGGCUUGGUCUGUUUGUUGCCACCGGUUAGUUUGACUAUGGCCUGUUACUUGCAUUUUUAGCUGAGUUGAUUCCAGACUUGUUCCUAAUCCAUACCAGUAUAUCGUCUUCUGAAGUUGUGCGGGAUAUUUUUAUGUUCAGAUGUUCACAAAGUUUGCUCUAGUUAAUGAAAGUAAUAAACCACUAGGGUUUACCCGAGUGGCCACCCUUCCAACGUGGAAGGGAGAGGUGAGGGGUUCAAAUCCCCACCUUCUCAAGGGGGGAUUAGGGUGAGGACGCAUAAGUUUCAAAAGUGAGUUUCGACUCUCAUGCCCUACACGAAGCAGGGCAAAAGUCUGAGAGCGAGUGUUAAUGUAGAAAUAUAGUAGGAUUGACAAAAAAAAAUGAAAGUAAUAGAUUUACGUAGAAGAGAGGAGUUAGACCAAUUUUUGUUUUUUUUUUUUAAAGUAUUAGUAUUUUCAAACAAAAAAGAAAUGCUGAAAGUCUUACAGUAAUUUUUGAAAAGAUUUCCUAUCACUUUUUAAGGUUAUGAAAACAAGUCAGCAUUAUAUGCAAUGACUUUAAAUGAAUUGUUAUUUUAAAUUGAGUAAAAUUGAAUUAUAGCUUAUUGUGUUUAAGCGAAUAAAUUAGUCAAGAACACUUCAUAAUUGGUUCCAAAAAAUGACGAUGAGGACAAUGAGGUUGAAGAUGAUUCUUGUCAAAUCAAGGAAACUAGACCACUUCAUAUAGUGAAUUUAGCGUUUUGCACUAAAGCUCCGUUUGUUUUGCGAAAAAUAUGACGUUUAAGAAACUAUUUUCAAGAAAAUGAUAGUAUUUGUCGGUGUUAAGCUAAAAUUUAAAAAUAAACUAGAAAAUAUUUUCCACCAUUUGAUAUGAAAAAUUCGAUUCGAUCUUCCUCUAUGCAUUCAUUUUUAUAAAUUUUUUAUUUUAUUUUUUAUAUAAUUUUAUUUUUCUAAUAAAUUGAUUCUUUAAUUUUUAAUUUUCUUUCUAAAUUUUUCUUUUUUUCCUUUUAUUUUCUCUUCUCCUCCUCCUUCUUCGGUUGAUCGCCGGCUAUGACGACCGACCUAAGGCAAGCUCGAGUUCACUAGCCUUGAAAAGGCUCGCCAAUCUAGCGAGGCCCAAGGGCAGCAAGCUUAAGCUCGCCAAUCUGGUGAGGCACGAUAUCAAUAGUGCUUAGACUUUCGAUAGCAUCAUGAUUUUUAACACUAAGUGGUUCUUAUCAUUCAUGUCAAGGAAGAUUUGCACCAUUCCAGAGGAUCUUUAGCAUUUAGUGGGGCAAAAGAAUGCUCACUUAAGUGAGCAAAAAAAAAAAGAAUGCUUACUUAAGUGCCAAAAGUUGGCACAAAAAACACUUAAGUGCCAAAACUUAUGAAAGUAACACUUAAGUGCCAUUUUUUAUUUUUAAAAAAAUGGAUCAUUUGAGUGCCACAUUCGGUGAACCUCGUCAGAAAUCCUACAUGAUAUUUUUUUUUUUAUUAAUUUUCUCGCUUACAUGGCUCGCUGGCAAGCAAACUCAACAAAACACACAAGAAAACGAUGUCAUUUUGGUAUAAUUCAAAUUUUAAUAUAAUAAUUAAUUAAAUUAAAAUUUUAAAAAAUGAUUAUUUAAUUAUUUAAUUAUUUAAAAAAAAAAGUGGGGGGAGGAGAAGGAGGCAGGCAGCCGGCGGCUGAGGGCUCAACCCUCGUCGCCACCGUCGUCUCCCCUUCGUUGCCAGGAAGGUGGGGGAGUGUCGGCCGGGGCUGCCGAGCCUUGGCUAGGGGCCGACGGCCUUAGUCGACCGGCAACGAUGGCCUGCGUGCCCUUGCCUAGAUCUGGGGCGAGGGUCACGGCCCUCCCUCAGAUCAGUGANNNNNNNNNNNNNNNNNNNNNNNNNNNNNNNNNNNNNNNNNNNNNNNNNNNNNNNNNNNNNNNNNNNNNNNNNNNNNNNNNNNNNNNNNNNNNNNNNNNNNNNNNNNNNNNNNNNNNNNNNNNNNNNNNNNNNNNNNNNNNNNNNNNNNNNNNNNNNNNNNNNNNNNNNNNNNNNNNNNNNNNNNNNNNNNNNNNNNNNNNNNNNNNNNNNNNNNNNNNNNNNNNNNNNNNNNNNNNNNNNNNNNNNNNNNNNNNNNNNNNNNNNNNNNNNNNNNNNNNNNNNNNNNNNNNNNNNNNNNNNNNNNNNNNNNNNNNNNNNNNNNNNNNNNNNNNNNNNNNNNNNNNNNNNNNNNNNNNNNNNNNNNNNNNNNNNNNNNNNNNNNNNNNNNNNNNNNNNNNNNNNNNNNNNNNNNNNNNNNNNNNNNNNNNNNNNNNNNNNNNNNNNNNNNNNNNNNNNNNNNNNNNNNNNNNNNNNNNNNNNNNNNNNNNNNNNNNNNNNNNNNNNNNNNNNNNNNNNNNNNNNNNNNNNNNNNNNNNNNNNNNNNNNNNNNNNNNNNNNNNNNNNNNNNNNNNNNNNNNNNNNNNNNNNNNNNNNNNNNNNNNNNNNNNNNNNNNNNNNNNNNNNNNNNNNNNNNNNNNNNNNNNNNNNNNNNNNNNNNNNNNNNNNNNNNNNNNNNNNNNNNNNNNNNNNNNNNNNNNNNNNNNNNNNNNNNNNNNNNNNNNNNNNNNNNNNNNNNNNNNNNNNNNNNNNNNNNNNNNNNNNNNNNNNNNNNNNNNNNNNNNNNNNNNNNNNNNNNNNNNNNNNNNNNNNNNNNNNNNNNNNNNNNNNNNNNNNNNNNNNNNNNNNNNNNNNNNNNNNNNNNNNNNNNNNNNNNNNNNNNNNNNNNNNNNNNNNNNNNNNNNNNNNNNNNNNNNNNNNNNNNNNNNNNNNNNNNNNNNNNNNNNNNNNNNNNNNNNNNNNNNNNNNNNNNNNNNNNNNNNNNNNNNNNNNNNNNNNNNNNNNNNNNNNNNNNNNNNNNNNNNNNNNNNNNNNNNNNNNNNNNNNNNNNNNNNNNNNNNNNNNNNNNNNNNNNNNNNNNNNNNNNNNNNNNNNNNNNNNNNNNNNNNNNNNNNNNNNNNNNNNNNNNNNNNNNNNNNNNNNNNNNNNNNNNNNNNNNNNNNNNNNNNNNNNNNNNNNNNNNNNNNNNNNNNNNNNNNNNNNNNNNNNNNNNNNNNNNNNNNNNNNNNNNNNNNNNNNNNNNNNNNNNNNNNNNNNNNNNNNNNNNNNNNNNNNNNNNNNNNNNNNNNNNNNNNNNNNNNNNNNNNNNNNNNNNNNNNNNNNNNNNNNNNNNNNNNNNNNNNNNNNNNNNNNNNNNNNNNNNNNNNNNNNNNNNNNNNNNNNNNNNNNNNNNNNNNNNNNNNNNNNNNNNNNNNNNNNNNNNNNNNNNNNNNNNNNNNNNNNNNNNNNNNNNNNNNNNNNNNNNNNNNNNNNNNNNNNNNNNNNNNNNNNNNNNNNNNNNNNNNNNNNNNNNNNNNNNNNNNNNNNNNNNNNNNNNNNNNNNNNNNNNNNNNNNNNNNNNNNNNNNNNNNNNNNNNNNNNNNNNNNNNNNNNNNNNNNNNNNNNNNNNNNNNNNNNNNNNNNNNNNNNNNNNNNNNNNNNNNNNNNNNNNNNNNNNNNNNNNNNNNNNNNNNNNNNNNNNNNNNNNNNNNNNNNNNNNNNNNNNNNNNNNNNNNNNNNNNNNNNNNNNNNNNNNNNNNNNNNNNNNNNNNNNNNNNNNNNNNNNNNNNNNNNNNNNNNNNNNNNNNNNNNNNNNNNNNNNNNNNNNNNNNNNNNNNNNNNNNNNNNNNNNNNNNNNNNNNNNNNNNNNNNNNNNNNNNNNNNNNNNNNNNNNNNNNNNNNNNNNNNNNNNNNNNNNNNNNNNNNNNNNNNNNNNNNNNNNNNNNNNNNNNNNNNNNNNNNNNNNNNNNNNNNNNNNNNNNNNNNNNNNNNNNNNNNNNNNNNNNNNNNNNNNNNNNNNNNNNNNNNNNNNNNNNNNNNNNNNNNNNNNNNNNNNNNNNNNNNNNNNNNNNNNNNNNNNNNNNNNNNNNNNNNNNNNNNNNNNNNNNNNNNNNNNNNNNNNNNNNNNNNNNNNNNNNNNNNNNNNNNNNNNNNNNNNNNNNNNNNNNNNNNNNNNNNNNNNNNNNNNNNNNNNNNNNNNNNNNNNNNNNNNNNNNNNNNNNNNNNNNNNNNNNNNNNNNNNNNNNNNNNNNNNNNNNNNNNNNNNNNNNNNNNNNNNNNNNNNNNNNNNNNNNNNNNNNNNNNNNNNNNNNNNNNNNNNNNNNNNNNNNNNNNNNNNNNNNNNNNNNNNNNNNNNNNNNNNNNNNNNNNNNNNNNNNNNNNNNNNNNNNNNNNNNNNNNNNNNNNNNNNNNNNNNNNNNNNNNNNNNNNNNNNNNNNNNNNNNNNNNNNNNNNNNNNNNNNNNNNNNNNNNNNNNNNNNNNNNNNNNNNNNNNNNNNNNNNNNNNNNNNNNNNNNNNNNNNNNNNNNNNNNNNNNNNNNNNNNNNNNNNNNNNNNNNNNNNNNNNNNNNNNNNNNNNNNNNNNNNNNNNNNNNNNNNNNNNNNNNNNNNNNNNNNNNNNNNNNNNNNNNNNNNNNNNNNNNNNNNNNNNNNNNNNNNNNNNNNNNNNNNNNNNNNNNNNNNNNNNNNNNNNNNNNNNNNNNNNNNNNNNNNNNNNNNNNNNNNNNNNNNNNNNNNNNNNNNNNNNNNNNNNNNNNNNNNNNNNNNNNNNNNNNNNNNNNNNNNNNNNNNNNNNNNNNNNNNNNNNNNNNNNNNNNNNNNNNNNNNNNNNNNNNNNNNNNNNNNNNNNNNNNNNNNNNNNNNNNNNNNNNNNNNNNNNNNNNNNNNNNNNNNNNNNNNNNNNNNNNNNNNNNNNNNNNNNNNNNNNNNNNNNNNNNNNNNNNNNNNNNNNNNNNNNNNNNNNNNNNNNNNNNNNNNNNNNNNNNNNNNNNNNNNNNNNNNNNNNNNNNNNNNNNNNNNNNNNNNNNNNNNNNNNNNNNNNNNNNNNNNNNNNNNNNNNNNNNNNNNNNNNNNNNNNNNNNNNNNNNNNNNNNNNNNNNNNNNNNNNNNNNNNNNNNNNNNNNNNNNNNNNNNNNNNNNNNNNNNNNNNNNNNNNNNNNNNNNNNNNNNNNNNNNNNNNNNNNNNNNNNNNNNNNNNNNNNNNNNNNNNNNNNNNNNNNNNNNNNNNNNNNNNNNNNNNNNNNNNNNNNNNNNNNNNNNNNNNNNNNNNNNNNNNNNNNNNNNNNNNNNNNNNNNNNNNNNNNNNNNNNNNNNNNNNNNNNNNNNNNNNNNNNNNNNNNNNNNNNNNNNNNNNNNNNNNNNNNNNNNNNNNNNNNNNNNNNNNNNNNNNNNNNNNNNNNNNNNNNNNNNNNNNNNNNNNNNNNNNNNNNNNNNNNNNNNNNNNNNNNNNNNNNNNNNNNNNNNNNNNNNNNNNNNNNNNNNNNNNNNNNNNNNNNNNNNNNNNNNNNNNNNNNNNNNNNNNNNNNNNNNNNNNNNNNNNNNNNNNNNNNNNNNNNNNNNNNNNNNNNNNNNNNNNNNNNNNNNNNNNNNNNNNNNNNNNNNNNNNNNNNNNNNNNNNNNNNNNNNNNNNNNNNNNNNNNNNNNNNNNNNNNNNNNNNNNNNNNNNNNNNNNNNNNNNNNNNNNNNNNNNNNNNNNNNNNNNNNNNNNNNNNNNNNNNNNNNNNNNNNNNNNNNNNNNNNNNNNNNNNNNNNNNNNNNNNNNNNNNNNNNNNNNNNNNNNNNNNNNNNNNNNNNNNNNNNNNNNNNNNNNNNNNNNNNNNNNNNNNNNNNNNNNNNNNNNNNNNNNNNNNNNNNNNNNNNNNNNNNNNNNNNNNNNNNNNNNNNNNNNNNNNNNNNNNNNNNNNNNNNNNNNNNNNNNNNNNNNNNNNNNNNNNNNNNNNNNNNNNNNNNNNNNNNNNNNNNNNNNNNNNNNNNNNNNNNNNNNNNNNNNNNNNNNNNNNNNNNNNNNNNNNNNNNNNNNNNNNNNNNNNNNNNNNNNNNNNNNNNNNNNNNNNNNNNNNNNNNNNNNNNNNNNNNNNNNNNNNNNNNNNNNNNNNNNNNNNNNNNNNNNNNNNNNNNNNNNNNNNNNNNNNNNNNNNNNNNNNNNNNNNNNNNNNNNNNNNNNNNNNNNNNNNNNNNNNNNNNNNNNNNNNNNNNNNNNNNNNNNNNNNNNNNNNNNNNNNNNNNNNNNNNNNNNNNNNNNNNNNNNNNNNNNNNNNNNNNNNNNNNNNNNNNNNNNNNNNNNNNNNNNNNNNNNNNNNNNNNNNNNNNNNNNNNNNNNNNNNNNNNNNNNNNNNNNNNNNNNNNNNNNNNNNNNNNNNNNNNNNNNNNNNNNNNNNNNNNNNNNNNNNNNNNNNNNNNNNNNNNNNNNNNNNNNNNNNNNNNNNNNNNNNNNNNNNNNNNNNNNNNNNNNNNNNNNNNNNNNNNNNNNNNNNNNNNNNNNNNNNNNNNNNNNNNNNNNNNNNNNNNNNNNNNNNNNNNNNNNNNNNNNNNNNNNNNNNNNNNNNNNNNNNNNNNNNNNNNNNNNNNNNNNNNNNNNNNNNNNNNNNNNNNNNNNNNNNNNNNNNNNNNNNNNNNNNNNNNNNNNNNNNNNNNNNNNNNNNNNNNNNNNNNNNNNNNNNNNNNNNNNNNNNNNNNNNNNNNNNNNNNNNNNNNNNNNNNNNNNNNNNNNNNNNNNNNNNNNNNNNNNNNNNNNNNNNNNNNNNNNNNNNNNNNNNNNNNNNNNNNNNNNNNNNNNNNNNNNNNNNNNNNNNNNNNNNNNNNNNNNNNNNNNNNNNNNNNNNNNNNNNNNNNNNNNNNNNNNNNNNNNNNNNNNNNNNNNNNNNNNNNNNNNNNNNNNNNNNNNNNNNNNNNNNNNNNNNNNNNNNNNNNNNNNNNNNNNNNNNNNNNNNNNNNNNNNNNNNNNNNNNNNNNNNNNNNNNNNNNNNNNNNNNNNNNNNNNNNNNNNNNNNNNNNNNNNNNNNNNNNNNNNNNNNNNNNNNNNNNNNNNNNNNNNNNNNNNNNNNNNNNNNNNNNNNNNNNNNNNNNNNNNNNNNNNNNNNNNNNNNNNNNNNNNNNNNNNNNNNNNNNNNNNNNNNNNNNNNNNNNNNNNNNNNNNNNNNNNNNNNNNNNNNNNNNNNNNNNNNNNNNNNNNNNNNNNNNNNNNNNNNNNNNNNNNNNUUCUGGUCUUGCCCAUUGUUGAAGAUAUGCGAGAAUCAGACCGAAGAUCAUGAUCAACCAAUCAAAGAUUACAGGAGAUUAUAUUUGUUUAAUUAUGUCAAUCUGUGAUUGGGUUUGAUUUAAUGUAUCUUCAUUUUAAUUUCCUUAGUUAGACAUUCAUUGUAUUAUAAACAGAAGCUUAUACAAUGUAAAUACACACAACUGAAUAUACAAAAAUUUACAGGUCGUUCUCUCAAUUCUUGGCCUAUUUUUCAAACUCUGACACCCAUCCAACACUCAUAUGAUGUGGACUAAUGAGUGGUCACAUAAAAACGGAUCAUAAUAUAAUAAGAAAACAAGAGUAAUGACGAACUUUGCUUGAUGAGGAAAAAAAAAAGACUUUUCAGUGGCAGUAGCAUAUAAAGAUGAUGAAAUAAACUGGCACGUGGUUCUCCUAAGUUGUUCGGUUGAAUAGGAUCCUUCAAAUAUAAUUGAGGAAAAAUGGUCACCUUGGUUACGACCGUAUUCGGUCCUAAAUUUUUUAAUUUUAUUAAUAUAAUCUUAAAUUUUUUUAUAAAAGAUUAAUAUAGUUAUUCUAGUCAAUUUUGAUUUGAAAAUACUGAUGUGACAGUCUAAUAUGUAAAUUUUUUAAUUUUCCUAAUUAUUUUUGUUUUUUUUCUUUGAUGGUUACUGUAUCUUGUUCCUUGUUCCUAUACUGUUAUAUCUCUGGGUGAACUCCUUCAUCUUUCCUCUACUUUCAUCAUUCAAUACCGGCAAAGUGGUCCAGAAAGAAAAAUCCGAAGCCUACUCCCAGCAUAUUCCCAGAUCAUUCCUUCCUCACGACUUACCCCAUCAAACGUUUUGGAAGGAAAACUCCGGUCGCUGAAAACGACCUAGAUGGAGAAGACCGGCUCCUCAAGAUGAUAAUCGGCAUCAAAUUCACGGUCGAAUUAGGUGGCCCGGGGUACGUUUCGACCAAACAUGGCUCUUGAUUUGUGGUUUGUGGACGGUAGCUUUUCGGUCGGGGCGGGGCUUGACUUUAGAGCCGUUUGUGUCGAUGCUUGAAAGCAACGGCACGCGAGGACUUAUGGUUCAGCAGGAUAACGAUGUGGACGAGAUGGGGUGCAAGGUAUCAUUCGCUCAGUCCUUUCAUUGAGGAACAGAAGGAACGUUUCUCGUACGUUUCUCGUUUCCCACGUGAGGGUGUAAGAACCAGAAAUCGUUCAUCUUGUUCUCUCAACUCGUCCGGCUAAAGAGGGAGAAAGAAAGAGGUGAAAGGAACCUCUGGAAUCUGGAUGGGAGAGGACCGAGGCGAGACUUCGCUCCUAAACAACCGAGUGAGGCUGGUAUUCCCCGAACGGCCGCAGCGACCUUAGAUUGAGGUCGCCGAGCCUCCUCCAAGGUCGUGGAAGCUUCGUCGUCCAUGGCCGCUUGACUUUAGAUUCGCAGUCGUAAUCCACGGAAGCCAUGGACUUGUCCAUGGCAGCUCGACCAUGAAGCUUGUUGGCCGCAAGUCUCGUGAAGGUUUCUCUCGUCCUCACCCCUUCCUACAGCUUCAAACAUGGAAAUCUCGCUUCAUUUUUCAAAAAUGAAAAGUGAAGAAGAUGAACAGUAAAAGAUAAUAUAAGUAGAAAAAUCGGAAAAAAAAAAUGAAAACGAUGCAUUUUCAAUUGAGUUUAUCCACACUGCGCCUCAGAACGGUUCACAAGCCAAAAUUUGCCGGAAGAAUUAUAGUGGAAUUUUACAAAAAAACUUACAAUUAGAUUGGUAAAAUUAUAAAAUUUAAAACUAAAUUGACAUCCGUACAAUAAAUUUAAAACUAAUUAGAUAAUUCUUUCUAUAAAUCAAGUUCAGUCGUAUACUACUUUGCGUGAAUAGAAAAUAUAGGCACAAUUACUGCUAGUAAACCUUAUUUAAUUUUUUUGGCGCACAAGGCAACACAAGCCAAUGCAUCAUUUAGAAAGAUCAUUUUGUAUUAAAAUCUUUUAGGGAAAAGUACCAAAAAAGUCAUAACCUAUUACAUUGGUACCAAUUCAAUCCUAAACUUUUCAAUUUGACCAAUUCAGUCCUAAACCUUUUAAUAUUUGUACCAAUUUAGUCCAUCCGACCAAUUUUGGCCGGCUGGCGUUGACGUGGACGUCUGCCCGCGGCAAGGCCAAGGUGAGGCUGGCCUCACCCAGAUCUAGGCUAAGUCGCCUUGCCCGUAGCCCUGGUUGAGGCCAAGCGAGGGCCGUGACCCUUUUUGGCGGCUGGCGAGGGCUUCGCGGCCCUCACCUCUGCCCUGGCGAUGGCCGACAUGGCCUCACCAGCCGCGGGCGAGGCUGGCCUCGCUCAAAUCCGGGUGAAGCCACCUCGUCGGCGGCCUGGGAGAGGUCGGACGAGGGCCGCAACCCUCACCGACGGCAGGUGAGGGCUUCGCGGCCCUCGCCCAGUGGUCGGUGAGCCUCACCGGAGGCUCGCCAGCCACCGCCAGGAAGAAGAAGGUAGAAAAGAAAAAAGAAAAAAAAUUAAUUAAAAAUUAAUAAAAAAAUCAUAAAAAUUGCCACGUUAGUGUCCGGCCGACGUCCACGUCAGCACCAGCCAGCCAAAAUUGGCCGGAUGGACUGAAUUGGUACUAAUAUGAAAAUGUUUAGGACUGAAUCGGUCCAAUUGAAAAGUUUAGAACUGAAUUGGUACAAAUGCAAUAGGUUUAGGAUUUUUUUGGUACUUUUCCCAAAUCUUUUACCAUCUCCGGCCAAAUUCUCUUCUAGUUUCGAGAUUACAAAGAAUUUUGUUAUCCAAUUUGCACAAUUUCGGCAAUGAAGUAAGAGUUUCGGCUCUCGACGACGAGUGUAAUCUCUAGCUUCCUUAUUCAGCCUUCUCUAUCCUUAGUCUCGUAAUCACAUGAGCUUCAUAAGUUCGCUUGUGCAAUGAAAUACAGUUGCUUGCGUCUUCUUCUAAAUACCACAAUGGAUUUCUUUAUUCUCCUCUUCUUCUCCGGGAAACUCAAUUCUUUUCAUGGCCAGAGGUGUAACCGCAAUGCUGUCGAGAAACUUAGGGCCUAUUUGUUAAAAAAAAAUUCUGUACCUCGGAACAUCAUUUUCUAUCUAUUUGUUUCAGGCAAUGCAAAAAAGAAUAGAAACGUAUUUGGUAAAACUUUUGUUCUGGGGAAUAGAUUUGGAACAGAAAUAAAAAAAUAUAAAAUAUUAUAUUCUUAUUCCCAGUAACAAUUUCUAGAAUCAAUUUUUCUCUUUCUUCUUUUUUCUUAUCUUUAUUUUCUUUUUCUUCUUGGCAACCUGCCAGAUGAGGGCCAGCAACUUUGCUGGAGCAUCACCAGCCCCCAGAGACAACUAGGCAUGCGAGGCUAGUCAACGGAGCUUCGCCAUGGCUGGGUGGCCAGGUGGGGCAAGGUCAAGCCUUGCCGAUGGCCUGGCGAGGCCGAGCUUGCCCAGCCAUCGGUGAGGCCGGUGAGGUUGAAGAAGGAAAAAAAGAAAAGAAAAAAAAAGAGAAAUAUAAUAAAAACAUUUAAAAAUUAAAAGAAACAACAAAAUUAUACAAUUUUACCCAAACGCAUUUCUAUUCUAGAAAUAGAAAUUUUUUGCAUUUACCAAGCACGUUCUUAUACUAAGAAAUUAUUUCUAGGAACAGAAAAAAAAAAUCAUUUCUUAUUAAAAAUUGUUUUUCGGAACAUGAUUAUUACCAAACGCGCCCUUAAUAUAUUGGCCGCAUUGAUACACUCAUUGAUACACUCAAUAGUUUAAAUACCAUACCACUUCACAAUUAUCACAUCUUCCUCCACCCUUCUCUUAUAAUUUUAGGAAGAUGACAGAAGCUAUGUCUCCUCUUCCUUGACCGUGAUCACAACAAAGUGCUCACGCUGUUUGAAGAUGUCAUGUUUUGCUGGGUGCACUCCUCUAGAAAGCUUUGUUCGCACCGCACGACAAGACCAACUGCACCAUGCCUCUGCUUCUUCACUCGGCCUUAUGGGACAAACACGAUCACUCCAUCAAUUCGUCAAUAGUCCAGGCCAACAACUCUAAAUCCUCGACUCUUUAAUUACCAAAGCACUAUGCAGAAGUUGCUUGGAACCUAUGCAUGUGCUUCUUUGACUUGACUUGAUAUUCCUAUUAAUUUUAAGAAAUAGAAAAGAAAAUCAUUGAGACUGUCUUCAAGACACAUUCAAAUAAAUUUAUCAUUUUCAAUACACAUCCGACCUCACUUUUCAAAAUAUUUCUCUAUUUCUCUCUAAACAAUUUCCCAAACUAGGCUUCUCCAUGCCACGUCAUGCCUAAAGAUGACCUAAUCAUACCCUCCCAUCCUAGUCAUUUUUUCUGGUCUUAAAUUGAUAUUUGUUAACAUUUUACAUUCCUUUUAAUUCAAUGUCGCCUUACAAAUUUCCGGCCAAUGAGUUCUCUAUGAUUGAAUAGUUUUUUUUUUGGUAAUGUAAGCAUUGUAUUAACUUUUAACCAAACAUGGCUAUACAGUAGGGGUCUCGGCACCAAAACUUACACUCAUAAUGGCAUACAAGUCAUAACGAGUGGAAGGGUGCUGAGAAAAAAAAAUUAAAAGGGAAGACAAUCACGGACAACCCUCAACAAAAUUACAAAGAGGGAAUAGACACCGCCGAAGAGAAGAUAGUGGGGUCGAGUCCCUAACUUCUUUGGAUAUUUCUGUUUUUCGGUUUGUCGAGAACGUGAUUGAAGGUAAGUACCUUAUCCUUCACAGCUUUGAUGAAAUGUUUUUUCAUUGCAAGAAUGAACAUGGCUUGGCCCCGGAAGAGUAUGUCAUUCCGCAUCUUCCAAAUGGUGUGGCAUAGAGCACCGAAAGAGUACCUCGCAAUACUUUGAUAAAAGUCACUGCCCGGGAUACACUUGAUGGCCCGCUAAAGAUUGUCCAUCCACCCCUUGUUAUGCCAAGGAAGGUUGCAUCUAGCAACCCAAAACAUGGCAAGACCAGCCGUAAUGUGGCAAUCAAAAAAUAGAUGAUCAAUCGAAUUCAGUCUAGAGUUACAAAAAACAUAAGAAGCAUAAGCAAUUCUACCAUAGGAUAGUAGAAGGACAUGGGUAGGUAGUCGAUGCUUGGUUGUGAGCCAAAGGUGGACCUGGUACCAUGGGAUAAGAGUUUUGUUCCAUACAAAGUAGCACCACGGGACAAAAUUUCUCUUGGGACGGAUGGCUUGUCAAGCCAACGCCGCUGAGCACACUCGAAGAAUGCUCCAGCCAAGUCAAACAGUCGGGGUUCUGAGAUAAUGCUGGGAUAGGAAGCAUCCACGACUCCAAAAUGGCCUUGGUGGCUUGGCCUGGAAUUGAGAAUAAAUCAGCAACCAUAGCUUGCCUGGGUAGACCCAAACAGUAGAUGUGGUUAUCCGUGAAGAUCGUAUUCAAAGGUCCCCUAGGGUGCCAAGGGUUGAACCAAAGGGACACCAAUAGGCCAUCACCCACCUGCCAUUUAAAGGACUUCUGGAAGUCCCUUCGUAGAUCAAGUAAUUUUCUCCAAGCCUAGGAACAAAAUCUUGACUUAGAGACUACCCAAAAGUUCUUAUUUUUUAAGUGAACAAAAUGGAUCCACCUGCACCAAAAUGAUUCCUUAUCUGUGAAAAGGAUCCAUAUGUGUUUCAACAUGGCUGCGGUAUUACAGUCACAGAGUUUCCAAAUACCGAGUCCUCCUUCUUCUUUGAGGAGGCAAACUUCAUCCCAGGCUACUUUCGCACCACCCGUUCCAAGUCCCGGGCCUUUCCAUAAGAAUUGACGGAAUAUUUGUUCAAUUCGGUCCAGAACCACUCUAGGUAGUAUAAAGAUAUUAGCCCGGUAGACAUGCAUUGAGUAGAGGACUGACUUGAUUAGUUGUAAUCGACCCGCGAAGGAUAGGAAUCUCUGAGCCCAUGAUUGCACUCUAGCCGUAAUGAGAUUGAUGAGGGCACUAUAAUCCGCCUUGCCAAGGCUAGAUGUAACGAUCAGGACUCCCAAAUACCGGACUGGCAAGGUUCCUUCCCAGAGACCGAGAGAAUGGAGAAUUUGGGAUCGAGUGCUAUCCCCACCACCCGAGAGGAAGACUUCGCUCUUGUUCAAAUUAGGCUUUAAACCACUCGAGGAGGAGAAGGUGGCAAGACCAUCUUUUAAAAGAGUGAGCGAAGUUAUAUUUUCCUCACAUCAUCUGCGAAAACAUCUAUGAUUGAAUAGUUUGUUUAGUGAUAUGUUCUCUUUUUUAUUUCUUUGUUUGAUGAACUGUUUAAUAUUUGUGUUAAUGCUCAGUGGAUGAAGGGUCAAAGUAGAUAAUAUGUAGAAGGAUAAUAAGUGCUUUCUAUAAUACUUCAACAGUGCUUCGGGAGAGAACGUAUUUAAGAAUUAAUUCAUCUUUUCUUCCACCUCUGACCCAAUUUCAUCAACCAAACCAUUUUUGCUUGUGUAACUGCUAAUUUUCAGAAUUGCUUCCUAAAUCAUUUCACAUGAUGAAUGCACUUUUCUUUUUGAUAUCGUGGUUCCAAAAAUUAGUAAAAACAAAUUUUCAUGAGUUGAGAAAUCUUAAUCCUUGCUUACAUUCAAAAGUUAGGCAUGAUAGGCUGGCUCUUUCUGAAAUUGCAUGGUCCCAUUUGGUCUUAUGAUUUUUCCUUCUUCUUCUCCUUUUUUCAUCCUUGAGAAAGAAUUUGCUGGUCUGGAAAGAGGAACUUUAAAACCAACGGAGAAUGAAUAAGGAAUAAACUAGAGAUCUAUUUGCUUGCAAGAUGGAGUAUGAUGUCUAUUAGAGAAAUUAAAGGUUCACGUGCUGUUAAAUUAGGAGUGAAAGCUUCAUCCUUCUAUGUAUGGCCCUCUCCUUUGGAACUUAUUGGAUACUCAUUUACUUGUAAUUACUGCAGAUCUUUAACGUAAUAAUCACAAUAUAAUAGUAGUUAAUUUUAUUUCAAAAAUGCUAGCACAAGAAAAAAAGAUUCAUUAUCCAAUUAUAGUGUUUAUUAUUAGAAAGAACGCAGUAAGAAAUUAAUUUGUAAUUACUAAUCAUGUAAAAAGAUUGAUAAUUUGUACAUGGUAGUAUAGAAAGGAAAAAAGAUACUAAAAUCAAUCUUUUAGAUCAUUUAUUCGAAUGUAACCAUUUUAUGAUGUCCUCUUUUUUACGAUAUGACUUUCUUAUAACCUAAAACGCACUGUGAUACAAAUUUAUACAAAUGUUAAUAUGAAGGACAAUGAAAAGUGCAGGGAAAUAUAAGUGUACACAUAUGAAGCGUCAGGUGAGAAUAUGUUACUUCCUAAUGUCAAAGAGGAAAAGAAAAAUAAUAGAAAUCGCAGUUCAAGAGCCAUUUUGUCUUCUCCUAACUAGACCUGAGUAGGUCCUUAAACUGCUCAAAAGAAAACAAAGGGAGAAUCUCCCAGGGGUGAGAGUCCCCAUUUCCCUGUAUUCCCGGGGGGGCAGAAAAGUUUCCCCUCAACAUGGGCUUGCAGCUACCGGGGUAACGGUAGGUGAAGCAACUCACAGUGAUGAGGAUGCUGACCCCUUAAGUGGGAGGCUACCCUCAGACCAUGCAAGGGUCUUCGGACCUGCAGAGAAGCUGACUUAAAUGUCAAGUCAUCCAACCUGACGCUCCUCUGUACCCAGGUUGGAUGACUUGACUUCCACUAUGUUAUUCGAUUUGGCUCCUCAAAUAACAAUCCACCUCAUUAUUGUACAACAGCACUAUAUAAAAGAUGAUAAAUGAAAGUAAUUAUCAAUUAAGAAAAUGCUAAUUCUGUGGUAAAGGACUGUUGAACCGGAGGGGACUGGGCAGAGACCCCAACUGACUAAUACUUAACCGGUUUAUAUAUAGAAGUUAUUAGAUGCCAAAAAAUUAUUCUUAAUCGUCAGAAAGGAAUAUGGAUCAUUGCGAAAAUAGCAACGGAAGAGAAUGUAGGUGGAUUAGAAUUCAUUUAUUCAAGCAAAAUGUAUUGCAUAAAUUAUUUAUAUUAAAAUAUAAUAAAAGUCGAAAUUGACCGUAAUGAGUAUAGCAAUUUAUACAUGCUAAUCAACAGCAUUAAUUGUUUGACAUUAAAAAAAAAUUAAUCGCAACAAAUCGCCAAUUACAGAUUCGAUUGGCUCUUAAACAAAAUCAGCAUUAAUGACUCAAUGACCAAAAAAAGUAGGAACCUUUAACUUUUUUAAUUAUUACAAUACUUUUGCCUUUUUCAAUGAACAUGUAUUUUUUUUUUUUUUAGUAAUGUGAAGAGGAGAAGAAGAAAAUUUAAGACCUUUACCAAAAAAAGAAAAAGAAAAAUUAAGAUGUGGCUCGACAAAAAGCUCUGUUCUCCAGGUUUUGUUAUUAUUUAUAGAUGUAUAGAUGGAUACAGAGCAUGUUUCCCAUCACCAUGAACCCGGAUUCUAUCCAGAGGUGCGAGGGAAGAAAAUCGAAUAAGAAGAGGAGAAGAGAACAUUGUAUGAAAAGUAUCCUUCUCCAAGCAGCAGAUCAAUUCAAAGAGCAUCUCUCUCUCAGCAUCGCAAUCAUCCUACUCAAUUUCACGAUCACGAGCGCACUCUCUUUUAGUUCCUUCUAAUUAGAUGUCCCUCAAAUCCAUUUCACAUCGACAUCCUAUAAUGAAUUCCUGGAGAUUCGGGAACCGAUGACUUGAUCAACUUGAACGAAUAAAAGCAAAUUUGGAGGCGGUGCUGGGGACGAAUCUCACAAGCAGAGCUGAAAAAGGUAAAGGCUGGUGAUGGUUCACAUCCGCGGAGUCCUUGCAACAUUGCACAUGGAUGCUGGACCUUCUUUUUCUUCUCUGUCUUCUCUUUCUCAUCAUGAUCGAAGAGCUGAGUGGCAGUGGACGGCUUAUGGAUGCAUCCUAC